This 95555-nucleotide long non-coding RNA is filed under the name Sorghum bicolor (sorghum). RNAcentral describes it as "long non-coding RNA (SBIC_LNC009335)". Lineage: Eukaryota; Viridiplantae; Streptophyta; Magnoliopsida; Poales; Poaceae. The record is from RNAcentral.
AGGGAGAAGAAGCCUCUGAUCAAGAUUAGAGCCACCACAUCAAUUGGACAUCUAGAUUAGCAUAGCUACAUAGGAUUAGAACUAGAAGGAGUCAAUCUUCGAUUGGUUUCCGGGUCUGUCAAGAGGAUUCUUGGUAAUUCUCUAAUUGUGCUUCUAAUUGUUCUUCUAAUUAUCUUUGUUCUUCAAUAUUAUGAAUAUGACUUUGUUCUACUUCAAUAUAUUGCUUAUGACUUUGCUCUACUUGCUUAUAUUCAAGAUUAUAUUGUUCUUAGUUUAUCAUAGUUAUGUACUUGGCUUAGUUAGAUUGGAUCUAUAUACAUGCUUAGGAUCGUAUAGCGUUUAUCCAUCGGAUCCAUGGGUAAAUGAUAGAUAUUGUGUAGGCGUGGUGCUUAUACCGUAUUUAUCUGCGAUUGUACCCAAUAUGCCAGAUCGUGGGGUAGUUCGUGAUAGUGACAGCUUCAUUGAUUCUUAUAUAGUCCCCCUCUCGUGUAUUGGGCUGGCAGAGCAAUAUUAUUACAGGGGAGUGAUUGCUAUGUUUCUCAUUUACCUUGCUAAUAUCACUAUGCAUGGGCGUAGUCUUGUCUCACAAUGAUUGCUAAGUAUGCUUACACUAAUUAUGAUAAUGCUAGACUAUAUAGUUGAGAAUAACUUAGGGAAUAUUCUUGUAGUUCGUUCUAAUACCAUGCUAAUGACUUUCUAGAGUAUCUAAUUGAGGUGCUUAUCAUAUUUAUUAUGUGGCUAAGUUAUGAUCAGAUUAAUUAUCCUUAUCACUGUUCAUUAUUUCAUAUAUCUUUUAUGUGACACUUAUCCCUGUAUGAAGAGUUAGAUAAAUGUUCUCAAUUAUACAUGCAAUGAUAGAUGCUCAAUCUCAUAUUCUAUUCUGUAAUCAAUAGUGAUGAUUGUUAAUCCCUUCCCAGUGGUAAAAAUAUAAAUAACGAUACCUGGAAUACUUCCCGGUUAAAAUGCUACAUCGGUAUUAAUCUGUGCGCUUGCAGAUCCCAUUCAUUAUUUAUUUAGAAGAGCAAUUGCAUAUUUCAAUACCGCGUCUCUUAUAUCAUGCUGGGGAUGACAACUUGACUUAAGUGGUAUGAGGGAUAGGUUUGGCAUUUUUGGCACCGUUACUAGAUUUAGAGAACUUAGUCUACUUUUGGUAAUGAUGUUAAGAAUAGCCAACACUCUCCCUCGCCUCGUUCUACCUGAAAUCUGGUCCAUGACCAUCUUAAUGCCUCGUCCGCUUUCUGGUUGCACGUUUGUUCCAGCGAGCACCUGGAUCUGCAAUGUACCUUGGGCCAAUGUAGUCUGGCCACUGCCCCUCAUCUAGGAAAGGCUCAAAACGGGGCGACCAAGUAAGCACAAGGCUAUCAACACUCAACUCCCAUGGUAUCUUGGUCUUGUAGUCAAAGUUGCGAUGCCUAGCUGCUGCAAUAUAGUGAGAACAAGGAGAGUGGUACUGUCUUGGUCUCCCACAUCCACAUAAAAAAUCAGUAAGGACAACAAUAUAACUCCUUGAUGGUCGGAUCUCACCAUCUGACGUUGUACCACCCCUUUCAGUGACCUGGUACUUGCUAGUGGCAUGGUCAAAACACUCUAUGUCAUGUGUCCUAGCCCUUUCCUUUGCCUUGUCAAGGUGCUUCUUGAGCAUGUCUAUCGUUGAACCAGGCCACUCUAUUUCAGAUUAUUACUCUGUAAUUGCAAUGCUUGAGCAUGUCUAUCGUUGAACCAGGCCACUAGCCUAUAAAAGGUAAAAGAUACAAUGGCAUUGACUGGCAUGGCACGUAUACCCUUGAGCACACUAUUAAAUGACUCUGCCAUGUUGCUAGUCUGAAACUCGUACCUCCAUCCACCAUCAUCAUGGGCUCUUGUCCAUUUCUCAGGUUCUCUCAUCAAACCUAGCAGCCACUGCCUACCUUCUACAUUUGUUGCGGUUUUUAGCUGCUCCAACUUCUCCUCAAAAAACGACACCUCAAGCAUUCGAGCAACCUCCUCGAAUAGAGGAAAGUUGUCCUUCGUACCAUCCUUCCGAAGUAAAUUCUCUGCAAGGUGUCUAGUACACCAACGAUGGUGCAAAGGUGCAUAACCAGGAAUCUGCUCCUGUACGGCACUGAGUAUGCCCUGGUGCCUAUCAGAUAUGACACCAACCUCCCUAUGUGCGCCAAUGACAUGUAUCCGAACAAGGCACAUGAACCAACCCCAGCUAUCUUUGUUCUCUCUCUCCACCAAAGCAAAAGCCAAAGGAACCAAUGUGUUGUCUACGUCACAGGAAAUGGCUACCAAAAGAGUGCCCAUGUACUUGCCAAGAAGAAAAGUACCAUCAAUUGAUAACACUGGACGGCAGUGCCUAAAGGCCUGGACACACUGUGGAAAACACCAGAAAGCAUGAAAGAAUAUCUACCUCCCAUUCCUCCAUUCAUUAGGCUUCGGAAUGUACUUGUAAUGCAUGCCUGGAUUUGCUGCUUUCAUUGCAUUGAACAUUGCUGGCAGCUACUCGUACCCCUCCUCCCAGUCUCCAUAUAUCAUCUUCCAGGCCCUUUGCUUUGCCCUCCAUGCUUUGCCAUACUUUAUAUCAUACUUAAAUAUCUUCUGAGCCAUGUCCAUAAUUGUUCUGACCUUCAAGUUGGGCUGACCCUUUAAAGUUAUGCAUAACGUACUAGCAAUAAGGGUAGAGGUCAACUGUCAAUGCUUCUGUUGAAGGUCAGUCUGGGCACAAGUGUGUGGACCUACAAUUUUUGUGAUCUUGAACUUCCCGGUGGCCUUCUGUUUACGAGCACAGACCCUCCAGUUGCAAUCUAACAUCUCACACACAACCGUGUAGCGGCGCUCAACAUAGGAAUGCAUCACCUUGAAGGGUCUUUUACGUAUUACAGAAUAUUGUUGUAACCACCUUCUUAAGCUGGGCAAGUCAUUAAAGAUCAUGCCCUUCUGAAUUUGCACACUGUCACUAGGCUCAGGAGCCUCCAGCAGCUCAUCAUCUCUUCCCUCUGCAUAAGCAUUUUGAGAAUGACUGAGGUCACUAAACUCAUGAACUAGUGGAUCACGAUCAGGACAGAAACGUCUGAUAAGCUCCAUUUCUUGUUCACUUAAAGGUGCAACUGGACGGUCAUCAUCGGAAUCAACAACUCUAGCUGUGCCAUAGGGCUCCUCAUCAUCCUCAAUAUUAACAUCCAAACUAUUAGAUGAUAUAAAAGCUGCGUCAACAUUAAAUGAUGGAGGCACAGGAUGACAACAAUCAUUACUUGGAUUGUCACCUACAACAAAACCACAAAUAUGGAUACAAUUGAGACAACGAAAAUAGACGAAGGAAGGCUAACAAAAUGAAUAAUGUAACUACGCAACUUACAUUGAAUUGUCUGGGUCAUAGGGGUCUCUAGGCAGCCAACACCAACACCACCGACAAAUGUUCCAGCCUCAUUGGGACCGGAUUGAGCAUCAAGAACGACAACCACAUCUUCCACACCCACCUCGUGACUGGGUACUGGGGGAGCUGAGGGUGCCGGAUUGUCCGGUUCCGGCGAGAACCCACCAAUGGGUGGUUGGCAAUUAAGAGGAGAAUCCACUAGAGGGGUUGGCUCCUUGGACAAGUUGCGCACAACCAAAUCCAAACAUUGAAACUCAUUCUUCAUGACAGUUUUGACAUAUUUGUCCCAUUGAACCUCGGAUACAAUUGGGACCAACCACCUAAAAAUUGUCCCUGACCGGCCAUGAUGAAGUACCCCCUCAACUAAGAUUUCUUCUUCAUUUGAAUUACAUUUAAGCUCAUCACGAGCACUACCCAUCAAUUCAGAAAACAAGGGCCGCUCAUCAAACAUCAAAGGGACCCUUUGCAUUCCAACAAAACCAACAUUGCCAAACUGAUCUUCCUCCACAAUUCCUCCAUGAUAUAGAGUUACUACAUUGUCCAUCUAAUUGAUAUACAAAACACCCAAGUUACUAGGCAUAUAACUAAUAUAGGUAAAACACCUAUAUAUCUAUGUAAGUAAAUACGUAUGUAACUAACUAUAUAACUAAAAUUACAAACUAGAUUGAUCUAACUAAAUUACAUAACUAAAUUUUACAAAUAUUAGAUAAACUACUCUAAAUUACAUAACUAAACUUUACAAAUAUUACAUAAACAAUAUAUUACAUAAUGGAUAUCUCAUAUUCAUACAAAUUAUACCAAAACUAAUACCAAUAUAAAAAAUUGCUACAUGAAUUAUUUUAAAAAUAUAAAACUUACAAAACUAAAUACAUUAUCUAAACAAUUAUACAACUAAAAAAAUUACCUAACCUCGGUGCUUCGCGCGCCUCCUACGCAGCAGCGAGGCGGACGGGGGCAGCGGCGGGGCCGGCAGGGGGCACCCGCGGGGAGGGCCGGGAGCACCGGCGGGGGCGGCAGGGGGAGGCGCCGCGGCGGGCCGCCUGGGGGGAGCGGCGGCCGGGGAGCGUGGCGGGCGGCCUUGAGCGUGGAGCGUGGAGGGGGAGGAGAACGAAGGAGGCGGCCUCGGGCGGGCAAGGCCGGGCGGGAUUUUUGUCUCAAUACCUCGGCGCCAGGAUCUGUGGCGUCGAGCCUUUUUUUUCUGCCACAUACGACGCCACGUCAGAAGCCACGCUGGGGUCGGCCAGAGAGGUCGACGCCGUGAUCCAUGGCGUCGAGCCGUGUAACCUCGACGCCAUGAAGCAUGGCGUUGACCCCCUAGGUCCGAUUAAGUUUUCCAGGGUCCAAAAGAGAAUUUUAUUCAAAAAAAAGUUACAAAUUGUAAAAAAUUGGGGAUGAGUGCCCGGUCUCUUCUACGCGCGAGAGCUCGGUGGCCUCCUACCUGCUCGCGCAAUCUCGUUGGCCGCCCCUCGAUCGGGAUCGUAGCGCUCGUCACCGGCCACCGGCUCGUGACCCUAGGGACUACCGUCGACUGCCUAGUGGCUCGCCCCCGAGCCUCCCGUCGCUCACCUCCGAGCCGUAGAUGUGUGCGCACCGCUGUUGCUUGGUCCAACGGAGGUGGAGCAGCCGCCGACGGAGACGACAGAGCUGGAGGAGCACCAGAUAUGCAUCGUGGAGGUGAGUGCUAUCGGUCGUCGGGCCAUGCUAGGUGGCGCGUAGCGAUCCCAGGCAGGGUUGCCAAGCGACCAACGUCCGCUUCGUCCAGAUGCAAUAACAUUUUAACAUGUGAUGUUUCUUUUUACAACAACACACGAACAUUCGAUUACUACCUGAAUUUGUAUCUGAGUAGGAACAGUGAACAAGCUCAAAUACUUUAAGUAUUUUAGUCAUAUUUUGGUUAUCUCUUUUGGUGAUAUGCUUUGAGAAAUAAACUAUUGCAAUUCCUAAAAAGUUCGAUGCAACACAAUGCUAUACAAAUGCUAUACAAAGUGAAAUACAUAAUUGAUCUUCACUUUAUAUAAAACAUUAAACACCGUAUAGACUAUUCUUUGUUUAUGGGUCGUAUGACUUGUCAUUUUAAAUGUCUGUAUGUUAGAUUCAAGGUUUUUAGAUACAAAGGGUCGUCUGCGGGUUGUACAUGCCCUAAGAAAUAUAAUGGUUAAAAAAUAUAGAAAUUAGAUAUUGGUUUACUAGAUAUUUGCAUUAAGUUCUACUAUUCCAAAAAUCCCGAUGCAUGUGCAACCAAUAGCAACUUCAAACCUCGUUUUGAGCGCAUGGGCAUGCUUUGCAGCCUGCUAAGAGCAUCUCUAAGAGAUUAGCCAAAAAGACUAGCUAAAUUUACUGAUUUAGCUACUCUCUAAAAUAGAUUUAACAAAAAAACAUUAGAGUACUCCAACAGACUUUGUAAAGAAUGGCUAGUGAGAUAGACUAUCCAAAAGUAGAGAGCGAAUAAGGUGGGAUAGAGAGAUACUAAAUUUAAAGAGUCAUUUACAGAGUCUACUGAAAACAUUUUUUCUUCAACAAUAACUAAAUUUAUCUUUAGAAAAUGAUUUGGCUAAUCUCUUGGAGAUGCUCUAAAUUGGGUGCUAGGUAGGGAUGACAAUGGAUCAGAUAUGAACGAAUAUCACUGAUAUCAUAUUUGUUUUCAUAUUUUUGGUCAGAUUUGGAUUCGAAUACGGAUAAUGUCAACAAUGUCACAUAAUAUACGAUUGGAUGUCGACAUCAUAAAUAUACGAUUUAAGUAUUCGGAUACGGAUACAGUAUCAGAUAUUGAACAUUCGGACUCGGAUACGGACAAAUCUGAACAACUCUAAACGAAUUUGGUCUCAAAUACAGUCAAAAAAUAUCCGUACUAUUUUCAUCCUUAGUGCUAGGCAGCUUGAUUGCGCUGCUCAGUUGGACGCUGCUUGGCAAUGACGGUAGCUGGCGCGAAUUGUUUCUUUUCUUUGUGAUUCAGGAGAAGAGUCGAGGCUGCGAGGGAUAGGGAUGCCAUGGUCGAGGAACGGAGGAAGAUUUUUCCAGUUGAAGUGAGAACCUUCGGGAGGUAGCGACGUGGACAGUAGAUGCUCACUGGGGCCUGGUCCGACGGUGUUUGCUUGGUUACUGUUACUAGAACAGUGUUCUGAAUCCGGGAGUUGUUCAUCUACAGACGUUUGUGAGAGAGGGAGCAAUCUACAACUUUAAGAGUAUAGGAUAGAUAAAAGAUCCUCUUACACAAGAUCUAAUGAGUAAAGUAACCUUAAAAGUGUACAUCUUUGAAAAAUUGUCUCUUGAUCUCAGUCUAUAAUCUUGGCUACUACCAACAUAUUGGCUACUAUAGACUAGCCAUUCAAAUGUUAAAGCAAUGUAUCUUAAAUAACUGCACUAAGAUGACAUUCGUUUUCAUUCCUUUGCCGGUUGUCCCUGCUCAUGAAGCUAGCUUAAGAAUCCAAUCUGAUUUUCAUUUCGUUCAUAGAUUGCUAUGGCUGAAAAUACUAUUUGCUGAUUUAUUGUAAAAGAAAAACACUACUGAAUGACUUGCAGAUUCGGCAAAUAAGCUCAAACGAACAAAGCCUUAAAAAAAAAUCAGAUUGGCACAGAAAAUCAGAGUGCCAAACCCCAUCACUUCUCACUGUUCCCCAUUCCUUAGCCAUAGAAAAUCCUUUAGAAUUGAUUCACACUUGCUCUUCACCGGAAUUACUCCUUCAAAGAACAAAGUAGAGCUCUACCAAAGAUGCAUUUAUUAUGAAGUGAUUCUUUAAAAUAAACUAGAAGGCAAGGAACUAGAAAGUAGCUUGUGCUAAUUCACUCUACGCAUGGAAUCACUAUAUACAUAGUAGUUUCUUUAGAUAAUCAUAAGAUAAAUAUUUUUUAUCACUAUUUAGGAAUUAAUUUCUACAUUUUUUUGAGAAUCAGGAAUUAAUUUCUACAUAAUCUGAACGCGGAAGAAGCUCUUUCAAACAGCCCAGUAAACCUAAUAAGCUCAGCCCAGCCCAGCCCACCACACGAGCUUUACAAGUCACCACUGACACGCUCCCCUUUCCUGUAGGCGUAGCCCGCUCCCCGCUCACACCGAAAUUUGAAAUCAUCCUCCCAGUCUCCUCCUUCCACCACCGCUAGCGAACGAAGCAGCGCCGCCGCGUCAUGGAGAAGAUCUCCGUCGCCGUCCGCUUCCGCCCUCUCAACCCGGCGGCCGCUGACCUCUCUCCAUCCGGCGCCGGUGGAGGCGGCGACCGCGAGUGGCGUAUCGACGACACCCGCGUCUCCCUCCUCCACCGCGCCGCCGGCCCCGUCCCCGGCGCCUCCUUCGCCUUCGGUACGGAUCUCCCCCUCCUUUUACGACCUUCCUCUCCUUCACUCUCGCUCUCAACCCCUAAACCCGCCCGCUCGUGCCUCCUUCCUUGGGCUGCUUGAUCGGUUGGCUCCGCAGACCACGUGUUCGACGGUGCCGCGACCAACGAGCGGAUCUACGGCGCGCUCGUCCGGGAACUCAUCGGCGCCGUCGUCGGCGGGUUCAACGGCACCGCCUUCGCCUACGGCCAGACCAGCAGCGGGAAGACGUUCACCAUGAACGGCUCCGACGCCGACCCCGGCAUCAUUCCCCGCGCGGUCCGCGAUGUCUUCGACACCGUGCGUCAGGUGCGUUGAUUGCUCGAUUAAUUAUUUGAUUGGUUGCUGCGAUUGUUUCUGAUGCACGCGAGUGAUUUGUUGGGUUUGGGUCUGUUGGUCAGGCCGACGACCGUGAGUUCCUCAUCCGGGUGUCCUACAUGGAGAUCUACAACGAGGAGAUCAACGACCUCUUGACGAUUGAGGGCCAGAAGCUGCAGAUUCAUGAGAGCUUAGAGGUAAGUACUACUUUGGACAUUUUUUCUCUGAUUUCUGGACAGUUUUUUUGUAACAUUGAAAAUUUGUUGUUGCCUAUAGCGUGGAGUGUAUGUGGCCGGUUUGCGGGAGGAGAUCGUGAACAGUGCAGAGCAAGUGCUUGAGCUCCUCCAGCUUGGAGAAGGCACAUUUCUGUCGUUAUGGUUUAUUUUUCACCAACUGCGAAACUUGUGUAACCAUUUCCAUUUGUCACUACUUCUUUGUUGUUCACAGCGAAUAGGCAUUUUGGAGAGACCAACAUGAAUGUGCGGAGCAGUCGGUCACACACUAUUUUCAGAAUGGUAUAGAAUUCUGAAUUCCAAAGUUAUUCUGUAAUUGCAGCUGUUCCAAGACCAUUUUGUAGCUGAAUGGAAGUGAUAACAUGUUGUGUUUAUAUUGGCAGGUAAUUGAAAGCAGCGGUAAGGACCAGAUAAACUGUGGGGAUGCUAUCCGCGUAUCUGUUUUGGUAUGUACUGCUGACUCAAUACUUAGGUAUCAUGUAUGUAGUAAAAGUAACUGUGUAGAAAAUAUUGUGAUUUACACUUUUGUUUUACAUCUAGAAUUUGGUGGACCUUGCUGGGUCAGAAAGAAUCAUCAAGACAGGGGCAGAAGGGGUACGCUUGAAUGAGGGGAAGUAUAUUAACAAGAGCCUGAUGAUUCUUGGAAAUGUCAUUAAUAAGUUGAGUGACAACGGAAAACAAAGGUACCUUCUAUAGACUCUAGAGUAUUGCACAAGUUUCUUCCUCAUGUGUUUCCUAAAUCUAUAACUUUCUAUAGGUAGAGUGUGCUAAAUUUGAUGGAAAAUCAAUCUAGAGAUGUAUAUGUUAGAUGACAGUAUGACACAGGACAGCUGGCCCAAUGGGCUGCUCGGCUGAUGUCCCUAUGGGCCAUGCACCCACUUGUAAUUAGGAUGGUUAUGAUUGAGUCGUUAUAGGCAAGGACCGCUGUUAAGUGUUCUGUUUCUAUAAGCCAAACCCUAGGUCAUUCUUAACUAUAUUUGUGUAACCUUUCAUCCUCCAUAAUUGAUCCAUUACUUCUGUGCCAUAAGCCAUAUUCUCGCUUACAAUAUACUUGUUUAUAUUUUUAUAUAUUGUUUUUAAUUGAUCCUAUUACUGCCUUAGGGUCUGAUAAUGAUCAAUACCGAGUCCUACUUUCUGUCAACAGCUCAAGUGUUAGGAUGAUUUUGUUAGUGUAUUAAACUCAAAUUCAUUAUCCAAACUGGUACCUUCUCCACUUCUACUAGCUAGAGAAACACUUUUUUUUUGGUCUUGACAGUGUGCACUUCUGUACUGCAGCCAAUGUGCUCAUUUAUUUAUUUCUUCAGUGAUCUCAUUAUUGCCUUGAGUUUUUUUAGAGUUAUCCCUUAUGGGGAGUUUUUGAUCAUUGUCGUAUUCUUAAUGCAAAAUGUUACUACCUUAUGCAAGAAAAUGAAAUAAUUCAUGUUACUUUUACUCUAGUACAAGAUGCAACAAUCAUAUGAAACUUUGUAAGAUCUAUUGUUUAAUGGUAUUAGGUGAAUAUUUUUAUGCAGAGGGCACAUUCCCUAUCGUGAUAGUAAGUUGACACGCAUUCUCCAACCUGCGCUUGGAGGCAAUGCAAAGACAUCUAUCAUCUGCACUGCUGCACCUGAAGAGGUUUGUCUAUACACUUGCAUUUGUUGCAUCGGGGAAAACUGCUGUACUGACUAGUAUUUUCUUUAUUGUUGCACAAUCUGAAUAAAAUUGACAUGUACUCUACAGAUUCACAUUGAGGAAACUAGAGGAACUCUUCAAUUCGCAAGUAGAGCAAAAUGUGUCAGCAAUUGUGCCCAAGUAAAUGAGGUAUGCGUUAAAUCUUCUAAAAAUGCUUGAGCUAUGUUAGUGAUUAUUUUCAUGUAAAUGCAUUGUGAGUGGUCAUAUGUACAUUGGUAGAAUUUAUUUUUUAGUAUACUGAAAGUGAAAAAUUUAUUCCAAAUGUCUGGAAUGCGUUCUUGUAAAUGCUCUGAUGCCAAUCCAAAAAUUACUCCUGCUUCUAUAUUUGCAGUAAGGAUAGUCUAUUCAAUUUUAGUUCAUAUAGUUUAUAAGUAUCAAGAGAACCUAACUUGACCACUUUUGUGACAGAUUCUAACAGAUGCUGCUUUGCUGAAGAGGCAAAAGCUAGAGAUAGAGGAACUUCGUAAAAAACUGCAGGUAGUUACUGUUAGGUUGGUAUUGCUCUCCAUAAGAGUAGGAAUUUGAGUCUUGAUUUAUGUUUCAUGAAUUUCAGGGCUCCCAUUCUGAAGGGUUGGAGCAGGUUGUGCUAAAACUACGGAAUGACAUGCACAAGGUAUGUAAUCACUAAUGGCUAUUAAAAGAACUACUUUUUUUUUUAACUUGUAUAAAUAAACCACAACUUUAAUAACUACAUAAUAAAGAUAUCUGUGUUCUUUUCAUGUAGUCUGAACUUGAGCGUGAUCGACUGGCCAUGGAACUUGAAGAGGAAAAAAAGUUACGGGUGACUCUAGAACAACAUUUGACUGAGCAACAGAAGAAGCUAGAGGCCACAUCGUCAGACCACUUUACUGAUUCAGUCCAGGUAUAUUUGAUAAAGAAGCAUAGUAACAAAUAGUAAUUUCAGUCUUGUAUGUAUGGAAAGCUAAAAGCUGUCCACAACACAUGUCACUGAUGGUCCAUGUCUGUCACCAUAUCGACCCUCUUCCAUCUUAUGUUCAAUAUGCAUGUUCCUGGUGAUAAUGAAACUAUAUGUUUGCCUGUUGCAGUUGGAUGCACUGAAAACUCCAGAUUCGAAGUCUGUACCAGAUGGCUUUGUUGUCUGCCGCUCACGUUAUUCAAAUGAUGUUGAGUUCAGCCCAUUACCUGAAAAUUUGGAUAAUUUCGCUCAUGAAGAUCUAUGGACACGCCUCAACAAAGGUUGUGUUACUGAUCUUGACAUGCUUGAGAUGACACCUGGUCUGAAACGCGAGGCAUCCUUUAUACAAGAUACAUCAGUAAGUUUUUCUCUGUUCCUGCAUCAUUUGCUCUAAUCUGUUUGUUUACAAAUAUUUUAGGCUGUCCAUAUUCAUAGAACAAGAAAGUGAUUAGGACAUAAAUUGUUACAAAAGUAGAGUAACAGACUACCAAGCAGGAACAAGAUAACUUUGUAUUCAAUAGGACUUGAACUUGGGUAGGGUUUGGUAUUAACACCCAUAUCUCCCACCAACCUAGCUAGGAUUUGAAUGUGCUGGCUCACUCUGUAACAGGCAACAUAAUCAAUAGUUAGAUCUAUUGCAUCUUACCUAUUUAUCUGCCGCUACUUGCCAAGCGAGCAUAGGCUAGUUAGUAAGCUCCCAAUCCAACAAGAGACUGCUUCAGUGUCUCAUAAAAAAAUGUGUCUGUAAUAGCUAGUUGGCAGAGUUCAUCAGGGAGAUCCAAGUUUGAUCGUGGUAAACCAUCUGAGGUCUGGAUGGUUUUGAUAAAUUUGCUUCAAGAAGAUGCAACAUAGUUGAGUCAAGAUACUUAAUUCUAGCUACUAAGGACUGUCACCUGGUUCCUUUUCCUUCUCCAUAUAUUACUGGGCCUGUUACCUGUAGCUUAAGAAGAUCGAGAAGCUAUAAUUAAUUGCUUAUAUUUUUCUCGAACAGUUAAUUGCUUAUAUUUCAUAAAAAGAUCGAGAAGCUAGUACACCCUUCUGUUUCAGUUAAAAUUCGCUCUCUGUUUCCAUAUAAGGAAUAUGUUGGAACUGAGAUAUGAGAAAUGACUUGCUUAUUUCUGUCCUUUUCUGCUCUCUGCUUGCAGGCUGUGCCAUUGGAGGAACCUACUGACGCUAGAUGCCAGAGGUUAGAAAAGGAGUGCAUUUCUGAUCGGCAACAGUUUGAGGAAUCAAAGGCAAGAUGCACCAAUCUCGAGAAAGAGUGCGACAUGCUGAGGGACGAGAACUUGUCCCUGCAACAGAAGCUCUCCGCCGCCAGGCAGGAGGCCCACCGCCUCGCCACUGAGAAGCAGGAGCUGGCCGGGGAGCUGGGCACAGAGAGGCAGAAGUUGGAUGAGCUGAAGCAGGAUAUCCGGAUGAUCAGCCGUGGCUUCUUGCAGCGGGAAGGGCAGCUCACGUCGCUCUACACCAAGUCCAAGGCCAUCCUGGAGAACUGCAAGACCUCCCAGGUAGCUACUCUGCCUUGACGGUUUUGAGUGAGACCGCGUGCACAGCUUGGUGCUGGAUAAAGAUAAAAUCUCUGUGCUUCUGCAAUCCUUCUUGCUUGCAGAUCAUGAUCAUGAGUUUGUGUGUUGGUUAUAGAUGUGCUGGGUCUCUGUUGUGUGAAAAAGUUCAGCAGAAUAUGGGCAGGCUGCGUUUGCCAUUAGUUUUCUGUGAGCUUCAAAUAUUGUAUGACCUGUGAUUCUGUGAACGUGCCAUGUAAUAUCAUAAAUGAGUAUCAGAUUGCCAUCAGCUUAAAACUCAUAGCAUUACCUGUAUCUACUAUAUGGUUUGGAAGAAACGGCUUGCAUAUGAUGUUGGCUACUGCAAAAUAAAAGACCAUAGGGGGACAGCAUUUUUAUGUUCUGUACGACAUAAAAAGGGCUAAUGGUACUUUUUUUGUGUGCCCGCACAAGUACUAAGACCCUAUUUAGUUGCAGAAAAUUUUGUAAAAUGGCUAUUGUAAUACUUAAGUUUGUAUUUGAUAAUUAUUGUCCAAUCAUGGAUUAACUAGACUCAAAAGAUUCAUCUCAUAAAUUACUGAUAAACUGUGCAAUUAAUUAUUUCUUAUUUAUAUGCUCAAUGCAUAUGCCGCAAGAUUCGAUGUGACAGAAAAUCUUGAAAAAAUUUACAAAAUUUUUAGAAACUAAACAGCUCCUAAGCUAGCCACACAAAGAUCGGUAGAGGCUCACACAACACAUCUUGCGUUACAAGAUUCCCCCAUUCACCCAUCUGUGCUCAUCAAAAGUAUCGAUUCAAGACUCAAAUCUUCACUCUGGAAUCAACAAUAGAGAUGAAAUCAAUUUAGAAUGGACAUUGUUUUGUUUGACCUUAUGCCGGACACUCACAUCUUUAAUCUCAAGAUAGUACUCGUUAAGUGCUUCACGUUUUUCAGCUCCGCUCUAUGUUUUUUAGCCAAACGGUUUCAACUCCACGCACUUAGUUCGAGGAAAAAGGAAGGAGCUGUGAGAGCACGUGAGGUACUCCACAAACUCCAGUUUUUUAUGGAGCUGCUCCACGAUGAAGUUUGUGGAGCUGUCCCAAACACCCUCUAAAUUUCUCCUUCCAAGCAAUAAUAGCAUCCCAUUAAAAGAAACUUGCCAUUUAAUGCUUCCAUGAUCUGGAAGAGUAGGCAUGUUUGUUAAAGUCUCGAUAAUUUGACUUUUCAAAAAAUGAAGCUGAAUUAUGAAUAUUAACCUCUACACAUGGUGCUGAAUUUUCAUUUAUUCGACUAUGGUUACUAGUAACAUGUGAAGCCGAAUCAUGAAUACUAGUAUUUGAAUAUCUUGUUGAAGAGCAACAAGUGAAUCAGAAUCAUGAAUUUUAGCACUCGAAUGCCUUGCUGAAAUUUCAUUAAUUCGGCCAUAGUUAUUAGUAACAUAUGAGGCCGAAUUAUGAGCACUAGUAUUACAUAUGAUGCUGAAUUUGUAGGCAGAACCUUUGCUCUAUUAGCAUAUUAUUGUGCACCAUAUAAGAAUUGAGAGUAAUCGACUAAAUGUUAGUAUCACCAUAAUCAAUUCUCUCAUUCAUCAGCAUGUCUUGUGUGGUGGAAUCACAUAUCUUGGUGAACUGAGGCUAGCUCAGUUGGUUCGGUUCCUUGUUGCAAAACUUGCCCAUCGGAUUCAAGUCUUUGACUUGGUACAACUACUCGUAUCUUUUUAGAUUUAUUCUAGGAUUUAACGCGUUAUGUUUUUAGUGGUAGGCGACAUUGCAAUCGACAAAAGACACCUAUGUGACUUCGUUAAUAUUGAGAUGUGUGAAAGGAUCUAAUUGGCCUAGAGGGGGGAUGAAUAGGCGUAUUUUAGAAAUUAGCCUAAAACUCAAAAACUCAAGUUGCGGAAGUUAAAUGCCUGUCGGUACCACCGACAGUUUGGGCCGGUACUACUGGUGUAAGACAAUCAGUACUAUUGACGCAACUGCUAGUACUACCAACGCCCUAAGAGAGCUACGAAAUUAGAGUAUAUUGAGUUUUGAUUUCAGAUCUAAGAGUUACCCCACUCUCCUAAAUGUAGUAGAGGAUGGAGUUGAAGUUUCCUUGGCUCGGUUCUUCUCCAAAAUGUAGAUCGACCCUUGUUCACCUAUGAAAGGGGAUAAAGAGGAAGAACACGAAGAACACAAGAACAAGGGUAGUCGAUGCUACCUCCACAGCAUGGCAAGAUAUUUUCCCGAGGUUUGGCAAUCCCCACGAAGGAGUUUCUACGUCCCCGUUGUUGAGGUGACCACUAAGGUCUGACCACUUAGGUCUCCUCACCCAAGCAACCAUGAAGGUUAGCUCGAGAUUUUCACUAAGAAUCAAAGGGUGAUACAAACACUUCAGGGUGCCCUCACAAAUGAAUCAACAUAGGCAACCACGAAGAACGCCUAGCCGGCUAGGGUUCCAAGAAUCUAAGAGUAACAAAUGCAAACCAACCAGCAAGACAAAGAAACCAAGUGCUCAAAUCAUGAAUCGAAGCUCCCAACUCUCUAAUCUCACUUCUCUAGCUCGAAUCUCUCAAGGAUUGAAGGCUAGGAGCAAAGAGGGAGAGUGAGUGGGUGAGUUAAAGCUUGGAGACUAUUUUCUCAGAUGUAGAGUCGAAGGAAUAGGUGAGCUUACGGUUAGAAAUGAGGGAAGAGCUAUUUAUACAUAUGUUCAGAACAACUGUCGGUACCACCAGCUACCUCGAUCUGACUGUUAGGAGAUUCUAGGAUGCGCGAGAAAUAACCCUACCGGUACCAUCGGGCUUGUGUCGGUACUACCGACCAUCGCCGGUACCACUGAUAGUUCAAAUCUGCACAAUCAGAGUUGGCGCAAAUUUGACCUAUAGGUACUACCGACGUUUCACCGGUACUACCGGCGCUGGCCAGUACUACCGGCCUAAGCUCGGUACCACGAGCAGUUCAAAUUCUCGCAGAUUCUAGAGAGGCCACUGAGCAAGGCUUUGACUUGCCGGUACCACCGACUCAGAGCGUUGGUACUACCGACGCACCCUGGUAGAAAAAAAUGUUUCUAAGUGCCUGUGAGUGCAAGCGUGUCUCUCAAGAGCAUUGUAUAUUGACCUGAGCACCCUUAUCCUCAUCUUACCAACUUAAUUUGCAUCCCUCUUGAUAGUGCGGCAUUUCCUAUAACCCAACAAAAGAUAAGAAUAUUGUAGCCACUUGAGUCGAAACACCAUUCAUCCAUUGAAAAUUUAGGGGUGCUAUAAUUCACUGAAUGUUUUCGUUCAAUUCCAUCAAUGGACUAACACCUAUAGAUAAUGCUCGAUAAACAUGUUAGUCCCUAAUUUGAUUGUCAUUAGUUAUUAAAACCCACAUCGAGGGCGAAUGCACUUACAAUGUGCCGGCACAAUCUUUUGGAGGUGCUCAUAGGGCUAGGAUUUGCGUAAAGAUGUUCAUAGGGUACUUGUGUAAUUUUCUAAGAAAAAAAAACCACAUAUCUUGAACUUAUAGUCGACGAAUAAGGAUAUACAUGUUAUGUGUUGCUAGUAGCAAUUAAACUCGACGAAUUCAUAGUUGACAUCGGCUCUUGAACAUGAUAUCCAGAAUUAUGAUAUAUUAGAUGAGGACCAUUAUCAACAUAGGUAUUGGUCGAUGCAACAUAUCUACCAUUAUCGUGACUAGCAACACCAAUAUGAGAAUUCAUAUAAUUUGCAAAACAACUAUUAGAAUCAUAAGAUAUAUUUGCAUGUUGUGCCUUGGGGGUAAUUGUAGUACUAUUGUGAUGCAACACCUUGGUACUCCAUGAUCUAGAAAUUGACCACCUUGCUGAAUUUUUCAAUAGCAAGAGCAACACUUGUAAAAUACAAAGAGAGAACACAAGUGGUCAAAACCAGAUGCAAUCGACCAUUUGGGCUAGAUGCAAUGGUAAUGAUGAGCACAAGAAGAUAGAUAAAUGAAGAGUAGGACUAUGGCAAAGAGAGAUUCGGCUACAAAGUAGAGCCAAAGUAGUUGUCUCCAGCAGAGUCAUUAAAAAGUGUGUUGACAACAUAUUUGAUCCUGGUCACAUACCAACUAGGGCUAGAUCGCCUGAGUCACCACGGACCAAAGAACAUAGUGAGGAUCACACUUACAUGAUGAAGAAAAGAGAGGUUUACAAGCAAACCACCAAAGGAUAUCUAUUGUGCUUUGCAUAAUGAAGAACGACUAGUUUCUAGACAAACUAGCAAAGAAAUCGUCGAAGUUCACACGCGAGAGGGACCCCGUGGGGGCAAAGACGUCGUUGGGUUGCCCUAGGUCGGCUAGCAAGCCUAGGGCACCAUUCUUGGUAGUCGGAUCAAGUGAUAAACAACAAGACAUUGGUUAGAAGAGAUUAGGCAAAAGGGAAGUAAAAUUGGUUCUAAUUUGAUCGAUUGUGUGUGUUGGGCACCUCAAUCCAUUGUGCACUUUAUAUUUAUCAAGUGGGGGUGGUCUUAUCCCAUAAGGGGUCAAAAUUCUUGCAAAACACCUUAUAACACAUUUAUUUAGAUCCGAUUUAGGACUGCCAAAUUCGGCUAAGCCGGUUCUAGAGUCAGCUAAAUCGACUUCUACAGGCUCCAGGCAAAAACUUUUGAAAUUUAGAAUUAAUUAUUUGGGAGUCUAAACGAGGUAAACCAUAUAUGUUUUUCAAUAAGCUCGACGAGAGAAACACAAUAGUGCAAUGCAUUCUUACAUUUGAGAAAAUUGAGAAAGUUGGCUUAGCCAAUUUAGGGAGCGAUUCUAGCCGGGCCAGCCUCCUGAAAAGCCAUUUUCUUCGUUGGGGCUUCAAAUGCGAUGAUCCAAGUAUGCUUUCUUGCCGUUUUGAUGAUAAAAAUAUGAUGGUGAAGUCCAUUAUGUACUUUGUAUAAUUUUGGAUGUCAACAGUAGAGCAGACGUGGGCACGCAGGGACAAGGCCAGUGUGGUCGUUGGGGUGCACGGCCAUUGGGAGCAUGGUGUCGGGCCAAGGUUCUUCCUCCGUGCAUAAAGGCUUGAUCAACGCAGGCCAACACUGUGUUACCCUCAGCAAUAAAAGUGAGUCCACGUAUACACAAAAACUUCCAAGCUACCACAACGCAAGCUAUUGCCAGCACUUCUCUUUCUCUGCUUGAAAAGCUACCAUCGCUCGCUAGCUAGAAGACGCUCAAGCACGCCACAAUGCGUCUGCAGCCCAGGAUUUGGCCAAGACUAGGGCCAAAUCUUGACGGUCAAAAUACAAAAGCUACAACCUCUAUAAUAUAGUCUAUAUAUAUAUAUAUACGGCAAUAUUAUUCUACACCCUAGGUGUAGAAUAUUAUUCUACACCGCAAGCCAAAAUUGAGCAGAAAAAAAACUGAGUAGUACUCAACAUCGUUCAAUAUCAUCCAACGCUACACUUAGGACCACGAAAUACCGAACAAUACUGAAACACGGAUACUGAACGAUACUGAAAUCUGUUCAGUAUAGUAGUUCGGUGUAGAAUAGUAUUCUACACCUAGGGUGUAGAAUAGCACUUAUAUAUAUAUAUAUAUAUAUAUAUAUAUAUAUAUAUAUAUAUAUAUAUAUAUAUAUAUAUAUAUAUAUAUCACAGAAAACAAAUAUUCUCAAGCAAAGUUUGCAAAUCCAGAGAAAUUCAACUAUAUAAUUAAUAGUAUAAUAGAAUAGCCUUUGUCUUCUUCAUCUAAUUGGAAUUAAACAUUCAAAAUUAGUAGUUGAAAUCAAAAUUAGUAGAGAUUACUUGAAGCAAAUAAAGAGAAGAACUAAAAUUGAACUAUUGAAGAAAUACCUUCACGGCUUCACAACUGCCUUUAGGAGGUUGCCAAAGAGGCGAUGGGCAAGGAUCGGCCUUGCCUGCCUAUCUGCGUGGGCUACGGCAGCCACCGGGUGUCGGCAAGCGAGGGCUACGCAGCCACGGGGUGGAGCAGGAGGCGGGAGGCACUGAGGCAACAGGCAGGGGCGGCGGCGCCGAUGUGUGGUACGAGAGGUGGAAGGCAGAACCACAGAAGAGUUGCAUGACAGUGUGACUGCAUAGGUGACGAGGACUCUUUUGGGCUGGCUUAGUCUCCUCGGCUUUGUUUUUUGGGUCAAACCUGAAGACUUGCUCCUAGAAGUUUUGGGCUACCACUAGGGCCCUAGGCCCGCCCCUGUCUGUGGUUGAUGCCCAGCUCUUUUGUCAUAUGAAGCCAUGAAGGCUUCUGCAAGCCACACUGAUAGGUUUUGAGGCUAUGAAAGCGUAUGACAUGAAACAUCACCGUUGAGCUGGACAAUGAGGCUGUACGCCAUGUAGGAGCGUUGGGGAAGCCAUAAGUGGAACAACAAACCUCCUCCUUUCAGAAUUACAGAAUACAAAGAGUCAAAGACCAAUAAUCUAAAGAAAAAAGAGUCAACGACCAAUAUACAGUGCGAAGUACAUCCAUUAUGACUAAGGCCCUGAUUGGUUCCACCAACUAAUUAUUUUAGCUACUCUUGGGUGACUAAUGGAACUAAACUAUUUUAUCCCCUUUUAGUCAAUGUGUUUGGAACUUUAGCUACUAAAGUGACUAAAGUUUAGCUAGCAAAAAUUUAGUUGGUGGAACCAAACAGGGCCUAAUAUAGUGCCACAACCACAACACACAAAAACUUAAACAGUUGGAUUGUAAUGUAUAUAUGGGUUCAGACGGAAAAAAACAAAUAAGAGUUCUUCUCAUUUCGAUUAGGUCCACUGCUCCGCUACACUGCAUGCUGAUGAAAAUUGUUGUCGAAUUACAUACAGAGCAAAGACGAGACGAGACGAGACGAGACGCUCUGGUCACUGUUCUACAGUCUCCAAGAAGCUUUGUCAACUGAUGAACAAGUAACAGAUUCUAAAUUCCCGCCCGGGCUGCGCGCAUGCCGGCCGGCGAACAUGUCCAGGGCUCACAGUCAGCGACCGGAGCCUCUCGGGCGCUGCCGGGCACAGUCAGCGACCAACGUCGACAAUGAGGCCGACGACGAGGACGCCUCUCGGGCGCCGGCACAGUCAGCGACUAACGUCGACAGCGAGGCCGACGACGCGUACGCCUCGGGCGCCGGCAUCGCGACUGACGUCUGCAACGACGCCGACGAGGAGGACGCCUGGAGCGCGGGCGUCGCCACUGACGUCUGCAACGACGCUGGCGACGAGUUUACCAUGUUCAUUAUGCUCACCCAGUACUUCUUCUCCUCCUCCGUCUGCUGCUCGAUCAAGGAGUCGUCGAGAAGCAUGCCCGCGAACGCCGCCGCGGUGAUGUCUGCGUCAGCGACAUCGAUAACGUGAUCUCCCCACUGCUGCUGCUGCUGCUGAAGAGGUUCCUUGCGCGCCUCCUCGUGUGCCUGCACGGGCUUCGUGGCGGCGCGCGCUGCCGCAACAUCGGCGCGGAGCGCCUCCAGGACCGAGGCCUGCGCCGCGCUCUCAGAGAUGCUCAGCGUGGAUGUCGGCAAGCCGAGGUGGUGCGCCGCGGCAGGUCCGGGCAUCUGCGGCGGCGGCGGCAACAAGACGGACGCGGAGCCGGAGGCCGCGAGCGCGCGCCGGCGCCUGGCCUCGCGCGCGCGCGCCUCGGCCUCGAGCCUCGCGCUCCCCCACUGCGCCGUCACCGUGUGGCCGGCUUCGCCGUGCUUCGUGCCAGCGGCACCGCCGCCGGGCCCGGUUCCGCCGUCGGAGCGCGGCUUCUUGUGCGUGACCGGGUCGACGCCCAUCUUGGUUAGCCGCUUCAUGUUCCAGUAGUUCUUGAACUGGUUGUCUGUGCGCUUUGGGAGGUGUGUCGCGAUCUCCGACCACCUGCAAUGCAAGCACGGCGGAUGCCAUGAAAAAAAAUUGUCAGCAAUCGCGGGCGUCGACAAAUCUGUAUUGGCGGCGUAAACCACCAUGGGCGUGCGAGACAGUAACGAGUGCUUGGCCUGGCACAGACACGAUGCACUUUUCCUAAAAAAAAACAGACAUGAUGCACUAGCUCAACUCAAAUGACAACUUCUCUAACAAUAAACGACUACAACGCUUCGUCUUUGGUAAGGUUCUCUUUAGGCUCGAGAUCCACAUUAUCAUCCAAGCAAGGCAUAAAUGGGCUAGACCCCUUGUCCACAAUAAUUUCCAAGCACCUAACACUACUAAUCUUCACAACUUCUUUGUAGUUCUUCCAUUCUUCCUCACAUGACAAAGCCAUUAACACAUAGUGUGCUCUUUCCUUCCCACAGUUGACCUUUCCAACUUGUUGGCCACCUAAUUUUCUUCCGGCAUUGGGUAAGCAAAGCAUCAAAACUAAGAGGUGUACUAAAGAAAUGAAGUUGCCAUUCAUGCUGUCAAACUCCUCAUUUCCUUUAAUUUUGCCACCAUGAAACAAUCGCACUAAACAAUCCAUGUACAAAAUAUGAAGCAACACAUCAACACCUACAUCAACUGCAUAUUUCCAAAUCAAAUCGUGUGCCUUCACUACUACACACCUACAUCAAGUGCAUAUUUCCAAAUCAAAUCGUGUGCAUUCACUACUACACUAACAUAUCACAACCUUCACAGUGAUGACAACAAAGGCAACACACCAACCUAUCCAAUUCCUUCAUGUAUCAACUACCUAGGUUCAUGCAACAUGUAGUUUAUGUUGAAUCCAUGGGCAGAGUAUAUCCUAAAUCUAGUGUACGCAUCUAAUACUAAUAAUGAACGCAAAGAAACAUUCGCAACAUCUCAAAAUUUUGUAACCCUAGUCAUGGAGGUAAUGAUACACCAAAUCAAGAAAUCGAGGGGGAAGAAGUUGUACCUCGCAUGUAGGAGGGUGGCCAGAGCAGGGCGACCCACUAGCCACCAGCGGGGGAGGCAGCGGCGGCCAGCGUCGGCGUGUGGGGAGGCCGGAGGCGGCGGCGGCGGCGGCGCCUGGGUUUCCUUGGCGCUCGUGGGACGUGGAAGGAAGGGAGAGGGAGAUAGAGAAAAGAAAGUGGGCUGGGCCUACAAAACCCUAUGCCCCUUUGUUGCGCUCGAGUCGCUGGCGCAACAGGGUGGGCCCCAUCCGACGCCACGCUAGAUCAAGUCUGUGGUCGCUGCUACCGUAGCGCCCCUGGUCACGCUAGUGCGUGUGGCGCACCAAAGGGGCCAGUUUUGCUUAAGCUUUUUGGGUGUGUUUAUUAUUAAAAUAUUGAUUAAAAAAUGAUUAAAAAUAAAAACCCCCUUACAAGCCGUGUGCGCUGAAGGAGGAUAGAGCAAAACAGGAGGCAAAAGUUUCUUUUUGACAAGAAGCAAGGAGGUAAAAGGUUCAUAACUCUAAAGGCCUUGAAAGGCUGCCAUGUGAAGAAAUGUGGGGUGUCUAUCUCCAAAAGUGGCAACAAUGCUAUCUUGUUGUGACGCCACAACACUUAACCAUUUGAAAUACAACACAUAUUUUUGCAUAUCACACAAGACAAAUUGAUUAGGCAUUAGGGUUUUGCUUUCCUCCGGCGGUGCCGUCGGAGUCCACCAAAAUCGAGCGAUCUCCGUGAUCGCUCCAUCCGAUCCCUACGUCCGGAUUAUCCUCCUCUCCGCAAGGAGCUGGGGGAUCAUCUACGCAGGUUGCAUGGCUGAAAGCUCGAAGAAGGAGAAGGGGAAAGGCGUGGAUAUGGAGGAUGGUGGAGGUGUGCCAAGUCUAGAGGAGCGUUUGGAUGGACUGAAUCUACAAGGAGAGGAAGAUGAAGACCUUGAUUUUUCAGGGGAACUCGAUGAACUUGUGAAGGAUGGUCGCUGGAUUGCUUUGUUUAGGGUUAACACCCUGAAGCCCUUCAGUCACGCAGCUUUGUUUAGCGCCAUGAGGAACGCAUGGUCGGCGGCGAAAGAGGUGACGUUCAAGACUUUAGGACCGAAUCUAUUUUUAGUCCAAUUGAAUUGUCUUGGGGACUGGACGAGGGUGAUGGAGGGGAGUCCUUGGUUGUUCCGUGGAGCAGCAAUUGUGCUUGAGGAAUAUGAUGGUUUCUCCAAUGUUUUUGAGUACAGUUUGAACAGGAUCCCAGUGUGGACUAGAAUUCAAGGUGUACCAGAGGUGUUGAUGAAGCGAAGGGAACUAGCAGAGAAGGUAGCAAAGAAGGUUGGAGAAAUUAUUACUGUGGUGGUAAAUGAGGGCCAAAUUAAUCCUACACCAUAUUUGCGCGCAAGGGUUUGGCUUGACUUGAAUAAACCCCUUGUUAGGGUGGUGCCGAUCACUCUAAAGGAAAGGAAACAAUACUUGGUGCAGUAUGAAAAACUUCCAAGUUUCUGUUUCUUUUGUGGCCGCUUGGGGCACGAAGUAACAGAGUGUGGAGAUGGAGUGCACAAUAAAGCCACCUGCCAAUGGGGUGAUUGGCUGCGAAUUCCUUUCCAAGCGCUGGCCCGAGGCAGAGAAGAGUUUAGCAGUGGAAGAGGCAGUGGAAGGGGGAGAGGACGAGGAAGAGGUGGUGGAAGGGGUCAGUGGCUUGAUGAGGAUGAUGAUGAAAUAAAAAAUUCUGUUGGCGAGGAGGAAAAUUUAGAAAAAUCUAUGAUUGAUAAUAAGGAAAUCCCAGGGGGAGAUGGAGCAGAAGAUAUGCAAGUUGUGUUGGCUGAUCCGCACGCUUCCAUCAGUCCUCUGAAGGAACAGGAGAAAAAGAGACCGAGAAGGGACGGAGAGGCAGAGGAUGGUUCAAAAAAUACAACUGUGAGAUCGGCGCUCUCCUUCGAGGAGAGUGGCCGGGCGGAAUGAAAAUCUUAGCUUGGAACUGCCAGGGCCUUGCGAGUGCCCGGGCAGUUCGAGCGCUUCUGCAUAUCCAGAAGCGGGAGAAACCAGAUGUGUUUUUUCUGUCUGAAACACAUCUGGGUAAGGAGAAGACAGAAAGGUUGAAAAGAAAGCUGGGUUGUGAUCACUUCAUUAUUCAUGAAAGUGAUGGUCGAAGCGGAGGUUUACUAAUGUUGUGGAGGAAGGAGACUGUGAUUCAGUGCCAGGGUUUUUCACAAUAUUUUAUUGAUGUAAUAAUUCGGGGCCCUCAGGAUUGGAGGUUAACUGGUGUAUACGGAGAGCCAAGAUGGAAUCAUAAACAUUUAACCUGGGAGGCUUUGAGGGCUCUGCAUGGCAGAUUGGAUCUCCCAUGGCUGAUGGUAGGAGAUUUCAAUGAGAUCUUGUUCCAUCAUGAAAAGGAGGGAGGUAGAGUGAGAUCACAAUCACAGCUGCAAGCAUUCCAGGAUGCUCUUAUGGACUGUGAAUUAUCUGAUAUUGGAUUCUCGGGGGACGCUUUUACUUGGCAGCGAGGGAAGAUCAGAGAAAGAUUAGAUCGGGGAGUUGCUAACACACAGUGGAAUAUUUUAUUUCCAGAAGCUCAGCUUAUCAAUGGGGAGAUGGUGAAAUCUGACCAUCGUCCUAUCAUUAUCAAUACUGAGGUUUCUGGUGGGCUACACCACCAAAGAGAAGGGCAAAGAAAGUUUGAAGCCAGAUGGCUGAAAGAGGAGACAGUACAAGAGAUUCUACAGGCAGCCUGGGCACGGGCUGCAGCACAGGGCGGCGGUCCAAGUCUAAUGGCAAAGGUGAAUGUAGUGCACAAUAGUUUACAUGACUGGGAUAGAAGGGUUUUGAAAAAACCUGUUCAGCAAAUGAAAAAACUCAAAAGGGAACUUGAGAUUUUGAGGCGUGGAUCGUUAACAGAUGAAACACUAGCGGCACAAAAAGAGAUUCUACUGCGACUAGAAUUAUUACUAGAGCAGGAAGAAUUUUUCUGGGUUCAACGAGCUAGAGCAAAUUGGCUCAAACAUGGGGACCGAAAUACUAGCUUCUUUCACCACUAUGCGUCAACUCGAAGGAGGAGGAAUAUGAUUAAGGGGCUGGUAGACGAACUCGGGGUAAGACAUGAGAGUAUUGGGGAGAUGAAGGAAAUGGUGAGGGACUUUUUCUCAAAUCUUUUUACAUCUGAAGUGCACGAAGUUGAUGGGGAAGUCUUGAGAGAUAUAAAUUGCAGGGUCACCAAUGAUAUGAACCAGCUACUCCUAGCCCCAAUUUCUAGGGAGGAGGUGAAGAAAGCUUUGUUUAGCAUUGGUGAUCUAAAAGCCCCGGGACCUGAUGGGCUUCAUGCUAUUUUCUUUAAGCGGUUCUGGAACAUGUUGGGAGAAGAGCUAACUGAUGAGGUGUUACAGGCGAUAAACUCCUCUACGAUCCCAGAGGGGUGGAAUGAUACUACUAUUGUCAUGAUUCCUAAGGUGGAUAAUCCAGAGAAAGUUGCUCAAUUCAGACCAAUCUCUAUUUGCAAUGUGGUUUACAAGGUAAUCUCAAAGAUCCUAUCAAGUAGACUAAAAAUUAUUUUACCUGAUAUCAUAAGCCACCAUCAAAGUGCCUUUGUUCCGGGAAGACUGAUUACAGAUAACAUUUUAUUGGCAUAUGAGUGUUUACAUACCAUGAAAAAGAAAAAAGGAAACAGGGGGUUAUGUGCUGUCAAGCUUGAUAUGCAGAAGGCUUAUGAUAGGGUCGAAUGGGGUUUUCUAGAGAAGAUUAUGAUGAAGCUUGGUUUUAACCAACGAUGGGUUAAGCUUAUUAUGGCUUGUGUGAAAUCUGUCAAGUAUACUAUUCGAUUCAACUCUGUGGAAACUGAUGUCAUCGUACCAACAAGGGGUUUGAGGCAGGGUGACCCACUAUCACCAUACCUCUUCCUUCUAGUUGCAGAGGGACUAUCAGCUAUGAUUAAGGGUGCUGAGGAAAGAGGGGAAUUGGAGGGUGUUAAGGUAUGCAGGGCUGCUCCUGUUAUCUCACACUUGUUAUUUGCAGAUGAUUCUCUCAUUCUAAUGCAUGCUGAUAAGAAGAAUGCAGAAUGCUUGAUUGAUAUUUUGAACAAAUAUUGUGCAAAUUCGGGCCAAAAGGUGAAUGAAGCAAAGUCAAGUAUUUUCUUUUCAAAUAACACCAAUGAUGAUGCCAAAGUGGAGGUCUGUGAUGCACUGAAUAUCAUGACUGAAUCCCUUAGUGACAAAUACUUGGGCUUACCAGCAAUGGUGGGGGCUGAUCGGAGUGACUGUUUUCGGCAUCUUAUUGAUCGGGUGAAUUCCAGAAUCAAUGGAUGGAAGGAGAAGCUCCUAAGUCUGGGAGGCAAGGAGAUCCUGAUAAAAUCUAUUGCUCAAGCUAUACCGGUGUAUGCGAUGAUGGUAUUUAAAAUUCCUAAUAAAAUCUGUAAGGGAAUAACAAAUGCUAUUUCGCGGUACUGGUGGGGUGAUGAGAAUAAUCAUAAGAGGAUCCAUUGGCAAAAAUGGUGGAAAAUGUGUAUGCCAAAGGGAGCGGGAGGAAUGGGUUUUAGAGAUAUACAGUCUUUCAAUUUGGCAAUGUUGGCAAAGCAAGUAUGGAGACUGCUGAGAGAUCCUGAUUCAUUAUGUGCUAGAGUAUUAAGAGCACGUUAUUAUCCGGAUGGCAAACUGUUAGAGGCGAAGAUGAAAACAGGUUGUUCCUACACUUGGCAAAGUAUUUUGGCUGGCCUUGACUGUUUCAAAUUGGGAUAUAUCUGGAGGAUUGGUGAUGGAACACAGAUAAAAAUAUGGGAGGACAGUUGGAUACCUGGUAGCCAUAAUAUGAAAGUUCAGACACAUAGAGGGAACAAUAUAAUCAGAACUGUAGAUGAGCUUAUUAAUCCAGUGAAUGCUUCAUGGGAUGAGGAGACUUGGUACGCUCUAUCCUAGAGGUCGAUGCAAAUUAUAUCCUACAGAUUCCUAUUACUUCAGGGAGAGACGAUUGUGUUGCGUGGCACUAUAAUAGAAACGGUAUGUUUUCAGUCAGAUCAGCUUAUCAUGUCCAAUGGAAGAAGAAAGUUGGUGCUAGGAUGGCUACUAUGGAUAGUGGCACUAGCAAUCACCGGAUUUGGAAGAAUCUUUGGAAGCUUGAUUUACCGGGGAAAAUAAAAAUUUUUGCCUGGAGAGCUAUUAAGGAAUUGAUGCCAUGCAAUGCUAUACUAGCGAAUAGGCAUAUUAUCCCUAACGGAGGAUGCCCGGUGUGUCAAAAUGGUGCGGAAAAUAUUAAACACGUGUUCUUUACUUGUGAUCGAGCCAAAGCAGUAUGGAGAUCGAUAGGAAUCUGGGACAAAAUCCGAGGGCUGCUAGAGGCUAACCAACCAGAAUCUGUUAUGUUGGAAGGAAUUAUUAAUAGAGGUGACCAAAUUCACACCCUGAAUCUUGGCUUUGCAGAACUUCUCUUGACAGGUGGAUGGUAUCUGUGGUGGGAACGGAGACAACUUACUCACGGAGAAACAGUUCAGACACCAUCAAGAUCAGGUUUAGCAAUUACCUCUUUAACAAAGAACUACAAGUUGGCUAUGAAGAAGGAUGCUAAGAUAAAACAGGGAUGGAAAAAACCAAGGGAGGGUUAUAUCUCUCUGAAUAUUGAUGCAGCCUUUGAUGAAGAUAAUGGCUGCGGCAGUACGGGUGCUAUUAUUCGAGAUGGUUUUAGGGGUAUGAUUGCAGCUUCAAAUACCUUUAUCCCCUAUCUUGUUGAUGCACCAAUGGCCGAAGCUUUUGCUCUUAAGGAGGUUUUGAUGCUAGCUCAACAUAUUGGAGGUAAUCGGUUGAUUGUCCAAUCGGAUUGCUUGGAAGUUGUCCAGAUUAUGGAGAAUGGAGGAUUUACUGCGAAUUCAGCAGCCGCAAUUUAUGAUGAAUGUAGCAUCGUCUGGAAUGGAUUUCAAGAGAUCUCUAUUGAGCAUUUGAGUAGGGAGGCAAACAAUGUGGCGCAUGCGCUAGCUAGGCAAGCUAUUAUCUCUAGAACAAACUGUAUUUGGGACGAUGAUCCCCCUAGUUUUAUUGUCCAACUAUUAUCAGACGAUGUAACUAUCUUUGGUAAAUAAAGUUUGCCCAAGGGCUUUAUAAAAAAAAGAUUAGGCAUUAACAUAAUACCACAAUUUAUACAUACCCGCAUGAAACCACGCUAGGUAACUUGUUGAAAUCAGAAUAUCACCUAUGAAUAUCUAAACAAACACAUCUUUUUCGAAGAAAAUGGAAAUUAUGAGAUACAUGAAGUAUGUCAAGGUCAUUUAGGACCCUAGACGACAUAACCGUGCACUCAUAAAGACCAUACCGAGUCGAGAAAGUUGUCUUUGGUAUGUCCUUAAUUACCCUACCUUAGGUCCAUCUUGGAAAAGAACCUAGCUCUAACUAAUUGAUCAAAUAGGUCAACUCUCUAGGGAGUGGAUAGUUGUUCUUCACCGUCAUUGGCAUUUGAAGGCAAGUGACUCACAACCAUCCAAAGACAUACUCUUGUCCUUCUUGGUUACAAACAAGGCCAGGCAUCCCAAAGGAGAGGAGCUAGGUCAGAUGCACCCUUUUUUUAGUAGGUUAGUCAACUGUUUCUUUAUCUCUGCAAACUCUAUCUGUCUCAAACAAGAGGCAUUCUAGGUUUUUCUUCAGGAAACACAUUAGAAAACUCAGGUACCAAGGAAUAGUUUCCAACUCGAGCAACUUCUUGAUGUUCAAGGUAUGCAACAUUGGUCAGCGAGGCAUGGAUGGAAACAUGGUGACUCUUUGGCCGGAGGCGUGUUAAAGUUCUAUGGCUUUAUAGGUAGGAAUAUCUGAGUAGACCAUCAUUUACACUAGUUGUGCUUGAAGUGACUCUAUAUAUUAGCAUCACAACCAGUGAUCUGAAUGCUUGUAUUCAAGAUCAAUUAUCUCUCAUAAUUUUUUUCUUUUGGAAAAAGCGACUGGGAAAAUCUUGUGCAAUAAACGUAUAUAUUCCCUGUCAUACAUGGAACUAUCUCAAGCCAGUUGAUGAAAUGAUUUGUUGGGUGGUAUACUUUUAGCGGUUUGUGUGUGCCCUACUUCUAGGACAUUGUUGACACAAGCUAGCGGUCAGUUUUUCCUUACCGGGCAUGCAGCUGGGGAAAAGACCCCAAUAUUGUCAAGCUGGACUGCAUGAUAUGCAUAUGCAUGGCCUGCACCGAAAACAAUUUGUACCAUGCUUCUUUCUUUUUUUUGAGGAAACAGGAGGAGUACAGGUACUCCUACUGAAAAAUUUUAUUAAGGAAACAUCAGAAAAGAACCAGAUAAUAGGGCAGCAAGAGCAUGCCAAAGUUCAAGAAACAAACAAAAGAGAGAAAGAAAAUCAUGUCUAAACUACUUGAUCUAGCCAUAACUCUAUUAUAGGAAAGUAUUUACUCUUAGCUCUCCAUAAGAGUUGCCUGAAGAGGCUUUUGAAGACUUGCAAACAUCUUAGACAGUUAACCGGGAUUCCUCUGAAGAUGAAAUCAUUCCUUAUGGUCCAUAAGCUCCAACAAAGAAGGACGAUGAUUUCCAGGGAGAAGCUGACUUGAAGCUGAGUCUUGAAGCUAUGGAACUUAGAAAGCCUGUCGGGGCUGCUGAUGGCUGUCAGACCAAGGAGCCCCAGCAAGACCAGGCAAAGCUGCACUCAAGGAAGAGGUGAUCAACAGUUUCUUCAAUAUUUUCCCCACACAAAAUGCAGCUGUAAGAUGGAAGGAACAUGUUCUUUCUUCUGAUAAUGUUGCGGGUGCUCAGCCGAUCCUGGAGGAGAAGCCAGAAGAAAACCUUUUGCUUGGGCAGACAGGAACAUUUCCAAACUUUGAGGAAGAUAGGGGAGCAGAGGUUGUUCCAGCGAGGUGCUUGUAAGCUUUGUGUGGGCUAAAUCUAGAAUUACCCCAAAUGUAGAGCCAAACAUCAGAGGAAUUGGUACCGAGUGCUGAUCAUGAAGGAUAGAGCAAAAUAUCUGAAGUUGAUCAAAAGCUUCCACACUGAGGGGGAGGUUGAAGAGGUUAGCUGGGUCAUUGACAGAGGUUGCAUGAUUAACAAAGCACUUGGGUUUUUUAGCAAAGGAGAAAAGCUCAGGAAAAGAGAGCCUAAGCGGCUGCCCAAUCCAGCAGUCAUCCCAGAGCAGGCAGGUAGUGCCAUCACCAGCAGAGACAGCAACCAUUCCUUUGAACUUGUCGAGUAACUUUAGAAUAUCCCUCCACCAGAAGGAGCCUUUCCUCACAGGUCAGGUAGCUUAUCAUUGGAGUAGUAUUUUUCCCAAAUCAACUUAACCCAAGGGAUAUCAGCUUUAUUGAAGAAUUUGUGAAGAUUCUUGAGGAGGAGGGCCUCAUUGUGAGUUUUCAGGUCAAGAACACCCAUUCCACCAUCUUUCUUGCUCGUAGUAACUAGAGGCCAGGCAGCCUUUGCAUUAAUUCUGUUAUUUUCAUCAUCAUUUCCCCUCCACAAGCAAUACUUUCUAAAUUUGUCCACCAUCUCCUUAAUACUAGCAGGCAGGCUGAAAGUGCACAUGAAGAAGGUUGGGAGGCAGAGAAUACAGAGUUGACCAUCUGUAGUUUGCCAGCUUGUGAUAGGAAAAGGGAUGUGCUAACAAGUCUCUUUUCACAUCUUGUGACCAGAGGAAGGAAGUCAUCAACUUUGGGCCUAGAUAACCCAAGUGGAAGACCUAAGUAAGUGAAAGGGAAGCUGCCUACAGCACAUCCAAACAUUGCAGCAAGGUGCUCAGCCCUGCCAGGAGACAUGUUGAUUAGGACAAGGAAGGAUUUGCUGAAGUUCACCUUAAGCCCGUUAGAGGUGGGAAAGGAAUGCAAGAGUGCUUUGAGGGUGAAUGGUUGCCUCUCACAGCCAUCAAGGAUAAGCAAGGUGUCAUCAGCAUACUAAAGAAUGGGGAAAUCUUCUGAGUAAGAUAGGGGGAUGGGGAGGCUCAACAGCCCUUUUCUUUUGGCUUCAUUAAUGAUAGACUGUAGAAGAUCAGCAACUAAAACAAAGAGAAAUGGGGAGAGGGGGUCUCCUUGGGUGACACCUCUCUUGCAAUGAAACACUUUGCCAGCAACUGUAACACCCUAAAUUUUGCUUUUUUGAAAAAUAGAUGAAAAAUAAUUUAUUUAUGUAUUUUUGUGCUCAUGAAACAUAGAAAAAAAUAAUAUUUUUCAUUAAAAUAAAAUUUAUUAUAGGAUUUAGCAACUUGUUUGUGUAUUCAUGCUUGUGCAUUCAUUUCUAUUGUACUGAGUGGUUUUGAUCUAAAACUCAAAACGAUUCAAAUACUUUCAAAACUAAAUUUGACAGUAGGCUUUAAAUAAAAGAAAAGAAAAGAAUAAUUAAAAAAAAAUAAAAAAAACUUUUUUUCUUUUUCUUUCUUGACCCAAGAAGCGCUCUCUCUCUCUCUCAGCCUCUCUUCCUAAGCUGUCUACUGCCUCUCGGUCCGUCAAGAAGGCCCAAGCCAGAGCCAAGCCUCUCCUAUAAGAGCUGAAACUUUUCUCGUGUCGGUGCUUCUUCAUCUACGCCGCCAGGAGCCGCCUUUAGCCUCGCCAUCUGCCGAUCAGGAUCUCACCGAGCGUGACGCACCUGCCACUGCCGUGGAUACCCUUCGCUUCCCUGCCGUCGCGCCUACCCGUUGUUGAGUCUCACCUCAAGGAAGGUCGUCGCCGCUUCGGAGAGCUUUGUUCUAUCUAUGUCUGUUUUCCGCAUGGUAAAACCUCCACGGUGAGUUCGCAAUCUUGCCCACUUUCUCCCCGUGCUAUUCCCACCACGAACCAACACUUGCUUUUUGCUGAUGAUUCACUCAUAUUGAUGAAAGCAGAUAAAAAGAAUGCAGAUUGCUUGAGUGAUAUUCGGAACAGAUACUGCAUCAACUCUGGACAGAAAGUGAGUGAAGUGAAAUCAAGUAUAUUCUUUUCAAGCAACACUGAGGUAAAUGUGAAGGUAGAAGUAUGUGAUGCUCUAAACAUAGUGACUGAGGCUUUGGGGGAUAAAUAUUUGGGUUUGCCAGCAAUGGUUGGGACAGACUGAAGUGAUUGCUUUCGCCAUCUAAUUGAUAGGGUGAGUGGCAGAAUAAAUGGAUGGAGAGAGAAGCUUCUAAGUCUAGGAGGGAAAGAGAUACUUAUCAAAUCUAUUGCUCAAGCUGUACCGGUGUAUGCAAUGAUGGUGUUUAAGAUUCCAAAAAACAUUUGCAAAGGAAUUACAAAUGCCAUCUCGCAGUACUGGUGGGGUGAUGACAAUAAUCAUAAAAGAAUUCAUUGGUAGGAAUGGUGGAAACUAUGUUUGCCAAAAGGAGAAGGAGGUAUGGGAUUCAGAGAUUUACAAUCUUUCAAUGAGGCAAUGUUAGCCAAACAAGUUUGGAGAUUGUUGAGUGACCCAGAUUCUUUGUGUGCACAAGUUCUUAGAGCUCGAUACUAUCCUGAUGGUAAACUAUUGAACGCAAGAAUGAAGCCUGGGAGCUCUUAUACUUGGCAAAGCAUACUAACAGGAUUGGAAUGCUUUAAACUCGGUUAUAUCUGGCGUGUGGGUGAUGGUACUGAAAUAAAUAUCUGGGAGGAUAAUUGGAUACCAGGCAGCCACAAUUUGAAGAUUCAGACUAGAAGGGGUAACAAUUUGGUUACAAGAGUGAAUGAAUUAAUUAACCCAGUGGACUUCACGUGGGAUGAACAGCUAAUCCGCUCGAUCUUCUGGGGAAUCGAUGUGAGACGUAUUUUACAGAUACCUAUUACACCAGGAAGAGAAGAUCUUGUGGCCUGGCACUAUAACAGAAAUGGCCUCUUCUCAGUAAAAUCGGCCUACCAUGGUCAAUGGAAACAAAGAUUUGGCCAUAGGCGGAAUGAGGCACCGAGUAAUGGUGUGAGCAGGGUGCAAGUUUGGAAAAAACUAUGGAAGCUCAAGAUACCGGCAAAAAUUAAGAUCUUUGGCUGGAAGAUGUUGAAAGGCUUAGUUCCAUGCAAUGCAGUCUUGGCUAAUAGACAUAUUAUUCCUAAUGGGGAAUGCCCAGUAUGUAAUGGAGGAGCUGAAGAUGUCAAGCAUAUCAUUUUUUCUUGUGAUCGUGCAAAGGCAGUUUUGAAGUCAAUUGGAAUGUGGAACAGGAUAAGUGCAAUGCUGGAUACUGAUCAUUCAGGAUCGGUGUUUCUCCAGGAAGUAAUUCAAAGAGGAGAGCAAGUCCAGGAGUUGGAUAUGGGUCUUGCUGAGCUAAUUCUAACUGGAGGCUGGUAUUUGUGGUGGGAGAGAAGAAAGAUUACCCAUGGUGAGACUGUGAGUCGACCUUCAAGGUCAGGGCUUAUGAUCGUGUCGCUGACCAAGAAUUUUAGGAUGGCAGAGGGUAAAGGUCUGAGGAUUCGGCAAGGAUGGAGGAAACCACCAGAGGAUUAUAUUAUGAUUAAUAUAGAUGCUUCCUAUGAUGAGAAUGAGGGGUGUGGAAGUACGGGUGUGGUAAUCAGAGAUAGCACUGGGGGAAUGAUUGCAGCAACUAACACCUAUAUUCCUCACUUAGUUGAUGCUCAAAUGGCAGAAGCAUAUGCCUUGAAGGAGGGAUUAAUGCUAGCUCAACAUAUUGGUGGUAAUCGGUUGAUCAUUCAAUCUGAUUGCAUGGAAGUAGUAGAAGUGAUGAAGAAUGGGGGCUUCACAGCGAGCUAGGCGGCUGCAAUAUAUGAUGAAUGCAUCACUGUUUGGGGGGAUUCCAGGAGAUCUCUAUUGAACACUUAAACAGGGAAGCUAACCAGGUGGCGCAUGAGCUAGCUAGGCAAGCUAUGAUUACGAAAAUGAGUUGUAUUUGGGACGAUGAUCCCCCUACUUUCAUUGUUCCGAUUUUAUCAAACGAUGUAACUAUUCUUGAUCAAUAAAGUUUGCCAGAUUGUCAAAAAAAAAAAGGCCUGGAACGCCGUAUGGCAAAGUCCGGUGAGCAUGCCUGUGAGCAAACACAAGACAUCACGCGAGCGAGUGGCGCUAGCAGAGCGACCCGGCCGUGCAUCGUGCGUGUUGCUCGUGCGUGUUGCUCUGUGCGCUGCUUCAAUGCUUAGUUAGUUUGAUGGGAUCAUGACGACGUCACCAUGACAUCAAGAAGCAUUAAUGCCAUUUUUCCUUUAGAAAAAUAAAUUUAGAAAUACUAUAUUAAUACAUGUGUAUUUACAUUCCAGUAGCUUAACUUUGUGCCGAUGUGAUCUAUACGUCAGGAAACGAUUGAUGUUUAUAUGCCACGUGCUUUUGUACAUAUUUAAAUAUUAUAAAUUGAUUAAUGAUUAUGUAAACAUAUGUUUAAAUGAAAGCAAUAUAGGGCUAUGUUGAUCUCUUAUAUUCAACAGUUAACUUGAUUAAAGCCAAAUGAAAUAUGUUUAUGGUAUAAUAUUCUUAUGCCAAAAUACGGACAUAUUUUCAUGUACACUUGUCUUUUUCAAAUUAAAGUUAAAGUUUAAUAAUUUGAUCAAAUACUAUAUAUGUGUUUAUAAUAUAAAUAUGAUUAAUUCUACCUUAGCUUUCUUUAUGCUGUCUAAAUUAUAAAUACUUAAAUAGAUUAAAUUAUAUAUGUAUUAGUUAUAAUUAAAAUGUAAUUAAGUUUUAACUCUGACUUUGUAAUUAAUCCAAUUUGACUAAUUCCACUUUAGGAUGUUGCUCUAAAAUAUCUAUCUCCUUGUUUCACUGAAAUAAAAUAAAUACACCCCGUAGUCUUUUGUCUCUUUUUGUAGUCGGUCACGAUAGUCGUAUCCUUUGUAAUGAUAGUUCCGUUAUGAGUGUUUCUUGUGACCUUGUAGCAUUAGCUAUCUAUUAGUACGCUCUUUUAACUUGUAUGGUGUAUUGUUCUUAGUUGUUUCUAUUUGUUGCUUGUAUAUUUGUCUAUGUCCGGUGCUUGCUACGAGUAGACGAGAACCAUUUAUCGGCGUUUAAGAUUACGAGGGAUGACUACGAGAUAACCGAAGAUUCUCUAAAAAAGUUACAUUGGAUUGAAGCGAAUUUAAGGCAAGUAUAGCAUUUGGAUUUUAUUUCUGUGACCAUGAUCUUGUGACUUGAUUAAUGUUUAAGCAACAAAUGAUAAAAAUUGACUUUUUAGCCACUUGAUGAUUUAUCUGUAAGUGAUAACCGGGACAACAGUGCAACCAUGAGGGCUAUAAUGGCUCUGGCUUUAGCUCAGUAUGAAGACAUUUUCUAGCUUGUUAGAGGUUACCCGAAAGGGCGCUAGAGGGGCUGAACCGACACGAGUAUAGUGCGAGCCCCUGUCCCUAUGUGUAUAGACAGCGCGUCAUUGUGCCAUUCGGAAGGGGGGUAUCUAUAUCUGCUCGCGAAGGAAACCUUGCGGCCCUAACAUGUUAGAAGAACUUUUGAAAGGCUUCAUAGUGAUCCCUGCCGACCUUCCUUGGUAGUGGGUUAAGAGGCUGAUCACCUCGGGCGAAAGGGUAAAUCAUGACUCAUGGGUAAAGAUGUACAACCUCUGCAGAGUGUUAAAAACUGGUAUACUAGCCGAGCUCACGAUCAGGAGCGGCCUUGGGGAUUCUUGCAUCAACAGUGAUGAUUCUUAUUUUGUUAAAAUACUCAUUAUUUAUUGUUUAGUGCUUUACAUUAUUUAUGUCACAUUGAUCAUAAGGUUGUGGGAUCUAUACAAUCUAGUUACUAUACUUGUGGAGUUCGACAUGUACUCACUCUUGCUAUUUCCCCACACCCUUCAGGAAAAGUUUUGGGCUUGUGAUCAACCAGUCAGUUGGAUCCUGUAGAGUGAAGUUAAUACCCGAAGUUUGGAGUUGUCUAUCCGCUAUUUACUAUCAAGGUUAUCUCUUUAUACUAAGUACGUUAUAUAUUUAUGCAUUGUCUUUUGAUAUUACCCCUUACUUGUAGCUAUAUGUGUGAAUUGGCUUCUAAAACUCACAUAUGGUGCAUAUCUGGUUUUGUCCUUAAAAUCGGGUAUUACAGCAACCCCAUUUAACAACACAGCAGAAGUGCCAGAAUUAAAGAUUUUCCCCAUCCAAGUUAGCCAUUUGUCACCAAAACCUUUUGCCCUCAUUAUCUCCAGCAUAGCUCUAUGCUCAAUUCUAUCAAAAGCCUUUUCAAAAUCAAGCUUGAGAAUGACUAUUUCUUUCUUGGAGGUGUGACACAGGUGCAAAUAUUCAAAGGACCAGGCAAGACAAUCUUGGAUUGUCCUUGAUUUGAUGAAACCAUAUUGGUUCCAGUGAAUGAUCUUGGUUAUAAGAGGUUGCAGUCUGUUGGCAAGGAGCUUUGUAAGCAGCUUAACUAAGGAGUUCAGGAGGGAGAUAGGCCUGAAGUCAUUAACUCUAGUAGGACCAUCCACUUUGGGGAUGAGGGUGAUAAAGGACCCAUUUAUGCUCUGGAGGCAGAUUUCUCCCCCAUGAAAAGCAGAACAGAGUUUGUAGAAAUCCUCCUUUGUGAUGGGCCAACACUUUUUGAGAAACUCAUUACUAAAACCAUCCGGGCCUAGUGAUUUGUCUAGGGGAAGAAGCUUGACAAUAUUAUCAAUUUCACUAUGACUGAAAGGAGCCUCUAGUGAAGAAAGAUCUACCUCAUGAUGGAUUAACUCAUCAAGCUGGAAAAGCAUAGCUUCAAAAUCAGAGGUGCCCAUUCUUCUUUGAAACUGUUCCAAAUGAUGUCAGCCUUGGAACAGUGAUCAGAGAGCAUGUUACCAUUAUGGUCCUCAAGGAAGGCGAUUGAGUUCAGUCUAUUUCUGAUUGAAGCACUAGCAUGAAAAAGCUUGGAAUUUUCAUCCCCCAGCUUCACCCACUUGAUGGCACUUCUUUGUCUCCAGUAAAUGAGCUGCUAGUGGAGAAGCUGGGAAAGUUUGUUAUUCUAAAUUUCCCUGAAGUUCCAUUCCUCAAUAGAUAAAUCUCUCCAUUCUUCAAUUAAGUCUAGGAAAGAGAGGACGACCUUAAUAUUUGCAAUGGUGGCCUUAAGGUUGGAGAGCUGGGACUACCAGCUUCUAAGAGCACACCUGAGAGCCUUGAACUUGGAAGAGAUAAGCUUAGCAGGAUCAGACUGAUGAAACUGCCCAUUCUAGGUGAGUGCAACUAGGGGGAGGAAGGAGUCAUGAAGCAUCCAACAAUUUUCAAACCUGAAGGCUUUACCUUUGGGGAUAGCAGAUUUGAUGCUGACAACACAAGGCCAGUGGUCAGAAGUUUCCAUCACAAGAGAGUAAGCUGUGGUGCUAGGGAAACUCAAGGUCCAGGACUGAGAGGUGAAGAACCAGUCCAAUCUUUUGAGAAGGGGAGGCUGCUGUUUGUUGGUCUAGGUGAACUUUCUGCCCUGAAGCGGGAUCUCAACAAUGCCCAAAGAGCUAAUGGCAUCAUUGAAAGCCAGCAUGUCAUUAACAUUUGUUCCAUCUCUGUUUCUAUCCUCAGGCUUUCUAUAGAGGUUGAAGUCACCAACAAUGAGCCAAUCUACCUUAUCAGGCAUGGAAAUGUUGUUGAACCAAUCCAAAAAGGCGGCUUUACCAAAACUGUCAUAGGGGCCAUAGAUGGAAGUGAAGAGCCAUGUGCUAUCAUUAUGCACAUAAGAGAAUUCAAUAGAAAGAGCGUAGCUAUUCUGGAAGACUUCGAUUCCAUUGAACAGAGAACUUUUCCAAACAGUAAGAAUUCCCCAGAAGCACCAGCAGAGGGAAUGAAACAAAAAGAAUAAAAAACUCUAGGACAAAACUUUCUAAUAUAGCAAAUGUUAACAGAGUCCCUCUUGGUUUCUUGGAGGGUGAUGACAUCACAGUUGCAUUCAGCAAUCUUAUUCCUAAUUGAUUCCCACUUGCUUUCAGAGUUUAUGCCUCUGAUAUUCCGACACAGAACCUUCCAAUCUCUCUUCAAAGGUGUAUUAUCCAUAACAACAAAAGAAAUAGCAUGCAGCACUAGUGAGCAUAACUAUAGUGCUAAGGAAAUCUAACAACGAGAACCAUGAAGGAAAUGUAAACUUGCUCUCAGAGCACAAGCAGAGGCUUAACCAAGUUUUAAUGUCCAUACCACAAGAUCUAAAGAAGUUUAGAGAAAAAAGCGAGGAUAAAGGUUGGUGCCAUAAGCCACCAAUACAUGUGCAAUGGUGGGGGCAAACCACCAUUAGGACUGGGUCUUGGUUUAAUGUUCUUCAUUCUCACUUUCAUCUUCGUAGCCAUCUGUAGCAUCCUCCCUAGGAGAAGUAUUUCUCAACUUGGACUUGCGGUCUUCAGACUUGGAGCUGAUUAUCUUCGAUCUGCCAAGGGCUGAGACUAUCUUUUUCUACUAGAGCAUUUCAUCUGAGACAAGAGCGGCUUCUAGGUCAUAGAGGGCCGAGCUGAUGCUUCUAAUUGCAGAUGAGGAGAGCGAGGGAGGCUUAGCAUUGCAGCCAACGCAGUUCCUCUCUUUACAUCCCUGGCGCUUGAAACCAUUGUUGCAGGCUCUAACCCGAGGGCUUCUGCGAACCUCUGUCUCCACAACAACUGCUUUGUCUUUGCCCUUUGGCCUACCUGACUUUCCAUUAGCAUGAUGGGUGGGGAUGUCAGGAACUUCAGAAUGAAAGAGCUUGCUAUCAGGGAGCUUACCAUCAAGGGGGCAGAGGGAGGGCUGUCUGGGGAAGCCUCCUCCGAAGAGCAUCUAGGGAAGCUCAAGACAGGACACUUCUUGGGCACAAAAAAACAUGACGAUUGUUUGUUUCCAAUGGCUUCCAUCAACAAAUUAUAGCCCAUCAGCGACUUAGCCAGCUCAAAAUGACACGGGGAUAGCAAGGAGGCAGUGAAGAACCUCUUUCAAUCAGUUGGCACCCAAAACUUGGUGGAGUUCCCAUCCUAGGGGGCAGAGAAAAAGCUAGCCCAAGGGCCGAAAUCAGCCGACUGAGUGGGGUGACUGUCAUUAACUAGAGCAAAGCCCACAUGAACAUUCAGAGGCCCAAAAGGAUUGCCUCCAGCAGCCUCUUCUUGUAGCUGUUGCUGAAUUUCCUCAUCAUCCAUUAGAUCCCCUUCCUAAAUUUCCAGAGGAAAGACAUUCUGAGCUGGUCCAUCUAACACAGGGAUGUUAACCUCCACUGGUUCGACUGCAAUGACUAGGGGGUCAUUGAACUCAGCGUUGGGCGUUGGGUCUAGAUCAGCAUCAUCUUCAUCUUCACUCACUUGGUUCAGAAAAUCAUUAAGCUCAAGAAACAUCUCCUGUUGCACUGGUCCAGCAAAGGGUGGAUCAAUGACCAUUUCCUUAGGAUCAACUGGAAUAUUGAUGUCCACAUUUACCACUGCCUCAUUCAGAUCCGACAGAAUAUUUGCAGCAAUUCCAUCUGCGAUUAGAGCAUCAUUUUGUUCCUCUAGCGGUCUGGCCCCUCAUUCCCAUCGUUGUCAACAUUUCCGCCACCAUGAGCUUCAAAACCAUGUCCUAGAAUUCCCCUACCAAAGCCAUUUUGUGGAUUUUGCUAAGGAUGGGGGCCAGGCCCAAAUUGCCCAAAGCCAAAUAGAUCAAAAGGUCCCCAAGGGGGAAGGCAUCUGGGCCAGGAGCUGGGUCUUCAUCUUGUGGCAGCCCACCAAGAAGAUUUCCAUGGAGGAUCUCGCACUGUAUCGUCCAGGACUCCCCUUGAAAGCCCUCACCUUCAGUGAGCACGAUGAACUGUGGGACGGACUCAUAAUCAAUCACUCUAGCACGAACAAGCAACUUGGCCAAAUGACGGCCAUCAUCAACCCAUGAAAUGACCCUACCAAAGGAACUGAUGGUGUUCACAAUGUGCUCGUCUUCCUUGUAGUCCGACAGAAACCCCAGAAGCAUGAGCCAACAUUCUAUGUUAAAAUUGAUGGCACGCCAGUUGCGACCCCGAGUAUGAUCAACAAAACAAAUGGUGAUCUCACCGAAUAGGAAAGGCCCAUCCUCAAUAAGGCGAUCCUUAUCAUAAAUAUUCCUAAAUCUGACGUAUGCCUGACCAAGAUGAGUUGGCUGCAUAUCCGUGAACUCUACCCGCACAACAUUCGUCAAGAAAUCCAAGACCACAUUGCGGAUGUUUUGGAAAGUUACCUGGUGACCAGGCAUAGGCUCGAUGGAAACGAUUGCAAGGUCUUGGUUCUUUGGCCUUGGCUUCAUGAGGACCGCACACUCCACAGGCUUGUGACCCUAAACAUCAAUGCGAAUGAGCCCUCUUGGAAUGAAUGGCGCAGGAUCAGCACACUGGUACGCCAUUGUUGAAGCUUCACACUCGGAUUGGGGAGGAGAAGGAGCAGGAUUGGGGUUUCCCUGAGCCAAAGAUUGUAACCUCGGCCGCUCCGGUGGCAUAUAAAUGUCCUAGUGAAUAGUGCAGGAAGAUAAGCAGUCAUCCGAGAGAAAGGGAAGCCGAGGAGGCGUACUGGACCCAGCCAUCAUACAAAGAGGGUCAAACCGGCUUGAGUAAUCAAAACUACCAUCAAAAUUUUUGGCAAAGUUAUCCAGAUUCUUCCCUUUCACACUAGACUGAAAAGCUUUCCACUGAGCAUUGCGAUCGGCGGAGAUAUGGCCCACCCAAGGCAGGUGUUACACUUAAUUGGCGCAUUACAUGAGCUCCUCGGAUGUGAGGAGGAAAGACAGCGCCGGCAUCGCCCAAGGCCCGAGGAGGCAGGAUUAGAGCUCUCAGACUGAAGCUGCAUGCCAUUAGAAGAGAUAUUAACUGAACCCAAAUUCAAAUUUAAAUCCAAAUCAAUAGCCUCUCUUGAACCUUCAGCUAGGUUAUCGGCAGGAACAGCAAAAGGAAACUCAAUCGCAGGCGACUGGUGGGGGGCAGGGGACACUCUGCUCAAACGAUCAAAGACUGAAACGCGAGGGAACUAAAUGCAGUCGAACACGGAUUUCCUCUGAAGACUCGAGCCUGAAUGCUUGAAAAAUUUUUUAGAAGCCCCAAACCUAGCCGCUAUCAUCAUCCGCGAACUGGUAGAAAUAGCAUUUCAUGAUACAGCAGAACCAGAACCCCUAGAGCCCAGCGUAAUAGCGUUCGCUCACGAGAGGGGAUGUGGAGAUUUCUUCCUUACAAUGUCCGCAUAAGAAGAAUUCUUGCAAACUUCAAUCUAGGGGAACUCAGGAACAGUACUAAUCAGGGAACGGGCGAAAGAGAGACCAACAUCAUUGAACAACUGAAAAAAGAGCUCAAACUCCACACAGACAAACUUGCGGAUUUUGUAAACCUCAAAGCCAACAUGCUUAUUGGAAACCUGAAAGAGGAAGAUUUGAUCUUCCACGGGAGCAACAUGAAAAGAACUAGCACAGCCACCCAGAAUAGAGCUCAGGCAGUCAGCAACAAAAGCUAUCGAGAGUCGAGAGUGGCAUCUUCCGAAGGCCACCAGAAGGGAGAAGGACUCAGCGGUGGGAAGCGGAGGACCAACCGGAAGGCCAAAAGCGCUGCGGAUGAACGCCUCAAAAAGCAGACCUUUCACAGACGAAGCAAGAGGAAGGGAGGCCAUGGUUGCAGUGGGGACAGGGGAGGGGGCGAGGGGAGGAGAGGGCUCUCCGGACGCGGAGAGGGAGAGAGCAAGUGGUUACUGACAGGCCUGGCCGGCCGAGGGGGAGAGAAAAGGAAUGAACUGACCUUCAAUUGGAGAUGCCUCUGCUUCUUCCUUUGCUAGGAAUCCGAAACGUUUCUUUCAGCCAGCACAUUGGACACCCACAACUGAUAGCACACUAGAGCAGCGCCAACAACUAUAACCAACAGGAAAGAUCUAGCUAGGACUCAAGGUUAAUUUUGCCAAGUCAAUGAUGGUUCAAAUCAAUGUUACCAUAGAAAGGAUAAAGCAUCAGCUGGCUGCCUUUUACUUACCUUGGUCUGCCCCUUGGUCUUACUAAACCUAGAGUUGAUGAUUUCUUGCCACUUGUCACUAGGUGUGAGAGGAGGAUGACCAACACCUCUCUUUUCCUUUCUCAAGAUGGAAAGCUGCAGAUUGCAAAUUCUGUCUUUACUUCCCUGCCCACAUUUUUAUGAGCACCUUUCAUCUUCACUCCACAAUGAGGGAGCAAGUGGAUAAGUAUAGAAAACAUUGCCUAUGGAGAGGAUCAGAUGAGAACAAUAGGAUAAAUGCUAAAGCAGCAUGGCCUACGGUAACCAGACCAAAAGAGGAUGGUGGUUUGGGAAUCCUGGAUCUGAAAACACAAAAUUAGGCUCUUCGUCUGAAACAUUUACACAUAGUUCUUCAACAGAGCUAAUGUCCCAUGGGUUCAACUGGUCUAGGAAAAACACUACUCCAAUGGCAAACUUCCCAGUCACAUUAAAAAAGACUCCUUCUGGUGGAGGGAUAUCUUGAAACUGCUAGACAAAUGUAAGGGUAUGGUUUCUGCUCUUUUGAAGAUGGUGCUUCCCUUGUCUUCUGUUGGAUGACUGUUGGGAGGGAAGCCUUUAAAACUCACAUUUUCAGAUGUGUUUCCUUUGUGAAAAAGCCCAGCUUGUAGUCUUUUCAGUCUUCCCCUCAGUAUCAACAAAUUCAAAAUAUCCUUCAAGCCUUCGUUCCCACUGAUGAUACUGAUUCUUGGUACUACAUCUGGGGCACUUCCACCAUCACAUCCAAGAAAGCAUAUUGUCAACUGUUGAGCACCAGUUGGGCUGCACCAAUUUUUAAGUGGAUUUGGAAAUCCUCUUGUCAGCACAAACAUAGUUUUUUUUGGCUUUUAUUCAUGACAGGCUUAGCACUCGAAAUAUCUUGAGAAGGAAAGUAUGCACCUAUCGUCUUACAAUUGUGUGUUACGUAUGUGGAGCAAUGAGGAGACAGUUAAUCAUUUGAGUGUGAACUCGCCAGAGAAUGCUGGGGCCUAAUUGGUUUGACAGUGAUCAGUGCCCCUGAUCCCUUGCAAAGGUUUGAGAGUUUCAGAUCAUAGAUUGGCAACAAGUUUUUCAUGGAAAUAAUCGUUAUUAUGUAGGCUGGAGCAUUUGGAAUGUCAGAAAUAACGCCAUCUUCAGAGGAAUCCUGGUCAGCAGCUUGCAUGGGCUGGAAAUUUUCAAGAACACCUUCAGACUGUCUCCAACAAGAGACACUUAUGAAUACCCAAACCCAAAAUGGGUAGCAGAAGAACCAAAAUCAGUCUCUAAUAGAAAACCUAUACUGAAGACCUAUUUUGGGUUACCUGAGAGGCACAACCCAAAUAUAAGUGUCCUCUCUCCUAGAAACCUAUUUGCAAAAAGGAUUCUCUUGUGAGUCUUGUUGUUGGAGAAGAUGUCGAAUGUGUAUUGAACCCUUUGCCUCUAGCGCUACCCAAACGUUGAAUGGAUCUUGUAUUUUGGAUGUUAUUGUUGGAGAUAAUCUCAGGCAACCAGUGGUGGAGCUAGGUGGCCGGCACUACUAGUAUAAAUUUAUAAUUUUUAUUUAUAUUAAGAGAGAAAUAUAACACCUUUUGUCAUAUAUACUUAUUAAUAUCCACUAGUCUCUAGAUAAUAAAAUCUUAGUCCCUCCAUCUAAAUUAUAAGUCAUUCUAAAAUUCUUAGAGAGUCAAAGCAUCCCAAAUUUGAUUAAAUUUAUAUGAUAAGAUAAUAAUAUUUAUGAUACCAACUAAGUACCAUUAGGUUCUUUAUUUAUUAUAUUUUCACUAUAUAUCUAUUUAAUGAUAUAAAUCUUUACAAUUCUUUUUAUAACUUUGGUCAAGCUUGAGAUACUUUGACUCUCAAGUUUCUUAGAAUAAUUUAUAGUUUGGGAGGGAGGAAGUACAAAACAUAACUAGAUAAUAUUAUCACUGCUGCGGGAAGGGCCUGUUGCCCCGGUUUCCGAGCUAGUGCUGCCCUUCUGGGACUAAAGGCCCACCCUUUAGUCCCGAUUUAGGGCAACCGGGGCUAAAGCCCCCCCUUUAAAACCGGUUGGUUAUACCAACCGGUUUUAAAGGGUCCGGCUAGUGCUGCCACGUAGCAGGACCAUUUAACACCGGUUGGUAUAACCAACCGGUGUUAAAGGGGUUCUUUUUUUUCCUUUUUUGGUUCAUUUAUUCGUUUCUGUUUUUUAUAUAUAAUAAUAGGUUUGUUAAUACAUAUUUUAUGCUGAUAUAAUAAUAUAUAUAUUACACGCAUAUUAAGCAUAAUUAUUAUUAUAGGCUUAGCUUUAUAAUUAAGCUUUGCCUAUAAUAAAACAAAUAGGCCAUAUUAAUAAUUAAAUAGAUGGAUAUGUAACAAGCUUUAUAUAUAGUUUUAUAAGUACAACAUUCCUAACAUAUAUAUACAUAAAGUUUUUUCUCCGAAUCUUUAAAGCCGAUACAAAUGAUCAUCGUUGUUUGGAAUAAGAGUUUCGUUACCGUUGAAGUGAAACUCGCUGUUUGGAUUGAUCACUUGCUCGCGGAGGAAUCCUGCUAUCAUCUCUUGAAUAGCUUUGAUGCGGUCUUUUUGCAUGACCUUUUCCCUCAACCAUUCCGUCUUUAAUUUAAAAUAAAAGAAAAAAAGGUAUUAGUUAUCUAAGUUAUUCAAUAUAAUUCAGGAGAUAAUGAAAAGAGACGUGUAACGUACUCUGAGUGUCUCUGUGGAUGUUUGAUUGAUGUGUACCAUUAAGAAUUUGCAGAUGUAAUAUCCACAUAGGUUGUUCCCCCUUCUUGUCUUAAACAUCACUGUACAAUAUAUAAAAAAGAUUCACGACCACUACAAUAAAAAAGCUAAAAGUUAGUAAAAGUUUGCUAGCUAGUACACUUACUUGUGGAUGAAUUAUAUUAAGCGGCGCUUUACAACCAAUAAGAUGUUUACGGUCAAUAAAUCUUUUCCAAACCCUACACAGCCAUUGUGGACAGUCAACUAAUAAUUGCAGAGUCAUAUCAUGAUAUUCUUCUAGCUCAGAUCGACAUUACGUACCUUUGAAUAAUGUUUACCAUUUGUUGGUAAUUUUCUUGUGGUUUUCUCAUUGAGUCAUAGAUUAUCAACUGGUUUUUAGGAAUUUCAAUGACCAUGAGUAUCUAGUGAAAGCUGUUUACACAUAUAUAUAGUCAGACUAUAUAAAACCCGAAUCGAGUAAUAAUAAGUAAAAUAAAAUGUGCAUAUACUUAAUAACUAUAUAGAAGUUGUAGGGAAAGAAUAUUUUUUGUUUUUCUUUUUGGUUCACGAAGAACCUCAUAAGAUGCUGUCCACACUGUCUGCGGAGCCUUGAAAACAAUAUAAGGGUCAACAAACCCAAUACUAUUGUUAUUUUUGCUUCUGAGCUCUCUCAUUUGGUGCCUGCAUAUGUACAUACAAAUCUUAAGUGUGUAAGGAUUAUAUACAUAUAAUUAAAGAAGGUAGAAGUUUAAUUAAAAAGAAAGAAAUACUUACAGACAAAAGCAGCUGUCGAGAGAUUUGUCGAGAGCGUCGAGGUGACAUAAUUGGUGCAAUUCUUUUAACUAGACGUAUAUGAGGUCAUCUCCACGGAAGUAGUGAUGUUGUCGAAUACGAACAGAAAUCCAAUUAUCUCCCCUGUUAGACGCCUCUAUGCACCACUUGUUUAUUGCAAACAUUUGUGUGCCGAGCUCAUGUAAAUGCUGAGGGUUCGUUAGACUUCUGCCCGGUUCAUAUCUUGCCCUCCAUUGAUCAACUAUGUGGGCCUUUUUAAAAGUAUGACGUCCAACAAUAGCGGCAAUAGAGGACACAUGAUUACACACUAGUCUAGAGUUUUAACUAACAAUUUCUAUGAGUUUUGUAUAUUCUAUAUUUUCCAAGGAUUUUUCCAGAAAAGCUAAAAAAAAGGGAUUAGAGUGCAUAAUUAUCACAAAAUGUAACCGCAUAGUCAAAACACCGUCAUUGGGCUCAGGAAGCAUCUAGAAGACACCCGAAGCAACGAGGCCCGCUGAGGAGGAAAAGUGGGGCUGGCUGGCCCCACCUUGGGGCCGCACGACGCCCCCCUCUAGGGUUUCGGCCCCUUCUUCUGGAAGCUUUCUCCACCGCCUCUCCUGAUGCAUCUCGGCCAUUGGUUACGUCAGUUUGAUCCUGCGGCGCACAUCGAUCCCACCGGGCUAUAAAUAAAGGGGCAGACCCCCUCCCUGGAGGCAUAAGUCAUUUGGAGAUCAAUCCAUCAAGAGCCUAGGACACAAUUUAUGCUAAAUAUUCUUAAACCAUAUAUCAUCUUGAUUAGCAUAGAAGAAAAUCAAAAAAAAGUAUGGACAACAAAACCCGUAUUUCAAUCUUGCUAUUUCCUCGGGUAUGUGUCCAUUAACGUUUUGCAGGAAAGAACAACCUUAAUCUAUUGGAGAAGAAGUUUUCAAAUGAGCAUUAUCGCACCUCAAAUAGACAGACCCUAGCUCAUCAACCACAAAUUAAUCAAAGAAAUCAAGAAAAAGUUGAUGAGUGAAGAGCAUGUAAUCUUCUAUAGUUUCGUUGAAUGGUGAAAAGGUGAAAAAGAUAAAAGGAAGGUCUUGCUCAGCAAGACCAUAAGCUCUCACCAACAGAUGAACCCGAACCCUCCUCUUCCAAGUAAGUUCAUCAUCACUUACUUAGAAAGAUGAAGAUAUGAGGUACGUUUGUCCAAGCCUCAUGCAACAUGUAACUACAAUUAACAUCUCAUACCAUGUUGCUAAUUUGUCUUGGUCAUUUCUACCCUACGUUAUGCUCAAACAUAUAUAUAUAAUAAAAUCCUCCUGUGGUUCACCAUACAUAUUCUUGGUUCUAUGUGAAUAAAUACCCUUAGUCUUGCAAACUUCCUUAUUCUAUUAUAAGUAUGCUUUAGAAUAUUACUUAAACAUUAUGAAAAUCAAGCAUACUUAUAUAAGAAUUUAGUUGUACAUAUAGACUAAGCCCUCCUACUUAAAAAAUGUUUAAAUCAUUUUAGGAGACUACUCGUAGAAUCAAUUCAAGGUUAAGGGUAUGCUUCAAAAUAAUAUCCAUGCUUUAACCUUGAUGAAAAAAAUUGAAAUAAAAAAUAAAAAAUCUUUGCCGAGUGUCGGAGUUAGGGCACUCGGCAAAGAAUAUAUAUUAAAAAAACAAAAAUCUUUGCCGAGUGCCAGAGUCAAGGCACUCGGCAAAGAAUAUAUAUAUUUUAAAAAAUAAAAAAAUCUUUGCCGAGUACCACACGAUGGACACUCAGCAAAGAAUGACGCCGUCACCUACGACCACCUUUGCCGAGUACUGUGCUUUGCCGAGCACCCGACAUUCGGUACAGAAACGCUUUGCCAAGUGUUAGCCUUUGCUGUGUGUCUGGCACUGGGUAAAGAACACUUUGCCGAGCGUUUUUCUUUGCCGAGAGUUGCACUCGGCAAAGAGUACCUUUAUCGAGUGCUCGACGUUUAGCACUCGACAAAGCCUCUAGCACUAGGCAAAGACUCAGUUUCUAAUAGUGUCCGGUGGCCCUAUGAUUCCAGUGGAGGUGGUUGGAACCCGUGGUACGAUGGGGCAAGAGGAGCAAGCAGACAUCAUGGAGGAACCGGCGGUGGUGCCGCAGUUGAGCGCGUCGUCGGCGUGUCGGGGGCAUGGGCGGAUACAGUGGGUAUUCCUGGUAUUCUCAAGAAUACGCAACUUUUUUAUACACUAUAUAUAUAUAUAAUAUUAGUAUUUCUAUAUUUAGCAAAUAAAAUUUUUCUCUCAUUUUAUUAGUCCAUCCUUGUAUUUCUUUUUUCACAUAGAUUCUAUGUUAGCUCGAUUGCUAAAAUUAUUCUAUUUUAUUGUUUCUACAAAUAAAAACCUAAUUAUUUAUCUCCAAACCAUAUACAUAUUGACUCAUACGACAAAUUAUAUAUUAUUUCGAAACUCUUUUCGAAGACAAAUUGGAAUAUGCAUAUGGCAACAUGUAUAAUAAACUAUUCUUUUCGUGUGAGUGAACGAGGCAGGAGUGGAAAGCAAUUCUAUAAUCCUCAUUGCUAAAUCUCUAACCCUAGCCGACUAGGCAUGACGUAGUGCGCGGCACUGUUGGUUCCCAGUGUCCUGAGCUCCUAGCAGCGCGGGGCGUGCAGCGCGGACACGGCCUCUGUCUCUAUGCUACGCCUACAUGACGACCGAUGAGGAUGCACGUCAGUCAUGAGGUUAGAGGCAACAGCUGAAUAGCAGUCCACCAGCCACAGCAAGGGAAUACCCAAGAUUUAAAUCUCAGCUCGGCCACUGGUCGGGGGUGCUAGCCUGCUAGGUGGUGAGGGUUGAGCGAAGUGCAUCGGGACUCACGACUUGUGAGGUCGGAGCGGGUCGGGCAGGUGUGUGGGGUCAGGGAGGCAGGAGAGUCGGAGGCACGAUUUGGGCGAGGGGGCGAGAGCAGUCCGCGAUGAACACUGUUGCGGGAGCUAGGGGAGAGCUGAUUGUUUUUACUGUGUUUUAGUUGUAGAGAUCACAACAUAAACAUUUAUUUGAGUGGUAUGUAUAUCUUUGCCGUGUCGUGUAUACAUUUUGACAGCACGGUUGUCGCCGGUUUGCACGGCCCGCCUAUACUCAAAUCUGAAGGUACCCAUGCAUAUUACAGUAUUAAUUAUAUUUAUUCACGGUCAUAGAAUCACACUGCUCCUACUGCACUUCAUCACGCAUCCUGGAUAGACAGCUUGACGUACUCCUUCUCUGAUUCCUGGACUGAUCUACCCUUGCACCCAUAGUAGAAGGCGGUCAACGCACAGUCUUGGAACAACUCCACGGCGGCCAUCUGGACGGCGUACAAGACUCCCAGGAGCAGAGCCCCCGACGCCAUGUCGCUACGGGCGCAUAUCUUGGCCUGCCAGUAAAUCGGCCUCAAUAUGGCGGCGAGCACGCUCAUCACGGAAACAAAGAGCAUGGCACGCCUCCGCCUGCCCUUCACCAGCUGCCACGCCCGCCUGACUGCUGCACCAGCGCCAUGGCGGUGCCUAGCUGCAGCUGCAGAUUCAUCCAGGGCCACGAUGACGGCGAGCGAGCAGAAGAAGGACAGGAAGAUGUAGAAGACGAAGGCGACGAGGAGGACCACCAGGCACCCAGCGAGAAGCAGCCCAUGGUAGUGGUACCGCGGCCAGAACGCGAGGAAGGCCACAAGGGCGGCCGACGAGGCCAACAGCAGCGCGACGGCGGCGGUCUUGAGCGUGCAGACGAAGGCGACCAUCAACACGGCCCCCUUCAGCUGCUGCUUGGCUCUGCCGAGGAGCACGCCGAAGUUGUGCACUACCUCGCCGCCGGCACCGGAGUAUGUCGUCACGGCGGCGGAGAGGGAGACGAGCUGGAUGAAGGAGCCGGUGAUGUCGGCUGAAACGAGAUAGACGGCGCCUGCGAGGAAGAGGACCCGGUACUCCCUCCUGCGUCUCUCGGAGGAGGUGAGCGUAGUCGGGGCCUCUGGGGUCGGUGCUCAUGAGCGUGUCCAUGUCGCGGCCGACCUCAAGCUUGAGGGGCUCGAUGCCAAGCUCGUUGGCGACGAGAAGGAGAGAGAUCCAGGCCACGAGGAUGGCGAAGAUCGCCGCGAAGAGUCUCCGGUUCCUGACAGGGAGGAGGAGGCCUUCCUUAAGGAAGUUGAAGGACAAUGAGGUGAUAGAGCUAGCAGGCUUGGUGGCAGCCAUGGCUAGAGCUUAGACAGAAAUGAAAUGACGAGAGGAAUGCCAAUGUAUUGGGAUUAAUUAUGAGAGGAGAAUAACCUUUAUAACGACGGCAUGUUCGUUCCGCUGGCUGUAGCUGUGCGUGGCUGGCUGCUUUGUUCCCUACGUACCUCAGUGGGUGGCCUUAUAUAUUAUUAGCUCCAUGUGAGCUCAGGCUCAGCUCAGUUAUACUUGUUCGAUUCGUUAACAGAAAUGCUAGCGUGUGCGGUGACCUAGUGUGGUUUGUGUUUGCCCAAUGUAUACUGACAAAUCAACAAGAUGCAAGGUAAAAAAAAUGUUUUUGAGUGUGGGUCAUGCAUGAGAUGAAGCCCAGCUAGCUUGCAGUAGGGAAUACACUGGCAAAACAACCCUAAAUAAAAAGUACGGAGGCAUCGACCGGGCAUACUGGCUGGGAAUUGAGGCAUGCAUCACCGCGUCAUCGACCGACGGCUCAAAUUUACUACCUUUGCAUCCACCCCCUUCUAAUGGACUAAAUAGAAACAACGCAAGCUGAGACCAAGUAGUUUCGCAUUCAUCGUUCUUCUGUCCUGCUCACCACCACUGAACUGAGUUUUGGGCCUAGUACUUUCGCAUGAAAGCAACAAAGGAUUUUACGUUUUACCUGGCCGAGCUCUAGAAGCUUGACGCCUAGCUCGUUGGCGACGAUCGACAAAGGAAAGAGAUCGUCCAGGCGAAGAUGGCCAAGAGUCUUCUGGUUCCCGCUUGCUAGUAGGGAGGAGAAGGCCUUUCUUGAGGAAGUCAAAGGACCAUGGAGUGUGGCAGCCAUGUCUAGAGCUUAGACAGAAAGACGAGGCAUGCCGAUCGAUGUAUUUAAUGAGAUUAUAUGAGAGGCCGGGACAGGUCUGGGGACUAACAUUGUUGGUUUAACCUUUAUUUGGGACGAGUGUUGAGGAGAGAGCAAGGCGUUUCGUGAAAGAAACUUCAUAGGAAAAUGUGAACAAUACAUCUAUAUACUUAAUAAUAAAUUAUGAAAAUUUCAGUUCACCACGAAAUUCUAUUCACCACGAAAUUCUAUUCACCGGCCGUAUAGGACUAUGAUUCUUUACUUAAUAUUUAAUUAUAAAAAUUUCAGUCUGCCUAUUUUUAUGUCCGCCCAUAGUAUAUGAACACAGCCCGACCGGGGUCAGUUGAGUUCGAGAAGAAUACGGAGUUCGAUCCAUUCUCAAAUUUCAACGAUGCAACAAAUUAAUCACGGCAGCGACAGACCCAACUAAUAAAAAAUAUGUUGUAAUAGAGAACAUGUAAAUCUUUACCUAAUAUUUAAUUAUGAAAAUUUCAGUUUACCAACUUUUUCUGUCCGCCCAUAAAUAACAAAUUACCUAAUAUUUAAUCAUAAAAAUAUUUAAUCAUAAAAAUUUCAGUAUAUCCACUUUCUCUGUCCGCCCAUAAAUAAUAAAUUAGGAAAAAAAUUAGGCAAGCCUGAGGGCUAGAACCCAACACCUGACGAACCAAAAUCUAUCGAGAUAUAAAUACUAGAAAAUCAAGAACAUAAAUAAAACCAUUCUUUUUUUAAUUCUCAGCAAAAAAAUUGUAAGAGUUUGCGUACGGCUAGCGGCGGGGCGUCAUGCUGGAGUGGUAGACAGGAACCCUAUGGUUAGGGUAGAACGUCGUGGGAGGUUGGUGAGGCAGUGAUCCUGUUUGAGGUGCCGACUGUGGGUGCUAGAAGCCCAAUGGAGAAGACGGCAACUGAGGGGUGCAUGAGGCAGCGGACGCAAACGACAGCAGGAUUGGAGGCGGUGCCGGUAAGUAGGAAGAAGGAUCAUGCAGUUCAUAAAAAAAAGCAUGCAUGUCUCGUGAAAUUAAAAUGAAGAAGCGGCCUGAAUUUUUUUAAAGUGGCAGGGGAGAAAAUCUCCACCUGGAUAUAUAUUGAUAUAAAACAACAACCUUGCUUUAGGGAAAACGAGGCAAAACCUUGUUAUCCGGUUAAAUAGAAAACCGAACUAAAACCAUACAACUGCCCCAGCGCAAGAGCGAGCUCGUGGCAAAUAAAAACAAAAAUCCCCCCCAAUACAAGGGUGAAAGGUAGCACAACCACAAAACACUAGUAAGAAGAGACUGCAACACCAAGGCACGAAAACUCUUUAACGAUGACUCUAGGAAGGUGAACACUUCAAAAAUAUAAUCAUCUGCCAAGCAGGAGCUUAGCAAGGCUUUCACCGAGUCUUGUGCCAAGGAGAACUGCGAAUGGCCAGGAGUCUUCAGCGGCGCCUUUUAGAAGAAAGUACCACCUGGUGGCAUCCAUCAUUGCCGGUCCAGCCUAGGGCUGAGCAGAGCUUUCACCAGAAUCUUUGCAAGAGCUCUCGCAGUGCCAGCCACAGCCACACUGCUUGGAACCGAUGGAGGAUGGGGUGGCGGCGCAAAGAGGCAGAAGUUGGAUGAGCUGAAGCAGGAUAUCCAGGUGAUCUGCCACGACUUCUUGCACCAGGAAGGGCAGCUCUUAUCACUCUUACUAGUAGAGAACAGACUUUCGAUUCGAGGAUUUAGUCCUAUCCAUUUUUGCCCGGGAUUAAAGAAAGGAUUAAUCCCACUUGGAGCCACCAAUCAGGACUAAUGUCCCCUACCCAGUGGCAAAGCUAGGUUCAUGUUUGUGGAUGCACAUGCACCCAUAAAAAAUUGAAAACCUACUAUUACAAUUAAAUUUUCACUACUGUUACACCUUAAAAUUUCAUAUCUACUAGAGAACUACACCACCCUCAAUUUGCUCUAGCUUCCUGACCCUACCUAAUGGCUAGGGCUACAACUUUUGUAGGAGGGGAGCAGGAGGGGACGUUUAGACCCAGUUGGUGGCUCAAACUGAGAACAAAGGUCACCCUCCAGUCCCGGUUGGAGCUACCAGCCGUGACUAAACCUUUAAUCCCGGUUGGUGGCUCCAAAUGAGACUUGAAUCCACCUGCAGUCUAGGUUUAUAGCACAAACCAGAACUACAUGUCCUGCGCUAUAUACUUUCUUUUUCUUCCUCCCCCAACCCGAGCCAUUUCAAGCUCUCUGCCUGCUCUCUAUUCUUGCUCGUGGAAGGAGUUCAUGCUUGUGAGAUUGGUGAAGAUUUCAUUCCUCCCUCCAUUCUUCGGUUCUAAAGGUUAGCAACUUCGUCCUCUCUUGUUUCAUCACUAGCAUGGCUCAGGUUGGGGGAAUGAUGGUGUAUUUUUUAUUUAUAUACCAUUUGAUCUUGAAAUCACUUGAUAUGUUGAAUAUGAAGAUGAAGGAAGCUAUAUAGUAGUUCAUCAAAACUAGUAUGCACCUUUCAUUGCUACAUUUCAUGGUCUAGAAAUAGAGAAAUUUAUGGUUUUCUAAAUUGGAAAUAAUGGUGGAUAUUUUUUAUUUAUAUGUCAUUUGAGCUCAAAAUUACUUGAUAGUUUGCAUAUGUAGGUGAAGGUAUAUUAGCUCAUCAAACAAGGGAUAUAAUGCAUGCACACACUAUUUUGAUGGCAUCAAUAGUAUAUAUUUGAAAAAGUGCUAGAAGGGCAUGUACAUUGGUCAUUGUCGAUUUCUUCCAAUGGAUCAUGCCCUAAUAAAGAAAGGCAAGCAUUUUAAAGGCAAGACAGAGCACCGAUAAUGCCUGACAACCAUAGUGAUGUAUUCAAUAUGGUCAAGGAUGUACAAGUAGUCUUUGGGAAGGGACCUAGCAGUCAACCCAUUCCAAAUGAUGCUAACAGACAUGCACCCAUGUGGAAGAAGAUGUCCAUAUUUUGGGAGCUACCCUAUCGACAAGUCCUAGAGGUCCACAGUGGGAUCCAUGCGAUGCACCUAAUGAAGAAUCUUUGUGUGAAACUGAUAGGCUUCAUGGGUGUGUAUAAGGACACACAGGAGGCAAGACAGGACAUGUAGUGUUUGAAAGAACAAGACAACCUGCAUCUAGAGAAGACAGAUGAUGGACACCAUUACUUAAGUCUUGCCAGCUACACUCUUAGCAAAGAGGAGAAGGAAAACAUGUUUGAAUGCCUAAGUUGUAUCAAGUUCCUAUCUAGCUUCUACUAGAAUGUAAAGGGGAUAAUAAAUGUGGUAGAGAAGAAAUUCCUAAACAUAAAGUCUCAUGACUACCACGUGCUUAUGAUGCAAUUGCUUCCAGUUGCAUUGAGAGGGAUUCUACCUCAAAAUGUAUGAUUAGCCACCAUGAAACUAUGUGCAUUCCUCAACACAAAUUCUCAGAAAGCAAUCAAUCUAGUGCAUCUAGCAAAGGUACAUAAUGAUAUGGUCAAAUGUCUUGUCAGCUUUGAUUUGGUGUUCCCACCAUCCUUCUUUAAUAUUAUGACGCACUCCUAGUUCACUUGGUCAAAGAGAUUAGUAUUCGUGGUCCAGUGUUCCUACACAACAUGUUCCCUUUUGAGAGAUUCAUGGGAUUCUUGAAGAAAUAUGUUCUCAACCAUGCUCGGCGAGAAGGAAGCAUCACCAAGGCUAUGGAAUAGAGGAGGUCAUUGAGUUCUGUGUUGAUUUUAUUCCUAACCUCAAACCGAUUGGUGAGGGGACACUAAGUGGAAAGGGAACACUAUGAAAGAAAUCAUAUAUUGGCAUGGAGGAUGAAUAUUUCUAUAAAUUACACUACACAGUUCUAAAAAACUCCUCCUUGGUGGAUCCAUAUAUCAAGGUACAAUAGGACAUUGUAUGAUCCUAAUUCCCGAGGAAGACUAAAGCCUUGGUUAUAUGUCGGCACAUGGAAACAAUGUCAGGAUGAUGGGAGUCUUGUUGAGCAACUGUACUUGUUGUCUAGGGAACCAUCUUCGUAUAUCCUGACAUUCAAAGGGUGCGAGAUAAAUGAGAAUACAAGUGCAUUGAUAUCUCUAAACCUAUUACUAUGGCAGGAGUCUUGUUAACCCUAAGUCCUAGUCAUCACUAGGUACGCAUACUUGUGAAACAACUAGUACUUAGAUGUGUGUAAGAAGCACAAGCAAUGGCUUCUUGCUAGAGUUAAACCCAAUCAUUAUUUCAAUAGCUAUGACAUUAUACAUAUUGAGUUCACUGAAUUACACCAACUAUUACACUAGGAUGCUCUCUACAAAUCUCUCCUCAGCUAUUGGUGUCUGUAAGUGAUUCUUUCUACAAUUAAAGUAACUUGCAUGUAAGUUGCAUAUAUAGUUAUCCACACUAUACAUAUGCAGACAUGAGAUACUAAAACUAAUAAAAGGGUGACUAAUGUUGGUUUCAUGGAUCUAUAUUGCAUAUUCGAGGACCCAGUUACUCCAUAUGCUCAAUGGUGACCUCAAGUGGAGAAGAAUAUGUUGAGGUUCUUAGAUAACCAACAUGACAACAAGACAAUGAUACUCGUCCCUUACAACUUCAAGUGAGUGUUAAUGUCUUGUGCAUAUUUUAUUUUGCUUACUCCAUGUUGACUUUAAUUAAUGAGUUAUGUUUGUGUAUAAACAUGCAGCUUUCACUAGUUACAUGUUCAUCGAUAUGCCCAAGAGUCAUAUAAAUAUCUUUGACUCACUGAGAAAACCCCAAAAAAUUACCAAGAUAUGAUAGAUAUCCUCUAGUGGAAAUUUUGGUCUCGCACACUGUAUACUCUCUUAUGUGAACUGAGAGGGGGGCCUUUAGUCCUGGGUUCACAAUUCCGAUUGAGAAUCUGGGACAAAAGGGGUCUCCUAACAGGGACUGUUACCCAGUCCUGCACUAGUGUGCCGAUCCUCCCACUUUGGUUAGAAGCCCCAGCAAUGAUGUGAUUGUGGUCGUGGCAUGAAUCCACGCUAGCGUAACUUGUUAACCAAGAUAUCAUCAAUGAAUGUAAAAAACACAUCUUUUUGGAAGAAAAUUGAAUUUAUGAGAUACAUGAAGUAUGUUGGGGUCAUUUAUGACCCCAAAUGACAUAAUUGUGUACUCUUAAACACCAUAACAUGUCAAGGAAGUUAUCUUAAUUUGGUAUGUCCUUACCCUACCUUAGGUCCAUCUUGGAAAAGAACCUAGCUCCAACUAAUUGAUCAAUUAGGUUGACUCUCUAGGGAGUGGAUAUUUCUUCUUCACUGUCAUGGCAUUUAAAGGCAUGUAACUCACAACCAUCCAAAGGCAUACUCUUGUCUUUCUUGGUUACAAACAUGGCCAGUCCCAAAGGAGAGGAACUAGGUCGGAUGUACCAUUUUUCUAGUUGGUUGUAUUAGCCAACUAUUUCUUCAUCUCUGCAAAAUCUUGCACUGCCAUCCUAUAAGGUUGCCUAGAGAUUGCAGCUGUUCUAUAGGCAUAAGUCAAUAACAAACUCUAUAUGUCUCAAUCAAGAGGCAUUCGGUUUCGUCAGGAAACACAUUACAAAACUCACGUACUGCAGAAAUAGUUUCAAACCCGGGCAACUUCUUGGUGUUCAAGGUAUGCAACAUUGGUCAACUAAGCAUGGAUGGAAACAUGGUGACUCUGCCCGGAGGAGUGUUGAAGUUCUAUAGCUUUAUAGGUAGGCAUAUCUGAUUAGACCAUCAUUUACACUGGUUGUGCUUGAAGCGACUGUAUAUCUUAGCACCAGAACCAGUGAUCUGAAUCAUGCUUGUAUUCAAGAUCAAUUGUCUCUCAUAUAUUUUUUUUCUUUUGGAAAAAAAUCAACUGAGAAAAUCUUGUGCAAUAAACAUAUAUAUUCUCUGACGUACGCAGAACUGUCUCAAGCCAGUUGAUGAAAUGAUUUGUUGGGUGGUUUACUUUUGGCGCUGUGUGUGUGCCCUACUUCCAGGACACUAUUGACACAAGCUGGCGGCCGUUUUUUUCCCCUUACCGUGCAUGCAGCUGGGUAAAGAUCCCAAUAUUGUCAAGCUGUACUCCAUGACAAGCAUAUGCAUGUCCUGCACCGAAAACAAUUUUCACCGUACUCCUUUAUUUGCCGGGAAUCCUAAACGUUUCUUUCAGCCAGCACAUUGGACAAACGACCGUCCGAGACGGAAAGCCCACUAGAGCAGCGCCAACAGCUAUAGCCAAGAGGAAAGAUCUAGCUAGGAAAGUCUCAAUGAAGUUUCUUUGUCUGCAUGAUUGCAUUGAUCACCACGCUAGCCUUGUUUCAAAGUCUUGUUUAGUUCUCUAUCUAAAAACUUUUCACCCAUUCCAUCGAUGAUGGAGUAUUUAAUAUAGACAAAAAAAAACUAAUUGCAUAGUUUAGUUGUACAUCGCAAGAUGAAUCUUUUAAGCCUAAUUAGUCCAUGUUAUCCAUAAUUAUUGCUACAGUAACCGACAUGUGCUAAUAAUAGAUUAAUUAAGUUUAAUAAAUUCAUCUCGUAGUUUGUAGAUGAGUUACGUAAUUUUUUUUAUUAGUCUAUGUUUAAUACUUCAAAUAUGUGCCGAUAAUAUCUGAUGUGACAAUAAAAAAAAUUCGUGAACUAAACAACGCCUGAGAGGAUAGCGAGCAAUAUAUAGCAAACUAGCAAAGGCCAACGUGCAUUCCAUUUAGGCAUGACCAAAGGUCUGGACACUUUGCAAAAACAGGCUAAUUGAGGUACGGAAGUCGGUUGAAGACCAUCGCCACCACAGUUCAUCUGUAACGGUGAUCCAUCUCCGAGGAGGCAUCAACCUAGCUUAAUGAUAGUCUUCUGCUAAUUGAGGUACGUAUGUGCUAAUUAACCUGUGAAUUAGUCUGUUCAUGUCUUUAGACUAGCGAUCAUAAUGGGCUAAUCACGAUUAAGAAUUCUAAUAAGAUAUAACUAGGAAAGUCUCGACGAACUUUCUUUAUCUGCAUGCCUGCACUGGUCACCACGCUAGCCUUUUUUUCACACCAUUUCUGUCCACGGAUAAGCAACUGAUGAACUGACAGACAACGAGCAACAUAUAUGCAAACUAGCAAAGGCCAACGUGCGUUGCAUUUAGGCGUAACCAAAUUAGGUCUGGAGACUUUGCAAAAAACAGGCUAACUACUGCCGGUCUGUCUGUCAAAUACAGUGGCCAUCUAUGCCGCCGUGGUCGUCGUCGCUGCUGCUGCUGCUGGCCGCGAUAGCGGCCAUGCUGGCGCUGCAGCUCCGCGUGGCAACGGCGGCGCCUCCCGUCCAGAUACCCGGCUGCCGGACCUCGUCAUGCGGCGGCAACGUGAGCUUGCCGUACCCGUUCAGCAUCAACGCCAACUGUUCCAUCCCCGGCUUCAACGACCUCACUUGCGACAGAACAACGGACAGCUCGUCGAGGCUGCUGCUCAUCAACGAAGGCUCUGCCGGCCUCCAGGUCACCAGCAUACAUCUCAGGAAGGCCACCAUAUAUGCUGCCAACUGUGCCAUACAAAGCAUGUGUUUGAUUUCGGGACACCAUCAGAUGGGACGGUCCCAUCUCCCGUUCGAGGGAUGGGAUGAUCCCGGUUCUUAUUUGGAUGAAAUGAUGGGAUCACUCCUGUUUUUCUUUUGGUUGGUGGGAUAAAGAAAAAAACGAAAUGAUCCUGGCCCUAGCAGUCACUUGUGUUCACCAUAUGUUGGUAGGCUUACCUUAUAUGCUGGUACAUAUUGCUGCCUCCAUUAGUCCAUAUGUACUCGCAUAGGAAUUGUAUACCAACCUCACCAUAGUGCUCUAGAGGUUUAUUCAAAUGCUGAAUUAGCGUCACCUUUGUGAUCUUAAAACAGAAUAAAGGUAGUAGCAAAACAUCACCAGGCCAAUUAGCAUGAUGGAGAAGUUGUUUGCAAGUAUACUCGAAUACGGUUAUUAACUUAUUAUAGUGCUCAUCAUGUAGAGUGAUGAUGAAGUUAUCUUUGUCCUAGCCAACGACACUCAAUUUUGUAAGCUUGUUUAUUUAGCUUUGCAUACCUCCUUUGCAUCAAUUAAUUAGAAUUUUCUAACAUAUAAUGAGGAAGUUGUUGGUCAUAUUUCUACAUAUCAACAAUUAGUAUAUAGGGAUCGAUACUGGCGGAUAUCACUGAUAAUACAUUGUUUUCAUAUUUCUGUCCGGAUUUAGAUUCUAUUACAGAUAGUGUCAACAAUGCCGAAUAGGAUAUGGUUAGAUAUCGAUAUUAUAAAUAUGUGAUUUGAGUAUUCAGAUACGGAUAUGGUAUCUCAAACGUUGAAUAUCCGGACUCGAAUAUGGUUGGAAUAUAUCCUUACAUUUUCACCCUGUUAGUAUGGAUCAUAUAUGGGACUAAGUCCUUCUAUUACCUACUGGAAUAUGAAGUUCAUUUUCACAUUCUCUUGCAAAAUUAGGGGAUCAUGUGUUGUCUCCUCCCAACACACAAAACACUUGUGAACCGAAGAUCAAAAUCUACAACUACCAUUACAUUUUGAGUGACAUGAACGGAAUGCUCCGUACCAUUUCAAAGAGAUGCUAUUACAUGUGUAUCAUCAAUAGAUCUAAUACAAGCAUAGAUAUUAGAGAUCACAUGGAUUGCGUGGGUGCUUGGCUGCGAGCAUGCAAAAAUAGAAACGGCAUAAAGAUGUGCCUCCACCUUAAAGUAAGGAUCCCACCAAGGGUUCCAUGCUAUUUUGGUUGGAGUGUCCAAAGAAGUUGGUCUAAUUAGUUCCAUGUAAAUCACCAAUAACAUGAAGUAGUUUUGUUGAAAUAAUGUCUAAUAAUUUCUUCAUAUAUAUCUAUCAAAUUAAACUAGUGCCACAACUAACCUAUUCCUAAGGUUGUGCCAUACCAUAUUUAGAAACACACUGAAAGCCCUAGUUUGGUUUUGGAUAAUUGAUGAAACCCUAGUACUAACCUCUAUGCUAAGUGUGUGUAGACUUAAUGAGGUUGGUACAUGCCAAGUGAUGGAGCAAGUGUGAUCAUGGUGAUGAUGGUGAUGACCACAAGGUGAUCAAGUGCUCAACUUGAAAAGAAGAAAGAGAAAAACAAAGCCCUAUGGAGAUCAAGGCAAAGGUAUUGCUUAGGGUUUUGGUUUCGGUGAUCAAGACACCAUAGAGGGUGUGAUCACAUUUAGGAUAGAUAGCCGUACUGUAAAGAGGGGAAUUCUUUGGCUAAGCGGUUAUCAAGUGCCACUAGGUGUCAUUGUUCAUGUGCAUGCAUUUAGAACCUAGUGAGCUAACUUAACUCCUUCGAAGAAAAUGUUUGUGAAAAUGCUAACACACGUGCACAUGUCGGUUUACACGUUGUGGUGUUAGCACACUUUGAGAAGGAGGUGGAGUUUGAAGGGUAGAGAGAGGAUGGGUUCGGCGCUUUUCGAGAAAAUGAAGUGCAUAUUUUUCUAUUGCGCCGGUGGGAAAUUUGGAGAAGUCGCGGGAGUGUUUCUCGCUGAGAAAACACUCACCAGACGCUAGCUUCUGGAGCACCGGACGCUGAGUCUGAGCGUCCGGUGCAGACAGUGCCUGGCCCAGCUAGGGUAAGGCACCGGACGAUAGGCACCGGACGCUGGCUUGAGCGUCCGGUGAUGCGCGUCCGGUGUGCGGGCGUUUUGCGACCCUCUCUGCGCAUGGGUCCCGUGAGCACCGGACGCUGAGGGUGCGUCCGGUGGCUUGCGUCCGGUGACCCUGCGAGUUUGCGGAGCUCUCUGCGCAUGAGUCCGGUGUGCACCGGAUGCGUCCGGUGCCAACCUGCUCAGCGUCCGGUGCUCUGCAGGUUACCGUUAGACUCUGACACGCGGCUGACGUUGGAGCACCGGACGCUGGUGUUGAGCGUCCGGUGCCCCUUUAAGAGCGUCCGGUGACCCCGAGUUUUGCCCAAUGAAGGAGCCAACGGCUCUAUUUGCUUGAGGGGCUAUAAAUAUGUGUUUGGCCGGCUUGGGGCUCACCCUCUUGGCAUUCUAACAUACUUGACAUCCUUGUGAGCCUAAGCAAACACCUCCCACUCAUCUCCUUCAUAGAUUAAACAUCUUUGUGAGAUUGGGAGUGAUUCCAAGUGCAUUUGCUUGAGUGAUUGCAUCUAGUGGCACUUGGGGAUCGUUUUAGCUGCGGUUUUCUCGUUACUCUUGGUGGUUGCCGCCACCUAGACGGCUUGGAGCAGCGGAGGAGGAUUGGCACGAGUUGGUGAUUGUUCGUGGCCAUCUCCCGGUGAUUGUGAGAGGUUUGUGCCUACCUCGGCGGAGAGCCAAAGGCAACAUUAGUGGAUUGCUCGUGUCAUUGAGCUACCUCACUUGUGGGUAGGUUCUUGUAGUGUCCUAGUGAGGACGAGGUUCGUGCUACACCUCUUAGCCACCGAACCACCAAGUGUUGGUCGACACAACGGGGACGUAGCGUGCCGGCAAGCACGUGAACCUCGGGAGAAAAAUUGUGUGUCUCCAUUGUGAUUGUUCAUUGGAUAUCUCCCGGUGAUUGGACUUCAUAUUAUUGAUUGGUUCAUCCCCUCUACGCGGCGGUAUAAAGUUCAAACCAUCUCUUUUACAUUCCCGCAAACUAGAGUAGCUUACUUACUUGUAUAGAAACUUUAGGUAGCUUUCUAGUGUAAGUAGUGACAUAGCUCUUGUGUGCCUAGUAAUUAUAUCAACUAGAUUUGUUGGAUAGGUGGCUUGCAAACCCCCCUUUAAAGCUAGAGCAAAAAGCUUCGCUUUGUUAUUUACUAACCUCUUGCUCUAGUGAGUUUGUAGAAUUUUUAAAUAGGCUAUUCACCCCCCUCUAGCCAUAUUAGGACCUUUCACACACACACCUUUUGCUCAACAUGAAAAUGGAUGGUAUCUUGGAGAGUCCCUAAAAGAUAACAAAACUGAAAGAAGGAUGCUCUAUAAUAACCCUAGGAAUGUUUAUAUAAGUUGUGUCAUCAUUCCAAUUCCAUAUCCCUUUCGUCCAAUGUUGGGUGGGGACUUUCGAUUGCCCUCCCAGCCUCCCCCCUAGCUCACAAAGAGCCAUCCUGGAAACCUUCCCCAGAUGUUUUUGGUCAUUUCAUAGGAUGGUGCAUUUCGUUAGGCCACGGGAGGCUUCACUAGAGCUCGACAUACGAAGAGCAUCUGGAGUGAAGGCAUCGUGUGUGCAGGCGAUGAGAUGUAUCCCUAAGGAGGAUCCUAGCGAGGACUAUGUGCCCGAGCAAAGGAGCGACAUGGUUUCGUGUAUGAAGUCGAGCGAAGGCUUUAGUGGUCUGACAGUCCCACGAAGGUGAAUGCUUUUGGUUUCAUGUGUGAAUUUGACUAGGAUGCCCCCACCUGAGAGAAUCUAGAUAUCUCAAGUAGGUUUGGGAGGAGGCAUAAGAGUCCUUGCAUUGUGUUGUAAAGGGGAACCUAUAAAUAGUGUCAAUUGUACAAUAGGAAGGGGAUGAUGAAUAGUGAAACCACUAGUUAUUUGAGAGUUUGGCAAUUACCCAUGUUCGAAGACUUCUGACCAGAACAACUAUAUACCCAAUGGUGGAGGGAAGGGGCCUAAGGGGGCCUGGCACCCCCACCCCCACCCCCCCCCCAAAACCUUCACAUACCUACCAUAAUACAUCCCCUAGUUAAUGAUACUAUUUUUACUAUGAUUUUUUAUUCUUACUCCAUAUUAAUCUCUAAUAGUAUCUUAUAUAAAUAAAAACUAGGUCUUCCUAAUAUUUUGACCAUAUCUUUUUGUUCUUAUUAUUGCUUACAAAACAUUAGUUUGUCCCCAUAACACAGACUCUAAUUAGCUAGUUAAUUAAAAAUCAGUGCUUUUCUUGUUUACUCCUUAGAAUAGAUCUCCAAUUAAAUCUAUAUUAUUUAGCAUUAGCGAGUGUGGUCAAUAUUUAAACGCUAUAUAGUGGCACAAUGUUUCUGUCUAAUCGUCUAUUUAGACAAACAUUUUACCCGUCUUUAAGUGACCAUUUUGUCCGAGGCUAAGCAACAAGUGACCAAUUGCUAGCCAUUUAACAUUUAUUAGGAUCUACAGCCAAUUAAUUUUGGCCCUGUUGAACUACUUGUUAUUACCAUAAUUCUUUUUCCAGCCAAAAAAAUUAGAUUGAUCAGGUAACGGUUAGAGGCCUGAGGCUAAUUAAAUUCCCUUCAUUUUUUAGUUUUUUCCUCUUUCAUUUGUAUCGCAAGUCGCAACACAAACGUUUAUUUGAGUGGUAUGUAUCUUUGCCGUGUAGACAUUUUGACACGCGCGCAUAGUUGUCGCCGGUUUGCACGGCCCUCCUAUACUCAAAUCCUAGCUACUCCUGAAAAGAUACCCAUAUUACAGUAUUAUUCACGAUCAUAGAAUCACACUGCUCCUAUACUGCACUCCAUCACGCAUCCUGGAUAGACAGCUUGAUGACGUACUCCGUCUCUGAUUUCUGGACUGAUCUACCCUUGCACUCGUAGUAGAACGCGGUCAACGCGCAGUCUUGGAACAAUUCUAGGGCGGCCAUCAGGACGGUGUACAAGACUCCCAGGAGCAGAGCCCCCAACGUCAUGUCGCUACGGGCGCUCAUCUUGGCCUGCCAGUAAAUCAGCCUGACCACGGCGGCGAGCACGGUCGUCACAAAAACAAAGAGCAUGGCACCCUCCUGCCUGCCCUUCACCAGCUGCCGUGCUCGCCCGACCGCGCCGCCGGCGCCAUGGCAGCGCCGAGCUUCAGAUUCAUCCAAGGCCACGACGACGGCGAGCGAGCAGACGAAGGACAGGAAGAUGUAGAAGGCGAAGGCGACGAGGAGGACCAGGCAGCCGGCGAGAAACAGCCCCCGGCACCGGCAGUACCACGGCCACCUGAACGCGAGGAAGGCCACGACGGCAGUCGAGGCCAACAGCAGCGAGACGGCGGCGGUCUUGAGCGCGCAGACGAAGGCGACCGUCAGCACGGCCGCCUUCAGCUGCUGCUUCUGCUGCUUGGCUCUGCCGACGACGACGAGCGCGCCGAAGGUGUGCACUUCACCACCGUCGUCACCGGAGUAUGUCGUGACGGCGGCGAAGAGGGAGACGAGCUGGAUGACGGAGCCGGUGAUGUCGGCUGACACGAGAUAGGCGGCGCAUGUGAUGAAGAGGACCUGGUAGUCAUCCAGCGUCUGUUGGAGGAGGUCAGCGUAGUCUGGGCCUCCAGGGUCGGUGCUUUUGAGCGUGUCCAUGUCGCGGCCGACCUCAAGCUUGAGGGGCUCGAUGCCAAGCUCGUCGGCGACGAGAAGGAGAGUGAUCCAGGCGACGAGGAUGGUGAAGAUCGCCGCGAAGAGUCGCCGGCUCCUGCCGGCGGGGAGGAGCAGGCCUUCCUUGAGGAAGUUGAAGGACGAUGGGGUGGUAGAGCUAGCACUAGCAGGCUUGGUGGCAGCCAUGGAUAGAGGUUAGACAGAUAGACGAGAGGAAUGUCAAUGUGUUGAGAUUAAUUAUGAGAGGAGAAUAACGGUGAUGGUUUAAACCUUUAUUAUAACGGCCUGUUCGUUAAUUUUGUAGUGUCAAUGUGUAGCUGUGUGUGGCUGGAUGCUUUCUUGCCUACCUCAACCGUGUUUGCUAGUCAUUUUUUACAGCAACGUAACAGCCAGCCAUACCGCAACAAAUGCUUUUAAUUUGGCGGAACAAAUGCUUCUUUCUCUGGUAGAGUAGUGAAAGUCUAGAACCUUGACGACCAGGCCUAAAUGGCACAAAACUGAAUUGAUAAAACAAUUCUAGCAAAAAACCGAAGACAUAUUUUAAUUAAUGUUGUGUACUACCUCUAUCAAACAAAAUGCAACUCUCACAUUUUGAGGAGCCAAACAGUUCAAACUUAUAGUUAUAUCAUGAAAAAUAAUAAGUACAAUUGGUUUAGCUAUAGAAUAUGGUUUUGUAAUAAAUUUAUUUUGGCGACAUAAAUGUUGAUAUUAUUUAUUAUAAUUUUGUUUAAACUUGAGCUACUUUGAUCAGCACGGUUCCUAUAAUUGAGUUGUUUUAUGGACAGUACACUAGGCUUGACGACAAUGAGUAAAUGCAACGGUUUUUGGCCGGCACAAAUGUUUCUUUCUUUGGUAAAGUAGUGAAACUCUAGAAGCUUUAUGACCAUGCAUACCUAAAUGCACGGCCUUUUUAUUAGCUCCUGUGAGCUCAGGCUCAUCGUUAACAGAAAUGCUAACGUGGUGAUGACCAAUGCAAGCAGCAUGCACACAAAGAAAUUUCAUCGAAUCUUUCGUAGAUCUUGGCUAUGUAUAUACAGCUGUUGGUGCUCCUGUCCAAUAAUGUACUCUGGCAAAACGAACGUUAGGAUUUCCCGACAGAUCAACAAGAGCCAAGGUAAAAAAUUUGUUUUUGAGUAGUGUGGGUCAUGCAAGACGUCGAGCCCAGAGCUUGCAGUAGGGUAAGGGCAUACAUUGGCAAAGCAAACCUAAAUAAAAAUAAAUUGAGCCGUUUGUUCUCACGUAAUUAAAUUACAAUCCGAUUCACAAAUAAAGGAAUCUUUAUUUAUAUGAGGUGAAUUAUUUUAUGAGCACCAUUAAUUGGACAUAAUAAAAUUUACCUUUCAUGUCUCAAAAACUGAAUCAUUUCUGUAUGUGUAUAUUCUCGGGCCUAAUCAUUGGCUUAGGACUUUGUGAGUGGUAGUGCAGUGGUUCUCGUUCUAGCCAUAAGCACCACAUUACUGAUACAUAAACUCAAGGCAGAAAGAAAUAAAGAAGAGGCUAAGGCAAAGAUUUUUCAAGAAAAAUCAUGGGCAGUUGUUACAGCAAUUGGUAUGUGUCAAAGAGCAUAUAUAUAGGAGAAAGAAUGACCACUACACUAGAAGAGCUCGAGAAAGCCACUAACAACUUUGAUAAAUCUCAUGAGCUUCUUGGUGGUGGAGGACAUGGCAUAGUCUACAAGGUAAUUUAAUCAAGUCACAUGUUGCAAUUAAGAAGGCAAAGAUCAUGAUACAAAAAGAAAUCAGUGAGUUUAUAAAUGAGGUUGCAAUUCUUUCUCAUGUAAAGCAUCGAAAUAUUGUGAAACUACUUGGAUGUUGCCUUUGAGACAUAAGCCCCAUUACUUAUUUAUGAGUUCAUAUCCAACGACACUCUUUACAAGCAUCUUCAUGUCAGACCACCAACAUUAGUUUCUUGGGAAAAUAGGCUUAGGAUUGUUGUUGAAAUUGCUAGAGCUCUCACAUAUCUUCACUCCUUAGUCUCUACGCCAAUAGUCCACAGGGAUAUCAAGCCCCUUAACAUACUUCUUGAUGAUAAUCUAACUAUGAAAUUGUCAGACUUUGGAGCGUAAAGAUAUAUUCCUAUUGAUCAAGAAGGGAUACAUAUAUAUAACUGUGUAAGGGGCAUUAUGAUAUUUGGAUCCUACAUACCACGGCAUGGGACUUCUUUUCGAAAAGAUGAUGUCUAUAGUUUUGGUGUGCUCCUUAUAGAGUUGCUUACCAGAGAGAACCCAAAUUGUUAUAGAUCCCCACCAAGGUUUUUCUCUUGUCAACAUUUUUAUAGUUUGCACUCUCAAGGAAACUUAGUCGAAAUAAUGGAAUAAUGGAUCCACAAGUUGCCAAGGAAAGAGAUGGAGAAGUUGUUGAUGUUGCCCUAUUGGUAGCAGUAUGUUUCAAGUUUAGAGCUAAGGAACAACCAAUGAUGAGGCAUGUUGAGAUGACGCUAGAAAUCAUCCAAGCUUCAAAGGAGUUUCCUAGCAACGUGAUAUAUCUAGUGUAGACAAUAUCCUCGAGGAAAGGAGUUAGGAUUCAUUUAGGUUUGUAUCUAAGGAAAAGUUAUUAGAUGUUCUUGCGUGGUAGCCUUGAUCUUGCUUUGGUUUGCUAAGAGUCAUAAUAAUCAAGUUUUGUUCAAUAUGGAGCAUAUAAUUAAUGUGAUCAUGUUCUUCUUCCCAUCAUUGUCGUGUAAUAUGUUACAAACAAAUAAAAAACUAUAAAUCAUAAAGUAUACGUAUCCUAAUGCUCUCAUUUUUUCUGGAUUUAUUUCAUCAAUUUUAAUGGCGCUAUUCUUUCAAAGAUAGGAGAUGUACCCAUUGACAGUCGAGUACAUGCAGUUGUUAGAAAAUUACACAAAUGUUUGAUUUAAUCUAUAAAAUUACGCAUAAUACAGUGGUGGCAUAUAUGUGCACAUGUACAAUUUUAUCACUCCUAGAUUAGAGAUAAACAUUACAAGAACUACUGCAACUACAGCAGACAUGAAAAUGAAAAACAAUCGUUUAAGAUUGUAUUCUGAGGAGGGACCAGUGCCGAAGGCACCGACGGCUCCAUUCACACUAGUCAACAUAGUGUGUUGCUCGAACUAGUGGACCUCAGUCGAUGCAGGAAGAUGUUCGCAGUGCAGUCCCGUGAACGUCCACCAGGAAGAAGACGAAGACGAAGUAGUCGCAGUCCCGAACGUCCACUAGGAAGAAGACGAUCCCGAUCCGUCGGAGUGGAAGAAGACGAUCUCGCCGGCGAGCGGUCGUGGAAGACGCUCCCAAAAACCUGAUUACCCGCACACCCGAGCAGGUGUCUCGAUGCAGGGCGUUGGGUUCCGGAGGCCUGCUCUCCCUGUGCGCGCAGAGGUUCGGGACGGGGAUGAACAGAGAGCAACACGACUGGAAUGCAAAGGAAUGACUGAUUGUGUCUCACACAGGGAAAGAGUCUCGCAGGUAUGGAAUAUAUAGGCUCAGAAGGAAACGUCUGAGUUAAUGACAAUCAAUCGCAAUUAAUUACCAUUAACGAGACAAUCAAUCACAAUUAAUUACCAUUAAUGAGACAACGGUCAGAUCCGGUCAGACCCCGAUUUCCUCCCUUUCCUUAUUCACCACGCGUGUGCCACGUCACGUCUCGAGAAGACAAGACAAGACAACGCCACGCCACGCCACGCCACGCAUCGCCUCGCCUCGCCCCGCCACGGCAUGGCUCGGUGCGUGCGCGUGUGGCACCUUUUUUCUCUUCCUCAACUUCUCCAUAGGAGCUAUAAAAGGCCACCUAUUUAAGUUGAGUUAACACAUGGUCAAUAGUUAAUACGGUAUUAAACUGUUUUCAAUAUAGCAUUUAUUAUGGGCCCUUGAAUUAAUCAUCAAAUAUAAUAUGGGCUAAAAGCCCAUUUAUAUUCAACAAACCUCACCUAUUUCUAGGGCACAUAAGAAAAUGUCUCAAAUUUCCAUGUCGUUUCAUAUACCAGUUGUUUCGGUGGAGACUGUCAAAUUGAACUUCCACCUAGAGUACAGACUACACUCAGUCACAACUUGAACAAUGGACUAUACCUUGAAUUGCAAGUUUUGUGUGAUGUAAGUUUUAUCUAAACUCAUAACUGAUACCGGGUUGCAUGAACAUCCUCUCUUGAAGCAUAUAAGUGAUACUUCUGGCCCAUUCAUGAGUAUGUAGAGACCACCCAAAUCUCAUAGACUGUGACUAGCAGUCAAACUCAUAUAGGUGUAUUCCUUAAAGAUGUUUUGUAGGACAACAUCUAUCGCUUCACAAGCCGCUUUGGAAUACAUUAAGGUAUAUAACCAGCCUUCCUUACAGACUUAGGAAAAGAAGUACACUUGAGAUGAGUUAAGUUUGGUUCUUUCCUCACAAUCUACUUCUGGCUUGUUUCACCAUUCUACUUCACGGGAUCUCCGAUCAUAUAGAACAUGUUGCCACCACGGUAGACCUUACGUGGGUCUCAAACACAUCUCACUCGAUGCACUAUCUAUCACAUUACGUGAUAGUCUCUUUUUAAAUUGAUCUGCUAGAUUCUUAGACGUAUAGACAUAGUCCAACGCUAUAACUCUGGAGUUUCUCAAUUUUCUGAUAGUCUUCAAACACCGUUUGACAUGCCUUGUGGACUUCAUGUUGUCCUAGAACUGUUGACUUUUGUGAUCACCGUUUGAUUGUCACAGUUCAUGGAAAUAGCCGGCAUAGGUUUUUCAACCACCGGUAGAUCCAUCAGGAGUUCACGAAGCCACUCGACCUCAGCACCGGUGGUGUCUAAUGCUGUGAGUUCUGCUUCCAUGGUUGACUUGGUUAAGAUAGUCUGCUUGCAAGACUUUCAUGAAACAGCGCCACCUCCAAGCAGAAACACAUAUCCACUCGUGGCCUUUAAAACAUCAGCAUCAGAUAUCCAAUUUGCAUCACAAUAACCCUCUAAUACCUUGGGGUAUCCGGUAUAGUGAAUGCCAUAGCUCACAGUACCUUUUAAAUAGCGCAUCACUCUCUCAAGAGCUUGCCAGUGAAUAUCUCCCGGAUUUGAUACAAACCGGCUAAGUUUGCUAACUGCAAACGAGAUAUCAUGCCUCGUGGCACUUGCAAGGUACAUCAGUGAACCUAUAAUUUGAGAGAAUCUUAGUUGAUCCCUUGCUAUUCUUUGAUUUUUCCUCAAUAGCACACUAGGAUCACUAGGCGUAGGAGCAAAUUGACAGUCACUGUACCCAAAGCAACUUAAAAUCUUCUCCACAUAGUGGGAUUGCACAAGUGUAAUCCCACCAUUGCCUUCUCUCAAAAGCUUAAUGUUUAGAAUAACAUCAGCUUCUCCCAAAUCUUUCAUCUCAAAGUUAUUAGACAAAAAGUCUUUAACUUCCUUGAUCACAUCAAGGCUUGUCCCAAGGAUCAGUUUCAUCUCAAAGUUAUUAGACAAAAAGUCUUUAACUUCCUUGAUCACAUCAAGGCUUGUCCCAUGGAUCAGUAUGUCAUCCACGUACAAACAAAGGAUCACACCUUCACCCCCACCAAACUGAUAGUACACACAUUUGUCAGCUUCAUUAACAGCAAAGCCGACAGAAGUUAAAGUUCUGUCAAACUUUUCAUGCCAUUGUUUUGGAGCUUGUUUUAGGCCAUAUAGGGAUUUUAAUAGCUUACACGCCUUGCCUUUUUGACCACUUGUUACAAAUCCAUCAAGCUGAUCCAUAUAGAUCUCUUCCUCUAACUCUCCAUUUAGGAAAGCUGUCUUUACAUCCAUCUGAUGAAUGAGAAGACCAUGAGAGACAGCCAAGGAUAGUAACACUCGAAUUGUUGUCAAACGGGCAACCGGUGAAUAAGUAUCAAAGAAAUCUUUCUCUUCUCUUUAGGUAUAACCCUUAGCCACAAGCCUAGCCUUGUACCUGUCAAUUGUACCAUCAGGCCUAAGCUUUUUCUUGAACACCCAUUUACAACCUAUAGGUUUACACCCAUAAGGCCGUUCAACAACUUCCCAAGUUCCAUUAGACAUUAUUGAAUCCAUCUCAUUCUUUAUUGUUUCCUUCCACAAGUCAGCAUCAGGAGAGGAAAAUGCCUCUUUAAUGGUUGUUGGGGUAUCAUCCACGAGGUACACAAUAUAGUCAUCUCCAAAAUACUUCACUUUCCUUUGUCUUUUGCUCGUUCGAGUGACUAUAUUAUCAUCCUCCUUAGGAUAGUGAACAUGGUUCCUCAGUUUGUUCUAUCGGAAUGAAUUGCACAUGGGAAUCUAUAGAUUCGUGACUAGAAAUAUUAUGUGUACUUUUCAUAGGGAAUUCACUUUCAAAGAAUGUUGCAUCUCUUGAUUCCAUUAUAGUACCAACAUGCAUAUCUGAUAAUCCAGAAUUUAUAAUUAAAAACCUAUACCCUACCCUGUGAGUAGCAUAACCAAGGAAAAUACAAUCAACUGUCUUAGGUCCAAGUUUACGUUUCUUGUUUAUUGGCACAUUCACUUUUACCAAACAACCCCAAGUACGCAAAUAGGAGACAUUUAUUCUCUUCUUUUCUCAUUCCUCAAAUGGCGUGAUUUCUUUAUUCUUUGUAGGAACUCUAUUCAGGACAUGAUAUGCUGUCAGUAUCGCCUCACCCCACCAUUCCUUAGAUAGUCCUGAAGUCUUUAACAUGGCGUUAACCAUCUCUGUUAGAGUACGGUUCUUUCUUUCGGCAAUCUCAUUGGACUGUGGUGAGUGUGGUGGUGUCCUCUCAUGAAUAAUUCCAUGUUCUACGCAAAAAUCAGAAAAAUCACUUGAAAAAUAUUCUCCACCACGAUCGGACCUUAAGCGUUUAAUUUUCCUCUCAAGUUGAUUAUCUACUUUAGCUUUAUAGGCUUUAAAAUAUUGUAAUGCUUCAUCCUUUGAUUUAAGCAAGUACACAUGACAAAAUCUAGUACAAUCGUCUAUAAAUAUAAUUAAGUAUCGUCUACCACCUUUAGUCAAUUCAUCAUUCAUCUCACAUAGAUCAGAAUGGAUUAGUUCUAAUUGUGCCAAGUUCCUCGCCUCUGCAGCCUUGUGAGGCUUGCGAGGUUGCUUGGAUUGCACACAGACAUGGCACUUAGAACCUUUGACUAAAUUAAAUUUCGGGAUUAAAUUCAUAUUUGCUAGCCGCGUUAAACAACCGUAAUUAACAUGACAAAAUCGCGAAUACCAAAUAUUCGACUCAUUCGAAAUGUUCACGACUUUAUUACACACAUCAUGCAUAGAUAAGCGGAACAAGCCUCCACAAUCAUAACCUUUACCAAUAAAAGCUCCAAACUUAGAAAGUAUAACUUUAUUGGCCUCAAAGACAAUUUUAUAGCCAUCUCUGCAAAGUUGUGAACCGCUAACUAGAUUCUUUUUGAUGGAGGGGACAUGUUGUACGUUCUUCAUCAGCACCGUCUUUCCCGAAGUGAACUUCAGAAUGACCAUGCCAACACUAAGAACACGUGCAUGAGAGCCAUUCCCCAUCACUAAGACUCCAGUGUCGCGGGCCUGAUAAGAAGAAAACAAAGAGAUGUCAGCACAUACAUGAACAUUAGCCUCAGUGUCCAUCCACCACUCAGGUGAAUGACAGACUGAAAGAACAAUGAGUAAAUAAUUAUCAUACCCAGAUGUUCCUCCUUCAGCCUCGCUAACGACCAUGUUCACUGACUUUUCUCUUCUCGUUUGAAUUUGCGGUCUGGACAAGCACUUGCCUAAUGGUCAUUGCUACCACAAACAAAGCAGCCUCCAUCUGCCUUUUUCUUCUUAAAAGUUGUAGUUUGCUUUGGCUUCAGAUUUUUCCCUUGCUUGUUCUUUUUCUUAUUACGGAAUGCGUAUUGCUUUUUCUUCUGCACCACAUUGGCACUAGAAGACUCAACGCCUUUCCCAUUUGUGUCUUUUGCUCUCGUCUUCUCCUCAACAUCAAGAGUUUCCAUGAGUUUGGCAAGACCAAACUCUUUUCUCUGAUGUUUUAGAGAAGUAGCAAAAUCCUUUCAAGAAGGUGGCAGCUUAGCGAUUAUACCACUGGUGUAACAUCCCAAAAAUUCACAUUCAAAAAUCACUCGCAUUAAAAAUUAUUUUAAAAAUAUAUUUCAAAAACUAUAAAAUAAUUUGAGCUCUAUAGUAUCUCCAUCUAAUCCAUCCAUAUUUUUUUCGCGCACAAAUAACAGCAAGUACCAGCAAGCUUACAUGCAAGAAAACAUAGCAGUGCACCUACACGAAUAUAUAUCUCAUGCAUGCAUGCAUGCAUGCGGGACGAGCAUGCACCGUCCAUUAGCAUGCACCUACAUGCAAGGACAUGGUGAUUAGGCACCGUCCAUUUGCACGCACCGUGCAUGCAAAUGAGACAUUGCCAUUUGCAUGAAAAUUAGGCACCGCCCACCGUCCUGUCGUCCUAUGUAGCCAUGCACUACAGUAGCAAUUCUAAUGGUACGAAGCUGAGCACCAGAGGCAUAACCUCACUCCUCUGGCCUAUAAAAAACCAGCCUCGGGUGCUCACUCUCACCACCCGAGAAACACAUUCACUCACUCGCUCACUCGCUUUCACUUCGCGUAUACCGUAUACGGCCAUACGCACAAGCCGAGCUCGACUGUCGUCGCAAGACGAGGUGAGCAGCUCAUGAGCAUCCCCUUACUCUUCUCUGUCUUUCUGUAGUAUUUUUCUGUAUUUUUCCUUAUAUUUGUCUGUACCGAUUCACUGUUAAGAACUCCACGAAUAGAGCCAUGACAUACAGAAGAGCUCUAAUGACCCCUGCUAAUUUCUCUCUAACCAUGCAUGCGUGGGCCAUAAGCAUUAACUCCAAAUAGUACAUGCAUGCAUGCAACAUGCACUACCAGCCAAGCAAAUGUCCACGUGAAGCAUCCAUUCCUUAAUCAUCGUUAGCCUUUUUCGCAUGAUUAAAUUCCGGCCAUUUCACAAAUACCACAUGCUAACUCUGAUUUCAAUAAUUCUUUUUCCUAAAUUAAUCUAAAAUCAUGAUCUACCUCUCAUAUUAAUUUCUUGAUUUUUGGAGCUCAUUUGAAUUUAUAUAAUUAUUUAUCUGUGCCUGUUGUCUGUGUCGUUCGUCGCGUAUUUUAGUUGACGGAGUGAACGAGCCGGAAAACGAGAACGUUGGAAACGAGUACCGCGAGUUUGACGCCGAGGACCCGGACUGUCAGCAGGAGUUUGCUGAGGACGCCGACGGAGGCAAGUCCAACCGAUCCCCUUUGAUGCAUAUUGAUCCUAUUUUUAAACACAACCCGUAGAAGCCGUUUUAAAUAUUGCAUGUACGAUAUAUGUACGAAGUAUUUUCGCUGCUUAGUUAAAAUCUGUUGAAUAGCCAUCCUUGAAUUGAUAUUACCCGGUAAUUGUCUUGUUCGAACCUAGGAACAAAUAAUAUGCUACGACAGAAAUAUCAUUAUUUAGUAUGCUUAGGACUUGUUACUCAUCCUGGAUACUCAUCGCUAUAUUUUUCAAAUAUAAUGAUUUUAAAAGUAAAAGAUGUGAGUGGUGAAAAUAAAUUGUGGGUAUUAUGAAAGAGUUAAUGAACAAGUUAUAGAUGUGAUUACUAUGGAGAUGGGGCGGAUGGGAUCUCUUUUGGGGAUGCCCUGGUGUUGUGGCUUAUACCUUGCGGGGUUAAGCGAAAAGAUAUCCGCCUUGUCUCGAUUAAGGACUGAGUUGAUGAUUCAUCUUGCCUAACUCAUUUAUCGUACAACCACUCGCCUUGCAUGAGAAAGGCUUAGUCUAAAUCCCUCUAGUUAGUAUGGCAAUCACCUGGAGGCAGGUGUGCAACGGGACACUAAGUGAUGUAUGUAAAAUUGUGGAAAUAUAUGAAAAGAGCUUUGUGAAUUAUUGUGGUAUCAUGAGGUGUGGCCUUAGUGUUCCCGUGGUGAGCGCCAUUACUUAGCUAUGGAGGGUAAUGACUUUGAUGGAUCUGUGCUUGCACGACGGUGUAAGUUAUGGUAUCCUACUUGUGGGAAAAGCGUACAACCUCUACAGAGUGUAAAUCUAUCUGGAUAGUCGUGUCCGCGGUCUCGGACGGGUUAUGGUUUGGUUUCAACAACUAGAUGGGUUGGUAUGAGUGAAAACAUGAGAGUGAGUGUGAUUUUGGAAAUAAAUGGUUGACUGCCAUUUUGUUGUGGGAACAAGGGUUCAACAACACUUAAAAUUGUGAUCAAACCCCCAUUUUCAGAAAUACUAUCAUAUGUGGAAAAAGAGUUCUUUUACAACAGUAUUUGUGAAAUGAAACCUUGCAUGUGUAAAAAGAUAGCUUUAUGCAAAUAAAACUAAGCCUCAUCCUUGAUUUAUCCAUAUGCAUAUAUAUUGUUAUCCCCUUCCGUAGGGUAAGGUUGGAUUUGCUGAGUACUUUGUACUCACCCUUGCUUUAUUAAACAGAGGAAGAUCCGGACUUCGAUCCCGAAGUGGCGUUCGAGUAAGGUCGUGUCUGCACCCAACUAAGCCUGUGGCAUUGGGACUCGUCAGAUGUUCGAUGGCGAUAUCGUUUGUUUCUGGGUCCUUUGGACCUAUGUUGUAUUUUGGUGUCUUAUUAUUAUAGCGUGCCUUCCUUGUCCACGCUUUCCGAAGACUACUGCGCUGAAACUUAUCUGAUGUAAUAAAUGUGUUACUAGCCUCCUGGGACUAGUAUUGUAUCACAUUUGAGUUCCUGGUUUACCAGGGGCGCUUCAGGUGGUAUCAGAGCCGUAGUUGGCUGUAGGACGCGACCUUAGGCUUUUCUGGACCAGUAUUUUACUAAAUAAACAUAUUUUACCAAAGUUCUUACCCUCUUCCCUCUAUUUGAAAAAAUAUUUACUCUCAUCUAUGUCUCUCAGAUGGCAGAAGGAGUUUGGACCAGCAGUUACUGUCUAAGUGUAGACGGCUUUCCCAAGCUCUUGUAUGCUACCAUGCAGAAACUUGGAAUCAAGGAUCGCCCAGAAUAUGAAGGCAGAGAAUAUGAAGAGCAUGAGACCGAGCGGUGUGAAGUUACCGUCUAUAUUGGGAAAAGUGAGGACUUCCCUAACAUAGCCGAAGCUUGGAGUAUGACUGCGACCGGAUUUCGGUUUGCAGAUACAUAUCAAGCCGUCGCCCGCAAAGCCUUGAGGUACCUAUGCCAGAUCUACGAGAAGUCCAUCACCCGUACCCCCAUGAGGUUCUUUCCACCCGACGAAAAAGAUCGACCAGUUUGGAGGACCCGUAUGGAGCUCUUGCAAGGAUGCUACUCACUUGAAGAUAACCCAACUGUGGUAUUCAUGACCACAUACCUUCUUGCUCUAGAUAAGCAAUAUGAUGAGCAGGCCUCAGAGUUAAGGAAGUGCAUCCAUCGUGCGGAGGAAGCUGAGAUCAUAGUUAGAAAGCUCCAUGUACAGCUCGCGGAAGCUCAGGCCCAAGCAGCUGCAGCCGAGAGUCGUGAAACUGCCAUUGCUGAAGUCUUGAAGGCAGCUGAAGACCGCCAUGCUCAGGAGUUGAAGGAUGCCUACCUUAUCACCAGGAUCAAAAGAAGGAUGUUAGCAGAGGAAGACCAAGAGCCCAUAGUCCUAAAAGGUAUCCUAAUCAUGUCCCUAAAAACCAAAAGAAAGAUGGACAUAGAAGGGCCAUCAGCUCCCCCACCCACAGAAGCCUCUCAUAAAGCUUUAGAGUUGGAGCCCAGUAAGGAAGAAGGAUUUCCCCUCCUCACCCAGCCAGCACCAAAAGAAGACAGUGACCCACCUCUUAGUCCAAAAGAAGAACCACAAAUGCCGGAAGCGUGAUCCUCCUCAACACCAAGGGAAUGAAGCUGUUCUGUCCGAAGAAGUUGAAGAAUAGUAGCACCUAGUUCCUCCUUAUGUCUUGGGGAAGUGAAGUUUACUUCACUUUUGUUCAACCCCCCAAAGUAGAUGAACCAUAUUGUAGUACGCUUAUUUCCUCCAUUACUAUGUUGUAAACCGCCCUCUUAUUCAAAAUAUAUUUGUGCUUGUUGGUUGUGAUAAAUAAUUGAGUGCUCUAUGUUGUUCCCUUACGGGAUAGCAAGUCUUAAAACUUGCACCUUUUUAAAAUAUAACGCUUUAAUAAAAAAAAAGAACAUCACUCAAUAGAUCUAACCCUUAUCUAAUGCUUUCUCAUCUUAACCAACAGAUGCCUCCCAAACCAGCUACCCGCUCUCAACCAAGUGGUCGUGCAGCUAGUAGACAAAGCCAAAAUCCAAAUGGAAGUCAAGCCAAUGCAAAUGUGGAUGGUAUUCAUGAAGAUGAAGUGAGUCAGACUAGGAACCAUAAUGAAGGAGAUGACUUGCCCCCUCCUCCAGUAAUUGACUUAGCACAAGUCAUGGCAACUCAGACUCGCCUUCUAGAGACCUUGGCUCAAGGCAUGAACCGCCCUAGGAACAACCGUGGAGCCGGAGUCCAAGACAAGAUGACUGAGUUCAUGAGGCUUAAGCCACCCACCUUUACUGGAUCUGACAACCCCAUGGAAGCAGAUGAUUGGCUUAAGGUGAUUGAAAGGAAGUUGGACACAAUCCACUGUGAUGGAAGGGAUAGAGUUCUGCUAGCAUCUCAUCAGCUGACAGGAAUUGCCCUUUCUUGGUGGGAAGCCUAUAGUGGAGCUGUGGACAAUGCAAACACUAUCACAUGGGAAGAAUUUGUGGAUGAAUUCCGUCGGUACCACAUUCCAGAUGGAAUCAUAAAGCUGAAAGCUGAUGAAUUUCGCAACUUGAAGCAAGGAAAUAAAACUCUAAGUGAGUACAUCUUCCAAUUCACUGAAUUGUCUCGCUAUGCCCCAGAAUUGGUCAACACUGAUGCCAAGAAACAGACAAAGUUCAUAGAAGGAUUGACCUGUGAGCUCAGAACCCUCAUGACCCCACAGAUCUAUCCAGAUUUCAACACAUUGAUGAAUAGGACCAUUCUGACUGAUGUGGCCAAGACUGAAGAAAGGAAAGAAAACAAGCGCAAAUUUCUGGAGCGCAAGGUUCAAGAUGGUGCUAGAUCCCAGAGGCUGAAAACCUUUAGCCAACCAAGCCAGCGGACUCAAGCCCCAAUGCAGUUUCGCUCUCCUCCUAGUGUCUCCAAUAACCAAAUGCAGUCAUCAUAUCAGCCCAAGACAACCUAUCAGAAUCAAACUUAUGGCAAGACUCAACAGAACAGCACUGGUCAAGUCACAAACAAUGUUAGGACUUGCUUUAAUUGCCAUGAGACUGGACACUACAUCGCCAACUGUCCCAACAAGAACAACCCACCAGCAGUAUCCACUCAGUCCCAUACUGUUAAUGGACCAAGACCUGCAGUGUCUGGAGUCAACCGUGGUUUCCCUCGCAACAAUAGCAACACCAACAAUAAUAGCCAGAUGAUGAAGCAACCUCAACAAUCCUAUGGUAGAGCCCGUGUCAACCAUAUUCAUGCUCAGGAUGCUCAGACUGCUUCAGGAGUGGUACUUGGUGAGUUCUUAGUCAAUUCAGUACUUGCAACAGUAUUAUUUGAUUCUGGAGCAUCACAUUCCUUCAUAUCAUCAAGUUUUGUUGAGAAGCAUCAAAUACCCACAGUACUACUAAAGUUACCCCUAAUAACCCGAACACCUGGGUCUGACAUCAAAUGUCAUCUAGGAUGUUCAAAUGUAAGGAUCAUUCUAAGUGGGGUAGUUUUCUUAGCAGACUUAGUAGUGCUCAAGUCCAAAGGAAUAGAUGUUAUCCUUGGAAUGGAUUGGUUAACCAGACACAAUAGAAUUAUUAGUUGUGCAAUCAAAGAAGUAUCAUUAGUUAACCAUGAAGGGAUUAAAGUGAAAUGCCAAACCCGAGGGUCUAAAGUUAAUCCAAUGGUCUUCAAUUUGGAUGCAAGGACCAUAGAGGAAGUACCAAUAGUGCAAGAAUACCCUGAUGUAUUUCCUGAGGAACUACCUGGAAUGCCACCAGACAGGGAUAUAGAGUUCAUCAUUGAUCUUAUCUCUGGGACUGCCCCAUAGCCAAGAGACCUUACAGAAUGUCUCCAGCAGAGUUAGCUGAACUAAAAGAGCAGCUAAGAGAAUUGCAGCAGAAAGGUUAUAUCAGACCUAGUUCUUCACCAUGGGGAGCCCCAGUCUUGUUUGUGAAGAAGAAAGAUGGAAGUAUGAGGAUGUGUGUGGAUUAUAGGUCUCUAAAUGAAGUCACCAUCAAGAAUAAGUAUCCCCUACCAAGGAUAGAUGACCUUUUUUAUUAGCUUAAAGGAGCCAAGUAUUUCUCUAAGAUUGAUUUGAGAUCAGGUUAUCACCAGCUCAAGAUCAAGAAUAGUGAUGUUCCCAAGACAGCCUUUGUAACCAGAUAUGGACAAUACGAGUUUACAGUGAUGUCUUUUGGAUUAACCAAUGCCCCUGCCUAUUUCAUGAACCUCAUGAAUAAGGUAUUCAUGGAAGAGUUAGAUAAGUUUGUUGUAGUCUUCAUUGAUGACAUACUUAUCUACUCUAAGAGUGCUGAAGAACAUGGGCAACACUUGAGAGUAGUGUUGGAAAAGCUAAGAAGACACAAGUUGUAUGCUAAAUUCAGCAAAUGUGAAUUUUGGCUUGAGAAGGUUGCAUUUCUAGGCCACAUCUUGACAGCUGAAGGAGUUGCAGUUGACCCUGAGAAAGUAGAAGCUGUCUCCCAUUGGCAGCAACCCACCAAUGUGAGUGAGGUUAGAAGUUUUCUUGGAUUAGCUGGAUAUUAUCGAAGGUUUAUAGAAGGAUUUUCCAAGAUAGCCAGACCCAUGACAGAGCUUCUUAGGAAGGAUAAGAAAUUCACUUGGACAGAAUCAUGUGAGAAGAGUUUCCAAGAGUUGAAGAAGAGACUGACAGCAGCACCAGUGUUAACUUUACCAGACAUUCACCAAGAUUUCAUCAUAUACUGUGAUGCCUCAAGACAAGGUUUAGGAUGUGUUCUCAUGCAAGGAGGAAAAGUGGUUGCUUAUGCAUCCCGUCAGCUUAGACCUCAUGAGCAAAAUUACCCUACCCAUGAUUUGGAGUUAGCAGCGAUAGUACAUGCUCUCAAGAUUUGGAGGCACUACCUCAUUGGAAACAAGUGUGAAAUCUACACUGAUCACAAGAGUUUGAAGUACAUCUUCACACAGUCAGACUUGAACCUAAGGCAAAGAAGAUGGUUAGAAUUAAUCAAGGACUAUAACCUUGAGAUUCAUUACCACCCAGAAAAGGCCAACGUGGUAGCAGAUGCCCUAAGCAGAAGGUCAUAUGGUCAGCAGCUGGUGCCUAAGAACACUCACCUACAAGAAGAGGUAGCACAGUUGAACAUGCAUAUAGUACGCCAACCUCAAAAUGGCAGUCUGAUGGUGCAGCCAACUCUUGUGGAAGAAAUCAAGCAGACACAACAUAAGGAUAAGGAUCUGAUGAAGAUUCGUGAGCAAACUGGAGAAAAUAAAGCUCCAUACUUUAGAGUGGAUAACAAAGGAGUAUUGUGGUAUAAAAACAGGAUUUGUGUGCCCAAGGAGGGAAGUUUCAAGAAUUAAUCCUUGAUGAAGCCCAUAACUCAGCUUAUUCUAUCCACCCUGGUGCCACCAAGAUGUACAUGGACCUAAAAGAAAGAUAUUGGUGGAAUGGCAUGAAAGCUGAUGUGGCACGAUUUGUUGCACAAUGUGAUGUAUGCCAAAGGGUUAAAGAAGAGCAUCAGAAACCAGCAGGCUUGCUCCAGCCAUUGCCUAUUCCUGUUUGGAAAUGGGAUGAGAUAGGCAUGGAUUUUGUGAAUGGAUUACCCAAAACUCUGAAAGAAAAUGAUUCAAUAUGGGUAAUAGUGGACCGCCUUACCAAGGUUGCUCACUUCAUACCUGUGCGCACCAAAUAUAGUGGAGACAAGUUAGCCCAGUUAUAUGUGGAUAACAUAGUCAAAUUGCAUGGUGUGCCAAGUAGGAUUGUAUCUGACCGAGGUACCCAAUUUACCUCUAAGUUCUGGAAAAGUUUGCAUGAAGCUAUGGGAACCAAGCUAGAUUUUAGCUCAGCUUAUCAUCCUCAAACAGAUGGUCAGACUGAAAGAAUAAAUCAGAUUAUGGAAGAUAUGCUAAGAGCAUGUGUGCUCACAUAUGGUAAAGAUUGGGAGAAAAGCCUAACUUAUGCAGAGUUCUCCUAUAAUAACAGUUACCAAGCUAGUUUGGGCAUGUCACCUUUUGAGGCCCUGUAUGGAAGAAAAUGUAGAACCCCAUUGAUGUGGUCAGAAGUUGGAGAACGAACCUUGCUUGGACCAGCCCUUAUAAAGGAAGCAGAAUAUCGUGUAGCUGAAAUCAGAGAAAAAUUGAAAGAGGCACAAUCACGUCAAAAGAGCUAUUCUGAUAAAAGAAGGCGAGAGUUAUGUUUUGCAGUUGGAGAUUUUGUGUAUAUCAAAGUUUCUCCUAUUCGAGGAACUCGAAGGUUCCAAGUUAGAGGCAAGCUAGCACCUCGGUAUAUUGGACCAUAUCAAGUAUUACAGAGGAUUGGAGCUGUAGCCUAUCGUGUUCGGCUACCUGAAGAAAUGUCAGAUAUACACAAUGUGUUUCAUGUCUCCCAAUUGAAGAAAUGUCUCAGAGUACCAGAGGAACACAUAUCGCCAGACACAGUUGAUUUACAAGACGACCUAAGAUAUCAAGAAGUGCCAAUAAAAAUACUAGAUACAGUCACCAAGCAAACUCAAACAACAACAGUCCGAAUUUGUCGUGUUCAGUGGAGUAGACACACAGAAGCAGAAGCAACAUGGGAAAGAGAAGAUGCCCUGAGAGAAGAGUUUCCCCAUCUAUUUAGGACCCAGCCGAAUCUCGAGGACGAGAUUCCUUUUAAGUGGGGUAGGUUUGUAACAUCCCAAAAAUUCACAUUCAAAAAUCACUCGCAUUAAAAAUUAUUUUCAAAAUAUAUUUCAAAAACUAUAAAAUAAUUUGAGCUCUAUAGUAUCUCCAUCUAAUCCAUCCAUAUUUUUUUCGCGCACAAAUAACAGCAAGUACCAGCAAGCUUACAUGCAAGAAAACAUAGCAGUGCACCUACACGAAUAUAUAUCUCAUGCAUGCAUCCAUGCAUGCAGGACGAGCAUGCACCGUCCAUUUGCAUGCACCUACAUGCAAGGACAUGGUGAUUAGGCACCGUCCAUUUGCACGCACCGUGCAUGCAAAUGAGACAUUGCCAUUUGCAUGAAAAUUAGGCACCGCCCACCGUCCUGUCGUCCUGUGUAGCCAUGCACUACAGUAGCAAUUCUAAUGGCACGAAGCUGAGCACCAGAGGCAUAACCUCACUCCUCUGGCCUAUAAAAAACCAGCCUCGGGUGCUCACUCUCACCACCCGAGAAACACAUUCACUCACUCGCUCACUCGCUUUCACUUCGCGUAUACCGUAUACGGCCAUACGCACAAGCCGAGCUCGACUGUCGUCGCAAGACGAGGUGAGCAGCUCAUGAGCAUCCCCUUACUCUUCUCUGUCUUUCUGUAGUAUUUUUCUGUAUUUUUUCUUGUAUUUGUCUGUACCGAUUCACUGUUAAGAACUCCACGAAUAGAGCCAUGACAUACAGAAGAGCUCUAAUGACCCCUGCUAAUUUCUCUCUAACCAUGCAUGCGUGGGCCAUAAGCAUUAACUCCAAAUAGUACAUGCAUGCAUGCAACAUGCACUACCAGCCAAGCAAAUGUCUACGUGAAGUAUCCAUUCCUUAAUCAUCGUUAGCCUUUUUCGCAUGAUUAAAUUCCGGCCAUUUCACAAAUACCACAUGCUAACUCUGAUUUCAAUAAUUCUUUUUCCUAAAUUAAUCUAAAAUCAUGAUCUACCUCCCAUAUUAAUUUCAUGAUUUUUGGAGCUCAUUUGAAUUUAUAUAAUUAUUUAUCUGUGCCUGUUGUCUGUGUCGUUCGUCGCGUAUUUUAGUUGACGGAGUGAACGAGCCGGAAAACGAGAACGUUGGAAACGAGUACCGCGAGUUUGACGCCGAGGACCCGGACUGUCAGCAGGAGUUUGCUGAGGACGCCGACGGAGGCAAGGCCAACCGAUCCCCUUUGAUGCAUAUUGAUCCUAUUUUUAAACACAACCCGUAGAAGCCGUUUUAAAUAUUGCAUGUACGAUAUAUGUAAGAAGUAUUUUCGCUGCUUAGUUAAAACCUGUUGAAUAGCCAUCCUUGAAUUGAUAUUACCCGGUAAUUGUCUUGUUCGAACCUAGGAACAAAUAAUAUGCUACGACAGAAAUAUCAUUAUUUAGUAUGCUUAGGACUUGUUACUCAUCCUGAAUACUCAUCGCUAUAUUUUUCAAAUAUAAUGAUUUUAAAAGUAAAAGGUGUGAGUGGUGAAAAUAAAUUGUGGGUAUUAUGAAAGGGUUACUGAACAAGUUAUAGAUGUGAUUACUAUGGAGAUGGGGCGGAUGGGAUCUCUUUUGGGGAUGCUCUGGUGUUGUGGCUUAUACCUUGCGGGGUUAAGCGAAAAGAUAUCCGCCUUGUCUCGAUUAAGGACUGAGUUGAUGAUUCAUCUUGCCUAACUCAUUUAUCGUACAACCACUCGCCUUGCAUGGAAAAGGCUUAGUCUAAAUCCCUCUAGUUAGUAUGGCAAUCACCUGGAGGCAGGUGUGCAACGGGACACUAAGUGAUGUAUGUAAAAUUAUGGAAAUAUAUGAAAAGAGCUUUGUGAAUUAUUGUGGUAUCACGAGAUGUGGCCUUAGUGUUCCCGUGGUGAGCGCCAUUACUUAGCUAUGGAGGGUAAUGACUUUGAUGGAUCUGUGCUUGCACGACAGUGUAAGUUAUGGUAUCCUACUUGUGGGAAAAGCGUACAACCUCUACAGAGUGUAAAUCUAUCUGGAUAGUCGUGUCUGCGGUCUCGGACGGGUUAUGGUUUGGUUUCAACAACUAGAUGGGUUGGUAUGAGUGAAAACAUGAGAGUGAGUGUGAUUUUGGAAAUAAAUGGUUGACUGCCAUUUUGUUGUGGGAACAAGGGUUCAACAACACUUAAAAUUGUGAUCAAACCCCCAUUUUCAGAAAUACUAUCAUAUGUGGAAAAAGAGUUCUUUUACAACAGUAUUUGUGAAAUGAAACCUUGCAUGUGUAAAAAGAUAGCUUUAUGCAAAUAAAAUUAAGCCUCAUCCUUGAUUUAUCCAUAUGCAUAUAUAUUGUUAUCCCCUUCCGUAGGGUAAGGUUAGAUUUGCUGAGUACUUUGUACUCACCUUUGCUUUAUUAAACAGAGGAAGAUCCGGACUUCGAUCCCGAAGUGGCGUUCGAGUAAGGUCGUGUCUGCACCCAACUAAGCCUGUGGCAUUGGGACUCGUCAGAUGUUCGAUGGCGAUAUCGUUUGUUUCUGGGUCCUUUGGACCUAUGUUGUAUUUUGGUGUCUUAUUAUUAUAGCGUGCCUUCUUUGUCCACGCUUUCCGAAGACUACUGCGCUGAAACUUAUCUGAUGUAAUAAAUGUGUUACUAGCCUUCUGGGACUAGUAUUGUAUCACAUUUGAGUUCCUGGUUUACCAGGGGCGCUUCAGCUGGCCACAAACUUUUCAGGCAACACACAAGGGAAUUAUUCUAGUUCCUUUGUUAGUGCCUAUAUCUCAUGUGCUUGUUCAAUCACAGAACGGUUAUCCACCAUUUUGUAAUCAAACAGCUGCUCCAGGAGAUACAGCUUGCUACCAGCACCAGAAACCCCAAACUUAGCCUCAAGCGCAUCCCAUAAUUCCUUCACAGUGGUGCAAAUGAUAUAGUUGUCAACAUACUUUUUACCGAGUGCACUAAUCACGGCGCCUCUGAAGAGGUUAUCGGAUGCCAGGAACUUUUGCUCCUCCUCAGGAGUAAACUGUUCCGGCUUCGCCUCUGCGGCGUGAAAGCAACUCGUAGGAGUUAACCACAAAAUCAUUCUCGCGCGCCACCGUUUAUAGUUUAAACCAUCAAAAUGAUCCGGUUUUAACGCAGCAGCAAAAGCACUAACAGAAAAAUGUCUAAUAUCAGGUUUUUGAAUUGUUAGAAAAUUAGAUAUUUUAAUGUUUGAUUUAAUCUAGAAAAUUACGCAUAAUAUAGUGGUGGCAUAUAUAUGCACGUGUGCAAUUGUAUCACUACUCAGAUUAGAGAUAAACAUCGCAAGAACUACUGCAACUACAGCAGACAUACUGAAAAUGAAAAACAAUCGUUUAAGAUUGUAUCCCGAGGAGGGACCAGUGACGAAGACACCGACGGCUCCAUUCACACUAGUCGACAUAGUGUGUUGCUCGAAGUAGUGGACCUCAGUCGAUGCAGGAAGAUGUUCGCAGUGCAGUCCCGCGAACGUCCACCAGGAAGAAGACGAAGACGAAGUAGUCGCAGUCCCGAACGUCCACCAGGAAGAAGACGAUCCCGGUCCGCUGGAGUGGAAGAAGACGAUCUCGCCGGCGAGCAGUCACGGAAGACGCUCCCUAAAAACCUGAUUGCCCGCACACCCGAGAAGGUGUCUCGAUGCAGGGCGUUAUGUUCCAGAGGCCUGCUCUCCCGAUCUCUGUGCGCGCAGAGGUUCGGGACGGGAUGAACAGAGAGCAACGCGACUGGAAUGGAAAUGAAUGACUGAUUGUGUCUCACACAGGAAACGAUUUCCUCUCUUUCCUUAUUCACCAAGCGUGUGCCACGUCACGUCACGUGACAAGACACGACACGGCUCGGCGGCAGCGAUGCGCGCGCGUGGUACCUUUUUUCUCUUCCUCAACUUCUCUAUAGGAGCUAUCAAAGGCCACCUAUUUAAGUUGAGUUAAUACAUGGUCAAUAAUCAAUACGGUAUUAAACCGUUUUUAAUAUAGCAUUUAUAUUUAUUUAAGUUGAGUUAACACAUAGUCAAUAGUUAAUACGGUAUUAAACUGUACGUUUUUAAUAUAGCAUUUAUUAUGAGCCUUUGAAUUAAUCAUUAAAUAUAAUAUAGGUUAAAAGCCCAUUUAUAUUCAACAGCAGUGACAUUGUCGACUUUAAGAUGUGUUGGCUUUUUACUCUCGAAGGUGCAUAUAGAGGAAGGAUUUGUGUAUAGGGAUGGAUAACGUACAUGCAUGUUUGUGGAUAUCUGUGUCUCUACUAUGUUGUUGGCAAAAGAAAGGAGUGGUGGUGAAUCAUAUAUAUGUUUGCAUUCACAGGAUCAAUUAUCUCACAUUUUCGCGAAGAGAAACUAAUCAUUCAGCGGUGUGUGACAAAUUCAAUAUGCCAACGUGUGUUGGUGAGCACAUCAUCGCUCAAUCCGGAAUGUAACAACGACUUUUCUAAGGUCGUUUCCUCCAAAAUUACAAAUAAAGUCACACCUUUUUCCUCUCUUUUUUUCUGUUUGCCCGAGAGGAACGCACUUGGGAAGAAUGAUGACGGAAAUUAUUCUAAUUUUGACCAAAUUUAUAUAAUAAAAUAAUUAUUAUUAUAAUACCAAUUAAGUAUUAUUAGAUUUUUUCUUUAAUUAUAUUUUCAUAGGAUACUCACUUUAUGUUAAAAAUCUUAAUAUUUUUUCUAUAAUUUUAAUCAAACUUAAAAAUGUUUUGACUCUCUAAGAUUUUUAGAAUGACUUAUAAUUUGGAAUGGAGGGAGAAGUAUAUUUUCCGAUGUGUACUGUACACAUUGAGCAACGCAAUUUUUUUGUAAAACAAAGACGUCGACUUCGGCUGCGAUAGGCCAUGCAUCCACACCGCACCAAAUUUGGUCAGCCGCUCCACCCACCGGUACGACGAGCCUGAUGCAUGCAUGGUCCCUGCUGGUAGAUCCCCCUCUAGCUCGUAUAUGCAUGCAUGGUAUCCGUUGUCUAGCUGCUACGGCCUACGGAGUACGGAUACAUACACACGUACGUACACGCUACGUGCAUGCUAGGGCUUGUGCAGGAUGCCCCUGGCGUACACGGCGGCCUCCACGACGGUGGUGAUCUCGUCGGCGACGUCCGUGACGUUGCACCGGUUCCCCUGGAACGUGGCCGCCGCCGCCGCCGGCCUCGCCGCCGCCACGCAGUCCAGCAGGCUCUGGUUGCACAGCAAGUUGAGGUAGUCGUCUGCAAGAGCGUACGACGUACGUUCCAUGCGCAUGCAUAUGCACACACAGGCAAAGAUCGAGUUAAUUAACGCAUCAAUUAUUAAAAACUAGCAGCAGGCAGGAUGAAAUUAAAACGAGAAAUAAAGAGAUCGAAGAGAUCUUGUACUCGUUCGAUAUGAUCUUGGAAUAAAUAAAUAAAAUGAAUGAAGAGAAUAUAAUGCUACAGUGAUGGAACCUAUAUAUAUAUAUAUAUAUAUAUAUAUAUAUAUAUAUAUAUAUAUAUAUAUAUAACUGUUGCAUGUAUAUGUAUUACUAUAUAUUACGUACUGUCGGUGGCCUGGACGCAGGCGUCGUGGAGCAUGCAGCAGGCGUCGAUGGCGUCGCAGGGGACCUCGCCGGGGCACCCCGUGUAGGACACGCCGCAGUACUUGCCGUAGCGCAUCAGCGGCGCUGCUCAUCAUCGUCGUCAUCGAUGGCAAAAAAACAUAUCAGUCAGCUGCAUAUAUAUUAAUUGGUUCCACGCACACAACAUUCAGUUCAGGCACAGCGCACACGCAAGGCCUUUGCUUAGUUUAUUAAAAAAUCUAAAAACUUUUUAAAAUUUCCCGUCACAUAUAUAGAGCAAUAAAUAUAGAUAAAAAAUAACUAAUUAUAUAGUUUGUUCUUAAUUUGUGAGAUGAAUCGUCUUUUGAGUCUAGUUAUUAAUCUAUGAUUAGAUAAUAAUUAUCAAAUAAAAACAAAAGUGUUACGACAGGAAACUAGACAAGGCCUAAUACGUACCCGUGCAGUGCUGGGACUCGCACUCUCGGCUGCAAUCCUGCGGAUGCAUAGAUAUGGAUCAUCGCACUGCAAAUGACUAUACCGAGUACAUAGUGGAAUUAGAGGUGUAUAUAUGGGUCAGACCGAUACCGAGUCGUCGUCGCCGCCACCGAAGAUGCUGCCGGCGGCGGUGGGUGACUGGCUGCUGGCGACGGCGAGCAGCAGGAUGAGAAGAGGAGCAAGAAGACGACGACGACUACACCGCCGUUGCAGGGGAUGACGGCCGACGGCGAGCUCCCUUCUUCUUCCGUCCAUUCUUGGUUGAUGAUUCGGAGAAGUGAUCAAAGGCUGGGUACUGGUGGCUGCGUUUCGGCGGAUUAUUAUUUGAGCUGCUGAAUGAGAGCUAAAUAUAUAUAUGAAUGAAUUAUUAAUAGGGGAUUAUAAGUGCGAAGUUAAGUUUGGUGUAGAUUGGUUGGGAAAAACGCAGUGCUUCGCACAAACUGAUGGAUGGACGAGAUGGCGAUGAGUCGACGGAGAACCUGACCGAAACUAACAAUAUUUUGUUGCUUUCGUUUCCCUCUACUAUCCAUCAUGAGUUUAUUUAACCAUAUAUAGCUAUCUAGAUGAUGAUAGAUUACGUUAAGUAACAGUGUACUUGAUCAACUGGCUAGUGCUUGACGCUUAAUCUGGAGAUGAACUUGGCAGGCGGGUCUAUACGCUGUGCUGAAUUGUUUUGAACGCUUUAGCAAUAGGGAAACCUUUUGUCUACAAAAAAUUUGGAGAUGAACUGGCGGCGCACAACCAGAUUUUUCAAUUUCUCAUAGUAGUGUGGGGUUCUCCUAGUGUUUUAGCAUUCAAAAUUUAGUAUAAACUUUCCCUAGUAAAUACCUCCUAGUGAGAAUUCUCUAGUGUUUUGACUACUAACUAAAAACACUAGAAGAACUCAACCAUUUUGGUAGUGGCCUGUCAGCAUAACGCUAGCUCCAGAACUUUAGUACGCUAAUUUGAACCUUAUCUUCUAAAGAAACAAACAAAAAAAAAAUCGAUUCCGAUCUAUGUUAGUUGUUAGCUCAACUGCAAGAGCUAGCUAGCUAGCGGACCAACGCUAGGGCGCUCAGGGUGGUUGUCCGCCCGGUGAUCUAUCAGAGUCUGUGUCUGAUCUCCACGUGACCACCAGCUGCUUUGUUGCUCUUUGUUUGCCGGGACAAUGCCUCGUCGCAUGUCCUUGUCCAGUUGCCGUUUUCUUGGGGACUGAUGAUUAUGGCCAAAAGCCCAAAAGUUUGGGUCAGUAAUUUGACCAUUCCUCUUUGGAAGCCAACCAAAAAUGCUUUUCCAAACAACUCUUUAUUUAGGCCGCUCUACUACCCAAGUUUUAGCACGCACAGAUUUAGACCCUAACCCAAAGUGGGCUACAAAGUUUUCUGGGCUAGGCCAUUGAUUUUUCACCUUUUUGAACAGAAAUCCAAUGGGCCUUUAAUCCACAUGGCCACCAAGGCUUGGCUUUUCCAAUGGUACAACUGAGGAGAUGUUUGGGAGAGAUUCUUGAGCAACUCCUAAAGCUGUUUUGGGACUUUCUCUAUUAUAAACACUGCUCCAUAGCACAGCGGUGUCUGACGAAGCCAGAAAAAAGGAGCUUCCACUAGGUAGAAGCUCCCUACCUGUCCUCUAAGUCUAGAUCCCCUUUUUGCUCUCCUACACCAAGCUCGUAGGCAGGCCGUGGCGGUGGCGGUGGUGUGUGCAUGGAGUAGUGGAUCGAGGUGGGGCAAAGUCGUCGGCAUGGACCUAAUUCACGGCGCAAACAGACUAGAGCAAAGUGGCCAAGCCAUGUAGGUGACGCACAGUUCUCGGAGUCGUCGGGGCCGGCGGAGACCAAAGCAUGUCGAGACCAUAAGACGCGAGACGACACCAAGGCGUGGUGCAUGAAGGACAGGAAUGUCGAGGAGCGAUUGAGCAGAGUGAGCAGACUCCAAGGAGGACAGGGUGCGGAGCUACCAGAGUGGGCGGACGCAGGACACCAGGGCAUGGUCGCGCAGAGCUGCGGGAGCAAGGGAUGCUGGGGACGCCGAAGCACGAGCACACCUAGGACAGGGACAUUGAGGUGUGGCCACACGGAGGUACUAAGGCCAAUCUCAAUGGGCAUUUCAUGAGAGUAUCAUGCACAUUAAGUAGGACACCAACUCAGCAAAAAGAGAAUGUUUGCAUGAAAUGUUUAGGAGAGAGAAAGAAAUCGUUUAACCACGGUGAAUGAGAUAGCGUUGUUUCCAAGCUCUGGGAAAUCAUGUGAAAUUCGCAUUGAGGGUCAUCGUUUCAUCCUCCCAGAUCCGGUGCACGGGCGGAGCCGCUUCGCCAUCUUCCUGCGCGGUGCAGCAAUCUUCCUGCGCGUCACCACCAUAUCCUCCCGCCCGCACUCCACUUUGGCAUCUUCCCUCCGACGGCGCGAGCGCAGACGCGUUCAUCCACACUAGAGGCCAAAUACAGGUGAUUGCGGGCCAGAGCAUUGAGGCGAAGCCCGUCCGCCGUGUGCCUGCUCGUCCGUUCGCCGUCCGCUAUCACGCCAUCUUGCCUCGUUCGCUGUCCCCCAUCGCGUCGUGCCCGCGAAUCGCCAAUGAUCCGCUGCCGGCAGCCUCUUUCGGGCGACGCGCACACGGCAGAGAAGGGAAGACGCGCCAGACCGCCUUGGACUGAAGAAGCCCUCCAAUCCGGUGCCAUCACCCCCACCAGGUUCGUCGAUAGCAUCGCCACUCGUCCCUCGGCCGCCGUCGCUGCCGAUUUCUUCCUCAGAUCCGCUUGCCAUGCCUGCUCCGCCAACUUCCUCCUCAGCUCCACUGACUGCCGCCCCUGGUGUGGCUAGUUGGUCCCCUUCUGCGCCGACAUCAACCAUGCUACCAGCCACAGCCACCACAAGGAGCAGGAUGGGGGGCCAUGCUCCCAAAUUUUUCAUCUCAACAUGGAAACCAGCAAGCCCCAAAUCCAUGGUAUGUGUUCAUAUAUAUCUAUGCAAGUAAUUAAUAGAUUUCGAUCUGUGCAAAAAUAGUUCAAAUGAUAUUUAUAGAUGCCUUGAAUUAGUUGAUUUAAAAGUUGUUAGGCUGGUUUGUGCUAAACAUGCUGCAUCUGUGUCGAUCCUAUUUGGUUGGAUAAGAUGAUAGUUUCACUUUGUGAUUCUAUUUGGUUGGAUAGACAUGUACUCCAUCCAUGGACAAAAAUGAAAGAAUCACGAAGAUGCAGCAUAUACAUAGCUUUUGUGUUUCAAGAAGCAGAUGUCCAAUAUAUAUACAAUAUAUACAUGUUCAAGAAGCUUAUGUUUGGUACUCACACUUGCAUGCCGAUCGGCAUCAGCACCUAGCUUUAUUGUUACUGACAGCAUAAUUUAUCUAUUCACAGAACUGAAUACAAGUGAUGCUUGCACUAGUGUUUUUUUCUUUUCAGAAAGCACUUGUGUUAUUGUGAAUACGUGUUUGCAUUUGACUUCCUGUAUGUGGGUGAUAGUAUAUGUUUUUUAAUUGUAUGAAAAUGCCAGGGCUCGUCCACCAGGUGGUUAUCUGAAUUUACUUCAACAACCACAGUAUCCGCCACAGCCACACAUGCACGGAGAAAAUUUUCAUUUAGUUGGUCACGCUAUGAGCUUCAACCCAAUAUCCCCACCAGCACCACCACCACCACCAGGUGGCUAUAGAACAGGAUCAUCUCAUGUUGUCAACCAAAGCACUUCAAUGAAGGAGACUAUGAACAUUGACAUUGAGGAAGGGGAGAACAUUGAGGCAAAUAUGGCAGUAAAGAAAAGAUACUGGACUCAUGAAGAGGAAGAAAGACUGGUAAUCAUUUAUCAGUUUUGUAAUUUGCUUUUUCUAGGUCAUUGUUUGGUAUAAUACUUGAUUUGUUCUUAUUGACUUUUUAUAGGCCAGUGCUUGGUUGAAUGCUUCUAAAGACCCAAUUCAUGGGAAUGACAAGAGAGGUGAAACAUUUUGGAAGGAAGUCACUGAUGUAUUCAAUAAGAAAAGGAAUGGGAAGUGUAGAAGGGAAACAAACCAAUUGAAGAUUCACUGGUCACGCCUCAAGUUAUCGAUCGUUGAUUUCAAUGACUAUUGGGUUAAGGUAACUCAAAUGCAUACAAGCGGAUACUCUGAUGACAUGCUAGAGAAAGAGGCACAAUAGAUGUAUGCAAACAGGUUUGGAAAGCCUUUUCUGUUGGUGCACUGGUGGAAGAUACUAAAAGAAGAGCCCAAAUGGUGUGCACAGUUUGAGACGGAGAAAGACAAGACUGAAGUUGUUGAUAUUCUAGAGGAGCACUCACAUCCCAUUGGUAGAGAAACAGCAAAGGCUGAGCGCAAUGGAAAACGUAAGAAGAAAAAUGUUAUGGAAGGAAUUGUCAUCCUUGGGGAUAACAUUGAGAAAAUUAUCAAGAUACAUGAAGAUCAGAAGGUAGAGCGUGAAAAGGUCACAUAAGCACAGAUUAAUAUAUCUAAUGCAAAUAAGGCAACAAAAGAGCAAAAGGAAGCAAAGAUGUUUGAGGUCUAUAAUUCCCUACUUAGUCAAGAUGCAAGUCACAUGUCUGAAGAUCAAAAGGCUAGUCGAGACAAGGCAUUAUGUAAGCUUGAGGAAAAGUUAUUUGUUGACUAAGGUUAGUUCUCCAAUCUGUCUACUGAAUGCUCAGUUCAUUAUUGUGUGAAUGCAGCACUUAAGAUCUUCUAGUAUGAAUGCAGCUCUAUAUAUGUGCACGCAGGGCAGUUUCACAUCUAGUGUGAACGUACUCCGUGAUGUCGUGCUAGCUUGCAUCAUACUUCAUAAUAUGAUAGUUGAAGAUGAGAAGGAACGUGACAUUCUUGAAGAAAAUCUAGAUCUAAAUGUGCCUCCUAGUUCAUCAACCGUUCAAAAACUCGAAUUCUCUUUGAAUCAGAAUGUUCCGUUAGAGAGAGCUUUACAAAAAGAUACUUCUAUUCGAGAUCGAUCGGCUCAUCGCCGACUUAAGAAUGAUUUUGGUGUAACAUAUUUGAAAUAAGUUUGGUGGUCGUGCACAUAUAUCUGGUACUUGUGACUAUAUUUUACAUUAUUGAUUAUCUAUUAUAGUUAGUUAUCUACCUUAAGAAUUUAGCUCCUUCAUCUGUGAUGUGAUGUUGAAUUGUUUUUUUUUUGUUUCUGCACGAUAAAGGCAUGGCUGAAGGCAAUCUGAAAGCAAGACUGAAGGCUAUCUGAUAGUACUCAACCUAUGGGGUGCAGAGAAGAACCAGUGAGAGGCCGUGCGCAAGGCUGAAGACUAUCUAAAUUUUUUUUUAUCUAUCUUAGUUUAUUAUUAGUACAAAACUAAUUACACAAUUUGUCUGUAAUUUGUGAGACGAAUAUUUUAAAUCUAAUUAGUCUAUAAUUGAAUAAUAAUUAUCAAAUACAAACAAAAAUGCUAAAUAGGCAAAGUCAAAAUUUUCCACGAACUAACAAGACCUUAAAAUCUUCAAUUCAACCUUGGCCCUAUGUGUGCAGAGGAUGGCUGCAUGCAAUGUAGUUGCGUAUUGCAAGGGACCCACACAUCAUAGAUAAAAUGCUUGUUCUAAUACACAUACAACUGUCUCAGCAUCCUGUAUUUGCUCAAGCAGCCUCUCAAACAUAGACUCAACUCACCUUACAUCCAAAGCUGUGCACAACUUGCAUCCAGUCAUCCUGACAUCGUGUGGAGGAAUCCGAGGCAUGUCCACCGAAGCCAUCACAGAUCAUAAUGAUAAGAAAUAAAAAAGAAAAGAAAGGGAAAAAAAAGGAAAAAGAGCUUUAUGGAUAUUUGUAUAAAAAGAAAAAACAGCCUGUCAUAGUAGAUAAAAGGAUAAAAUGCUGUUUCUUAAAACAAUGAGAAUCUAUUUUUUUACAAAACAUUUCAGUAAAACAGCUUAAUCCUAAGCUGCUCUUGGAGCUGAAGUAAAAAUAAUAUGUUUCACAAAUAAAGCAUAGUGGUACCAAAUAUUCCCUUGGUAUAAUAUUUAGUCCCUCGUACCACUUGCAAUGCUAUUUUUACAUAUGUAAAUAUCAGUACAACAAACGAGUAGGAUGUACCAUCACUGCUACUAGAACAGGCCUUUCGUCGAUGUGCCAAAAUGCCUUUAGUCUUGGCAUUUUUGACGCCCGAGACAAAAAGCUUCUUUAGUCCCGGUUGGUAACACCAACCGGUCCAACAGCUCUGUUGUCAGACGCUGUCGGGAGGGACCUUUUGUCCUGGUUGGUGUCACCGAUCGGGACUAAAGCCCGACCUUUAGUCCCGAUUUGUGCCACUGACCGGGACUAAAACUUUUGUCUCGGUCUGUGACACCGACCGGAUCUAAAGGAUGGGCUUUAGACCCGGUUUGUGUUAUCAACCGGGAUUAAACCCUCCCCUAUAAAUUCAAACUCCCUCUCCCUCUUCUUCCUCCCUUCGCGAGCCUGAGCUCUUGUUCUUCCACUGUUCUUGCUUGUUCUUGCUCUCAUCUACAGCGAUCAAUCCACUUCAACGCUUCUACGCCAUUGUCGAUUUGUUUGAAAGGUUGCUAGCUUCAUCCUCCUAUAUUUUAGCAGCACCAUAUGUAAUUUCAUGUUGUAUAUGGCUAUUUUAUUUCAUGUUGCUAGCUUAAUCACUUUUCAUGUUUGAAUUUUUAUGAAAGAUGCAUUGAAUAGUGCAAACAAGGACGAACACUUGUAUGAGCUUUGAAUGGAGGGCAAACAUUUGUACAAACUUUAACCGGCGGUCGAACACUUGAUUACUUGUAUAUUAUUGUAAAUGUAAUGUGUAUGUACGUAUAUGUAUAGCUCUAUAAUAUAUAAAUAUAUAUAGUUUCAUACUUUAUUUGUGUGCAAUAAUAACGCUCUCGUAUAGAGGCUGCUACCAACCAGGACUAAAGUUCCCCUUUUAGUCCCGGGCCUGCGAACCGGGACUAAAGGUGGGACAUUUAGUCUCGAAACCUUUAUCUUGGCUCGCAGCCCGGGACUAAAGGUCUUUUUCAAUCGGGACAACAAGCCCUUCGUGCAGCUGUGCAUACCCCUUUCUAGAUUUAGGAAAGUUUUCUAAGGUUAUAUAUACUCGCGGACAUUCACUUCUCUUACAUUAUUCUAUUUCCUUUAUCUAGUAAUAAAAAUGUGUUUAGAAACAAGAUUUGGUUACAUGUUAAAAACAUUAACAGUGGAUCACUUUUGAAAACAUUCAGUUUGGAAACAUAUGGUUAUAUUCGUAUAUACUUUUCAAAAAAUAAAUAAAUCUCAAGGGUUUUAGGAUUUUUUUAUGCUUGUUUAGUGUUAUUUCAAUUAAUAUAAAACAAACAACAAAUAUCUUGCUAGAGCGACAUGUGAAUUGGGACGCAAUUGAUACAUUUUUAAGUUAAAGUAUUAAUCAUAUAUGUAUUUUGAGUAAUUUUAUAGUUAAAGUUUACAUGUUCGACUUUAUCGAAUCCUAAUGCGCCCUACAUAAACUGGAAGGAGUAAAUAUUUUACUCGACUUUGUCUUUAUUUUAAAAAGUCCAAACUUUGGAAAACUUGCUACCUCACAAUAACUCAAAUAUACUUAAUUAAACACACAUAUAAAACGACAAAUACAUCAAUUCAAACAUUUGAACUACCAAAACUUGUUUCCAAAAAAAGGAAGUCAAAUUUCUUCACGGGUCCCGAAUGACAUUGAAAAAUCCUUGACUCAUUACUUUUAGUUCAGAGAAUGCUUAUACAUAGAGACAAAUCAAAAUAAUAGGCAGAAAAAAUAUAGGGGUGCAAACCAUUUGAGGUGGUGGGGGGUGGGGUGGGGGGGGGGUGUUGUAUAUAGACACAGCCUCAAAUGAGAAAGUGCUGUUGUAACAAUGGGCUUGGCCCUCGAGUAAAAACAUCUUUUAUAUAUAUAUAAUUCUCGAGGAGAAACAUUCCCCUUUUUUCAUAUAAUUUUUGAGGAGAAAUAUUUAGCUGGUUUAGAGUAUCUCCAAGAGCUUUUCUAAAUUUCACGCUUUAAACCACUAUUUGAAGAGUCAUUUACAUAAAAAUUAUUUUCUAUAUAUUCUCUCAUUCUCCAAUAAUUUUUCUAUUUCUCAUGUAUAGUCUACAGGGCUAUUUUCAUUUUCUAUAUUUAGAAAACAAAAAAUCCGGAAUAAAAAGAUGACUAUAUUUGAAUGAUCAUUUAAAGAAGCUGUUGAAAAGUAGUUUUUUACUAUUCCUAACAUUGAAUAUAUCUGACAAUGAUUCUUUUGGUACGAUAGAUAUUAAUAUAUUCUUUUAUAUAAAUUUAAUCAAAUUAGAUAAGGCCUUGUUUAGUUCCAAAAUUUUUUGGAAACGGCCACUGUAGCACUUUCGUUUGUAUAUGACAAAUAUUAUCCAAAUUAUAAACUAACUAGGCUUAAAAGAUUUAUCUCGCAAAUUACAGAUAAACUUUAUGAUUAAUUUUUAUUUUCAUCUAUAUUUAAUAUUUUAUAAUGUGUCAAAAGAUUCGAUGUGACAGUAAAUCUUGAAAAAUUUUACGUUUUAAGAAAAAACUAAACAAGGCCUAAGUUAUAUUAGAUUUAGAACAAAGCCAAAACGACUCCUGAUUUGAAACGCAGAGCGUAUAUUUUUAGAUCUUUGCAAUACAUCUACCACAUCAAUCGAAGUACAAACACCGGAAAAUAAAAAUAUACGUACAUCUUUGUAAACUACGGACAUAAAUAAAUGAAAUUUUAUAUUUAAAAAACCACUGUACCAAUUUGAAUGGCAGAAGCAUGGGCGAAGCUUCACCGCCCAUCCCAUCCCCCAGAUUGACCGCCCAAGCCUCUGCACCUCACGUUGCUCGCCCACUCCUCCCUCACGCAGCAAACACCAUCGCCACCCAACCAGAAAUCCCCACGUGUUCCACCGACCAUCCCUCGUCCACCCACCUCCCCGCCACACCGACGACCACACACCUUCCCCCCGCACCGAUCCCCGCGGCGCGCGCCGCGCUCCUUUGACUGCCACGUCAUCUCACUGCCAUGCGGGCCCCGCACUCCGCGCCCGGCCCUCCUCAAAUGCCCCCACCCCUCGCCUCCCCACCUCCGCACAAACGCGUCGUUUCCGCACGCUCCACAGGGGAUCCUCUGCGCCACCGCAACCGUGUAACCCCGGCCGUGCCGCCGCCGGCGAUCCCGAUCCGCCGACCCGACCCGUCCCGUCCCCCCGCUCGCAGCCAUGUCGCCGUCGGAGCCGACGCGGGAGGAGAGCGUGUACAUGGCCAAGCUGGCGGAGCAGGCGGAGCGGUACGAGGAGAUGGUCGAGUUCAUGGAGCGCGUGGCGCGCUCCGCGGGCGGCGCGGGGGGCGGGGAGGAGCUCUCCGUGGAGGAGCGCAACCUGCUGUCCGUCGCCUACAAGAACGUCAUCGGCGCCCGCAGGGCCUCGUGGCGGAUCAUCUCCUCCAUCGAGCAGAAGGAGGAGGGCCGCGGGAACGAGGCGCACGCCGCCUCCAUCCGCGCCUACCGCUCCAAGAUCGAGGCCGAGCUCGCCCGCAUCUGCGACGGCAUCCUCGCGCUGCUCGACUCCCACCUCGUCCCGUCCGCCGGCGCCGCCGAGUCCAAGGUCUUCUACCUCAAGAUGAAGGGCGACUACCACAGGUAUACCCAUUACCGCCAGCAGAUCUUGCCUUUUAUUCUGCGUACAUAUCUGCCUCUAGAGUCUAGACGAUGCGAUCUGUUUAUGGAGUGGCCGAGGAGUGAGGUUGGUGGAUGUACGCGCGAUCUAUAUGCGAUGUCUGACGGAGUUGAUGGAUUUUCGCUUAUUAUAUCAGGAAUCGUUGUGUUUGGGAUUUAGAUUAGCGGGGGUUUUGGGUCCUUAUUUAUUGCUGGUUAUUAUGAUCUGUGGGGGCUGCACGAUCUGAUUUGGGCCCUUUGUAUAUGGACUAUGGGAAUUGUGGUUUGGAGAAGUCAAAACAUAAGAUCUGCAGUUGUUGGUUUGGAGAAGUCAAAACUUAAGCUCUGUAUGCAGAUGUUUCUUGUGGGGAUGACAGGGGUCUGAGUGAUGAUUACGUCUAAAUUUAAUGAGUGAUCCUUUUUUUUUUUGUUUGGUGGGUUACAUACACUCUUGUUAUUUGUGGUGGCUAGUCACCAAAAGAUAGAAAGGGGAAAGGGAAAGCGAUUGUGGUGCCUGUGACGUUAUUGAGUGAGGUUGUUUUCCUUUUAUUUCUGGUGCAUGCUGAGGUUGCCUAUCAUGAAUUUCUAUGAAUUUGUCUGUAUGAUACAUGAUGAUGUGCUGUCUCUUAUAGUAGAAGAUUGAAGGAUACGAAUUCAUGAUCUAUGGAUUUUUUUUGCCCCCUACUGCACAUAUAUUUUGGUAUCUGAUUUCUCCUAACAAUGAUUUUGCAGGUACCUUGCUGAGUUCAAGUCAGGUGCGGAGAGGAAGGAUGCUGCGGAGAGCACCAUGAAUGCUUACAAAGCUGCUCAGGUUUGAUCUUUGUGUACAUGUUGAUAGGAUGACGGUGCAUAUCUUGUUAAUUGUGAUUCAUUGUUGUUGGUUGGUUUGUAGGAUAUUGCUCUUGCUGAUUUGGCACCAACCCACCCCAUCAGGCUUGGGCUGGCACUCAACUUCUCAGUGUUCUACUAUGAGAUUCUGAACUCCCCUGAUCGCGCUUGCAACCUUGCAAAGCAGGUUUGCUUCUUCUCCCUUCACCUGUAGCUGAUGAUAUAUGAUGCCUGGGGAUUUGGAGAUUGUAAUAACUUGUUUUAAAUUGGGAUAGCAAGCAAAAACUUGAUUGAUGGCCAUCACUGCUAGUCUGCAACUUACAUGUCGGCCCUCUAUAGGAAAUUACUGGUUUGUGUUUAACUGUAGAUACCUAGACAUGAACUACUUUUCAUCCCUGAACAAAUUUUCUAGUACUCUCUCGGGUGAUUACUGUUUGUGUCCAUGCAAUGCCGAUUUGUGUUCUGCAUGUGUAUUCACUGAAACAUUAUCUCUUACUAUUAGGUGUGUUAUAUUCAAGUGGGUCUAAUUAAUCUGGGAUGCUACUAUUUGCUUUUACUGCCUGGGGUGUUGUUUCUUCACUCAAUUUGCCAUGCCUUGUUGCAUACAUUUUCUAUUUCAUAUUGAACACUUACUCCUACAAGCUAAUGCCUAAUGAUUAU